AAGAAGCGAGUUAUUUUCACCGGCUACUCGUCGGGUGCUCCGGUGGCCAUCCUGGCAACUCUAUACCUCUUGGAGAAGUCAGAGCCCAAUCAGAGCCCACCCCGCUGCGUCACUUUCGGAUCCCCCCUCGUCGGUGAUCGGAUCUUCGGUCAUGCUGUCAGGCGGGAGAAAUGGUCCGACCACUUCAUUCAUUUUGUUAUGAGAUACGAUGUGAUCCCUCGGAUUAUGCUUGGCCCUUCAUCCACUGAGCACAAACAAAUUCUCGAUUUCUUCAAUCCCGGAUCUGAAUCCUUCAGAAAACACACUGAUUCUUCUUUAGGUUUAUAUUCCAGCGUGAUGAGGAAUGCAUCCAUGGUUGCAAACUAUGAUGCCUGCAAUUUCAUGGGAUGCAGAAUCCCGGCGCUGGAAACUCUAAGGAACUUCAUUGAGCUCAGCCCUUAUAGACCUUUCGGAACUUACAUCUUCUGCAGUGGAAGUGGAAAGCUGGUUGUCGUAAGGAACCCGAAUGCAGUACUGCAGAUACUGUUUUACUGUGCUCAGUGGAGCCAAGAAGAAGAUGCAGAGGCUGCAAAAAAAGGCCUAAAUGAACACUUGGACUACCAAAAGGAACUACAGAGCUUAGGAAAGCAGAAUGUAGUCUAUCUAGACCAUCUGGAAGAGCUUCCGGUGUCUUCUGAUGGCAGUCCAGCCACAGUCAACACGACCUUGAAUGACCUCGGCCUGGUGAGCCUUCUUUCUUUCUUCUUACUGCCAAACUACAGAAUUUUAGCUUCCAUAUGUAUGUAAAUCUCAGCUGAUGUUCUAGUGUUUUGGAUUGCAGAGCACACAAGCCAUGCUAUGCCUUCAAGCUACAGGAGAGUUGGAGAAGCGAAAGUCAAGAAACCAGGAUAAGAUCAUUAAUGAUUAUAAGCAAAAGAUUGAAGGUGAAUUAAGAAAGCUGAGUGAGUAUAAGGAAAAGGCCGAGACUUGCGGACAGAGCUACUAUGAUUCCUUCAAGCUCCAAGAAAAACCAGAUGCCUUCCAUGCUAAUGUGAGCAGGCUUGUGCUAGCUGGUUACUGGGAUGAGAUGAUGGAAAUGUUAAAAGCGUAUGAACUUCCGGAUGAAUUUGAGAAGAGGCAAGACUUGAUACAACUUGGAACAAAUUAUCUCCGCAUGGUUGAGCCUCUAGAUAUUGCGAACUUCUAUCGACACGCCAAGGAUGAAGAGACAGGGUUCUACGUGAAAAAGGGGACUCGACCAAAACGAUACCGAUACAUCCAAAGUUGGCUCGAGUAUGCUGAAAAGAAGCCAUCUGGAUCCCACUCAGAAUCCUGUUUCUGGGCUGAGGUAGAGGACCUCCGCAUUAAAACUAGAAGCAACGGAUCCUCUCCAGAAAUUAAGCAGAAGGUUCAGCAACUGGGGCAAAAUCUAAUUAAAUGGAUUGAUGAUGAAUCUUUAGGCAAGGAUGUGUUGUUGGAGAAUUCCACCUUUGUUAAAUGGUGGAAAUCCCUUCCUCCUGAGUAUAAAUCAGAACCCGAAUCAUCUCGCAUUAUGAAACUCAUCCAUGAGAAAGAUUGAGAGGGUUUCAUGCUGUUAUCUCGAGGCAUUUGUUCAAAGUCAAUAAACCCUGUAAAUAAGCUCUAGCUUUGACUGCUCUCUUGAUAACUGAAAUGUUCUUGAUAACUCCAUUAUUUACCAGUAAGAUGGUUUUCUUCCUGAGUGUAUGCAAAAUCCUGUUUCCUUUAUUAAUACAUAACGAUCCAUUCUCAAUCGUGUAGAUAAUAUCACUGUGAUACCCCGGGUCUUAGGUCCCACUAUGUGAAAAUCAAGAAUGCAAAUGACUAGAUACCAAGAGGUAAUGCUCAUGAUUUUUUCAUACAAACAAACAAGUUACAAACAAACAAGUAGGCUGUACUUCAACACAGAUGAAGUUUGCGAUUUGAAGUUACAACUAUCUGAUAAUAAAGAUGAUGAGAAGGCAUAUUUCUUAAGAAAAUGGCCAUGAUAGCAUUUAGCAGAGAGGAGCAUACUAAUACAGAAGAUUGAAAAUGGGCUGGUAAAUUAACGGACAGAUGAACGCUUGAUGUGCAUCCUUGGCUGAUCGAUAUGUAUAUGAAAUUAAAUGCUGUGACAAAGACCUAGUUAGCUCCACAAUGAAAAAAGAAGCCCUUGCCAUAUGACUACAGAGGCCCUAUCACAGACUCACAGUUCAACUACAACCAGUUCCUUCCUAGCUUUCAGAACUUUCCAUAUUUGAAAAAUAUUAAUUUGAUAUUUUAUAGUUGGUAGUUAAAUUCAUAAAAAUAAUAAUUAUAUUUUUCUAUAUUUAAAAUAAUAAUCAAUAAUUAUUUAAUAUUAAUAAUAUUUAAAUUUAUAAAGUGUGGAAUCAAGAAGUUUCUAGGAUAAUACUAAUAAAUGUUGGAUCCGCAUUUUUCACAUGCAUUCUCACUCGACGACCAAACUCAUAUUUAUUUAAGGUGAAAAACUGUAUUUUAUAAGAAACUGGAAUCGCUACUUAUUAUUAUUUUUUUAAAGGGAAAAUAAGGAAAGACAGGUUUGUAAAAACUGAGUCAGAUUCGGGUGUCAAGUUACCUAUUAGGAAGGUACAGUGGCUAAUCGUAGCACCCUUCUAAGCGUUACAAGUCAGGUUUCUACUAAUAAAACUAAGACAACUAUGACAAUUGGUUGAUCAAUCUAUGGAUACCUAGCAAGAGUCAAAAUAUACUACAACCAAAGCAUGUAUCAAAAGAUAAUUGAAUGAGUAAAGAAGGAAAGGAGUGUACCUGAGUAAUAAGUCGAAGUGUGCUUCUAUGGAAAACAAGGUUAGUAAAUAAUAUAAGUAUAAAAUAUCUCAUGCUAGUCACAAACAAAAUCAAUCAAUAUUAAUCAAGCAAAGCAAUUAGAGGAAGGAGUGUCAUGGAUGUUGGGCCCACCAAGGCCCAAUUUAUUUUUACAUGAAUUAAUUCUAUAAAUUCCAUUAUUUUUGGAAUCAUAAAAUUUAUUUAUGCAUUAAAAAUAGAGAAAAUCAAGAAAAACUAUAUAAAAAAAAACUGUGAAAUGUGCUUGCUGGGGGAAAUAUGACAGCAAUGUUUAUAAAAAUCGGGAUUUUAGUACCUAAAAUAGUCUAAAGAUGAACAUUUAAAAUUGGGUUUAUUUCAGUUGAAAAUAGUUUUGAAAAUUCAAUUUAAAAACCUGUAAAUUCUCACCAAGAUAGGAAAAGCACACCAAGAGGAAGGAAGGAUGACUUAAGAAUGGUGCACCAAAGGUGGCAAUGGUGGAGUGGGGCUCGUGGGUAGGCAGGCAUGUGCAUUUCCAUAUCAGAAUCCCUGUGCUGCUGCUCAUUUUCCAGGAGUCUGUAAGUCGCUUCACCCCUAUUCCCAUGCAGCAGAAGAGUGCUUCAAUUGUCUGGUUUUGCAGCUCUCACCCUUGUGUUUACUCCAAUUCAAGAUUGUCCCCCUGCAUCCCAAUCUCUCUCUAUGCUGACUCAAGCCGAGCUUGCAGAAUCCCAGUCGCAGAAUCAUUCCUUUUGAGCUCACAAAAUUAACCUGGUAAUCUCUUCUUCCCAUAACUCUAGUUUUUUAUUGUACUCAGUGGUCUUCCUAAGCAAUUCCUCAUCGCUAGCAGCAGUUCCCACCUUUGGGAUGCAAUCUGCGCUCCAUUAGAGCCCCAUCUUAACCCAUAGAACUCGCCCAGGUUACCAAAUCCAUUCCUGCCAUAGCUGAGUCCUCCAUUAGGCAGCAACAAAUACAACACUUUAAAUGGAUUAGUUUCCAGAUCAAAUUGGAGGACAUACAGAAUGCUGUCAUCUAUGGGCAGCUUUUCGAGUUCAAGAGAAUUUUAAUGGCCACGUGAUAAGGGAUCUUAGUGACAGUCAACAUUCAGCUAAGCAGAAAUCUGGAGAGGCUAUAGUAGUGAUCAGCAUUGUCGCCCAUCCGUACAUUCACCUUGACAAAAUUGUAUUUGGAGGAAACAUUCUGAAUGGAGAAUCGAAUGGUUGGGAGAGAGGAAUCAGAGAUGUCUUCUUCUGGGGUGUCAGGGUUUGGACAAGUUGUGUGAAGACUGCCAGGUACUGAGGAUACCAAGGCUGGGAACAAGAACUGGUCACAUGUACACGGAGAUGGCCAUGCAUGUGGAUUGCAUGCACAUGGGAAAGAUGGUGCAAUAGACUUCGCUAAAUUCAAGCUUCUUGGAUAGCUUGCAACUUCAUCCAGAUAAAAGAUGCUUUCUGCUUCACAUAGAUGUAACAAAAUUGAUGGGGAGAAGAGAGUUGACCACUUCAUCUCCAUUAACGUCACUCUCAAUAUCAGGAGGAAUUUCUUCUCUUGUUAACGAGGAAUCUGAUCUCUUCAAAGACUGGUGGCUCUGUUGAAGCCAUUUUUCAAUUGUACAAUGCUCAGACUCCUUCAAGUUGGUCAUGGCCUCCAAUACUAGAUUCCCCAGCCUUACGAUGCACCCUCUUUGAACCAGUAAUCUGCUCAGGGUUGCCAGGGAAGGCAAGGGCCUUAGCAUCGACAGUUUGAUAAUCACUUUGAUCUAUUGCGCUGAGAGGCGGAGAAUUCUCUUCUGGUUUAGGGGUUGUUGGCACCCUUCUGUGUGCCAAUCUAGACUCCUCUCUUGAGCCCCAUCCAUCACAUUCAUGUUCCUUCAUUGCCCAUCAACAAUAAAUCUGUACUGAUAAAUACCCGAGGGGAGCAUUUGCAUAAUGGUGGACUAUUUCCUCAUCUCUGCAAGGGUUUUCUUAUCUUCCAAUUAUCUCAUAAUUCCUCCGCAGCUACUUCCUUGCUAUCAUAGCUCCAUGUAAUCAUAGUUGGAAUUGCUUGCUCACUGCACACCACCUGACCUUGGCCACUCAUUUCCAAGUCUCAAAACUCUGCCUUUCUCACCCUCUUUUACUACCUUAGAGGCUUUGCUGCAAAAGAUCAAAACUGUAAGCUACCUCAUGCAAUGGCACACACCACCUUUUCUCAGAUACCCUUAUUAACUUGUGGAGAAAUUUAUUAAAUUUCACAUCAAAGGCAAGAAAAUUGGAAGGGGACAAUGAACCGCAGAUAGAUGAGAGAAUAAUGGCCUUGUCGUUGCAUGUUCAUGAGCAGCAUGAACUGUAUCCUUCAUUUCAGGAACUGAGGCCCUAUGACCUCCAGACCUGAAGGCUCAAUGAAUAGUCAAAGAUUCGACUUCCUGUAGGCUUGCCACAUCCUGAACAGACCUGAAUUUUCUCUUCUUCCGGGCCCUUGUCUCAGAAGGUGGUUCCUUAGCUGUCCUGUAUGUCAGAGGCAAAUUGAUGCCUUGGAUUAAAAGAGUCUGAUGACAGAGUACUAAGAUGCUCCUGAUUGAAACGGAACACUUUCAUAGCAGCAUAUUCAAACUACCACAGAAUUGAGCAUCAGGAUGAAUUAAGCCACUUUACUUCAUCAACUUUUUGCACUUUCCAACAGUGCAGGACCAUUUUCCUUGCCAUUGCUGAAAGACUGUUGAUGAGCUUAAUGAUCAUUGAAUUACUGGUGGAUUUUCAUUGUGGGAAACCUAAGCUGAUUAAGCAACAAACCCAAACUUUGACUAGCUUGAAUUGAUAGAUCUCCAACAUUGGAUACAGGAUGACCUCUUAGGAGCUAAAGAUAUAUUAAAUUCCACAAGCUUUCCUUCAGAGGGCUGAUCAAGAGGUGUAUCUAAACCUUAUUUGGCAUGACCAACAAGCUGUCACUUUCACUCGCAUAUUCUAAGCAUCUUCCCAGAGGCUUAACAGAAAAGGGAUCUUUAGGUUUACAGAGGAGGGAAAGGAAACCCUGCUUUGCAUUCAGAAAAGUUUUGUUGCUGUUGACAUCUUCACCAUUCUGAGUACUUGGGACUGUUGGUGCAGGUGUGGAGCAACCAGAAAAGUUGUUACUCAGACCCAAUAUUCUCAAUAGCACUGCUUAAAUUUGCCAGGCUCAAGAAUAAAAAUGAGAGGUAGCCAGUUCUUUUGAUGCUUCCCCGCUUGAAUUUGGAGUGUUUGAAACAUAACCGGCAACAACUCUAUCAAUCCCAAGGGUAGAGAUCAGCUUCUCAAUUAUAGCGACUUGUGACUCCCAGAUCAGUGGAGAUCCAUCUUCAUGACCAGAGAUUGACCAUGACUCCACCUCAUGAAUGAUGAAUUCCUAGAGCCUCAUCUGUUUGAUGAAGGUGAAGUUUGAUUAGUAGGAGUUUUGAGUACUAUUUGAUAGUCUCUCUUCAUGCUGUGGGGGGUUCACUACAGGUUGAUGAUCAUCAUGAGAUGAGCUCGACAUGCCCCCUCCUUAUUGGAUUUAUACUCCGAUGCUGAUGUAGCCUUCAAACUCCACAAAUAAGCUAUACUUGAACCGAAGACUAAGGAUGACUAAACCAUCACCUCCAAUCUAACUAUGCUGGCAUUCAAAUGCUACAGGAUGAUAUUUCAAUGGUCCUGCUUUCAAACCGCAAUUCCACAUCUGAAGACGUUUCUCACCGAACCAAAGGCAACGGUGGUAUUGGCAUUAUUGGACAUACAAAUGCUCUGCAUGGACCCCAAACCACCAUGGAACUUCAGUGUCAAGGCCCAUGGCCAUUUCUGUUGUCCAUGAAAAUAAUCUUGAAGGGCUAUACAACUUUUAGCAACUCUUUAAAGGAUGCAAUGUGUCUGGAAGAUUGAAUUGAAGAUGAAUGACAUUUGUAGAAUCAACAGAUGAGGUUGCAUUUCUAGAGCCUCUUUCUGGAGGCCUUUCUCCAAGAAUUUUUCCAUGGCUCUCUGUUGUCAUCUUCUGCACAAUAGGAGAUGAUUUCACAUCCCACAGCCACUUGCUCCUGUUAUUAUGCUUCUGUCACCCCUCUCACAGGUUUCUUGCAAGAUACAAAUAACUCUCUCCACUGGGGGUCACGAAUCUGUGGCAGUAAGCCAAAACACAGCCCUCUCUUCUCAAGCGCAGAUCAGAACACAACCAAUUGUCCAGAGCAAAUCGAAAGAUGUGAGCCAGAAACAGGAUAUGGAUUGAGAUACCGGAAGUAGAGAAGUCAACAAAACAAGAUACGGCAUACCCAGAACAAAAUAAACAAGUAAGCAAAACAUUAAAUGGGAUCCCUUUUCAUGUUGAAAACAACAUCACAUCCAUAUCAAAACAAUUUAACAAUGCCUAGAAAAUUAGAAAUAACAAGAGAGAAUGAAAAAAAACAGAGUGAUAAGUGAAAAUGAGCAAAGAAGCUACAAAAAACGUACCUGAAAAUGCUCCCUCCAACGAGAAUAGUUGGGCUUCAAGCUGGUUUGUUUCUUCUUUCAAACCUCCAGAAAACCACAGCAAAAUCAACUUCCCUUUCUCUCCCUUGCUCCUAAUCACCCUGCCUAGAAUCCUCUCUGCUCCCUGUUUUCUAUCUAACCCCCAAUUCCGAAGAAUCCCACCAUCACUCCAACCAACCUCUCAGCAAUUCCCCCUGUUUCCACUCUUUCCAUUUCUGUUUUUCCCCUGUCUCCACUCUCCCCCGACCCACACUCACAGAUACUUUCCUGCUCAAGACUCCUACUCCUCUCUCUAAAAAAACGACCCGCCCAAAACUUUGCCACGUGUCGCUCUCACUGGCUCCCCUCUCUCUCCGUAAGUAACUCACCAAAAAGACAAAAAUUCACCCUCCACCAUUUUGCAGGGCCUCCUUGCCCACCUAGUUUGCCACGACUCCAAAACAGAGUUUAAGUCCAAAAUAAUCCGUUGGUAGAAAAAAAUGAUAAGAAUAGUAGUCAUCUCAAAAUAUUUGUCAAAGUAGUAUUUUCCAUCUACGUAAUCAUUCAUGCGGGUUUUUUGAGUGUAAAACACCAAAAGUUACAGAAAUAUCCUUAAAACCACAGUCACUUAUGGGCUUUACCUUAUCACUCGAUAUGCAGGGGAUUCCCUCAGGGGACGAUAAAGACCUACCAGAAUAUAAAUGAACCAUAGGGCCCAUACCUCCUUAGUAAGGACAACGACUUAUACCGGUCUAGAGGAACUUAAAAGCACUGCUUGAAGACUCGGCUUGCCUACUUGCCGGGAGAGCUCACUUCCUUAAUCAGCCCACUGUCAGUCUAUGCAGCUCCUUGACUUGCUCACUAGCUGUCCAAGCUGUAUCAGUGUGCCUCCCCCACACUGAUGAGUGAGCCCAAGCCAUGUCGAGGUGCCCAUGGUCUGGGCCUGUUGCUUUCCCUUCCUGUGUCAGGUUCCGCUUCAACGAACCAUGGCAUUGUGCCCAUGGCUGUUCCCUCUUGGUGCACAGGGCAUUGCGCCCCUGUGCUGUGCAUAGGCACUCGGGUGCUAGUCGGCUGUUUGUCUGAUGCCCCAUCNNNNNNNNNNNNNNNNNNNNNNNNNNNNNNNNNNNNNNNNNNNNNNNNNNNNNNNNNNNNNNNNNNNNNNNNNNNNNNNNNNNNNNNNNNNNNNNNNNNNNNNNNNNNNNNNNNNNNNNNNNNNNNNNNNNNNNNNNNNNNNNNNNNNNNNNNNNNNNNNNNNNNNNNNNNNNNNNNNNNNNNNNNNNNNNNNNNNNNNNNNNNNNNNNNNNNNNNNNNNNNNNNNNNNNNNNNNNNNNNNNNNNNNNNNNNNNNNNNNNNNNNNNNNNNNNNNNNNNNNNNNNNNNNNNNNNNNNNNNNNNNNNNNNNNNNNNNNNNNNNNNNNNNNNNNNNNNNNNNNNNNNNNNNNNNNNNNNNNNNNNNNNNNNNNNNNNNNNNNNNNNNNNNNNNNNNNNNNNNNNNNNNNNNNNNNNNNNNNNNNNNNNNNNNNNNNNNNNNNNNNNNNNNNNAAAGUGCUUAACAACAUUGCUGAAGAACAACUUAGCCGCUUCCUCCGCCGGGCAAGUAUCAGGAGCAGGGAUAAAAACAGCAUAUUUUGAAAAUCUAUCCACAACAACAAAGACAGAUUUAAAGUCACGAACCUUUGGAAAUCCAGAAAUAAAGUCCAUAGAGAUACUCUCCCAAGGUUUCUCUGGAAUGGGGAGGGGCUGCAGCAACCCAGCAGCCUUCUUCCUUUCAGUCUUGUCCAUCUGACAAACUAGGCAAGUCUUUACAUAGGCUUGCACUUCCUCACCCAUCUUAGGCCAGUAAUAGGAUCUGGCUAGUAGUGCCAGUGUCCUUUCUUCUCCGGGAUGGCCUGCCCACUUCGCAUCAUGAGUCUCCCGUAGUAGUUCCUUUCUCAAGCCGCCUGCAGGUACAUACCACCGAGGAAAGCCAGUGGAGAAAACCACAAAGGUUGUGCAACAGACCACCCGGAUGAUGGGAUGCUUCAUCUGCAAUGGCCCUCAUCGAGCCAAGGACUGCCCCAAAAGAGAGAAGCUCUCAGCCUUGGUGACUGCAGAGGACAAGGGAGAUUCUGACCCAGAGACUCCUCCAAGAGUCAACCCCCUGCAACUUCUGAACGUGAUUCAUGGUGAGACCCCUGUCCAGAAGUCCUUAAUGCAUAUUCAUGCAAUUGUGAACGGUGUGAAGGUGAAGGCAUUGGUGGAUAGUGGUGCCACUCAUAAUUUCGUGGCCACCAAGGAAGCAGCUAGGUUGGGAUUAAGGUUGGAAGAGGACACUAGCAGGAUCAAAGCUGUGAACAGUAAAGCUCAGAAAAUCCAAGGGGUAGCCAAGAAUGUCCCCAUGAAAAUUGGUGACUGGGAAGGUAUGUGUAGCCUACUUUGCGUACCUUUGGAUGAUUUUGAUUUGAUCUUGGGUGUGGAUUUCCUCCUGAGGGCUAAGGUGGCCCUGAUUCCCCACCUUGGUGGGUUGAUGGUGUUGGAAGAAAAGCAGCCCUGCUUUGUGCAAGCUUUGAGGGCGAAGGAUGGGGGCAAGGGCCAACCAGAGAUGUUGUCUGCCAUCCAAUUGAAGAAGGGAUUGAAGAGGGGCCAGGAGACUUACGUUGCAGCCUUGAUCGAGAUCAAGGAGGGACAGACUAUGGAGGUCCCUGAUUCUGUGGUCAAAAUCCUUAAGGAGUUCAGUGAUGUUAUGCCUGCAGAACUCCCCAAGGAGCUGCCACCCCGGCGACCUAUUGAUCACAAGAUAGAAUUGCUACCUGGAACAAAGGCCCCUGCACAAGCUCCUUACAGAAUGUCCCCUGCAGAGUUGCUGGAAUUACGUAAGCAACUGAAGGAGUUGUUGGAUGCAGGCCUGAUCCAGCCCUCAAGGGCUCCAUAUGGUGCACCAGUGCUCUUCCAAAAGAAGCAUGAUGGCUCUCUCCGCAUGUGCGUGGACUAUAGAGCACUCAACAAGGUGACCAUUAAAAACAAGUAUCCGAUCCCCUUGGCUGCAGAACUCUUUGACCGACUAUCAAAGGCUUCUUACUUCACCAAGUUGGACCUGAGAUCGGGCUAUUGGCAAGUACGGGUUGCAGCAGGAGAUGAGGGGAAAACAACUUGUGUAACUCGGUAUGGCUCAUACGAGUUUCUGGUAAUGCCUUUUGGAUUAACCAAUGCCCCUGCUACAUUCUGCAACUUAAUGAAUGAUGUUCUGUUUGAUUAUUUGGAUGCGUUUGUAGUAGUUUAUCUAGAUGAUAUUGUUGUUUAUAGCAAGACACUAACAGAACAUGAGAAACACCUAAGAUUGGUGUUCCAGAGAUUGAGGGAGAAUAAGCUCUAUGUAAAGCCAGAGAAAUGUGAGUUUGCUCAGGAGGAGAUCACGUUUCUAGGACACAAGAUCAGUGCAGGCCUGAUCAGAAUGGAUAAGGGUAAGGUGCAGGCCAUUAUGGAGUGGACAGUGCCUUCCAAAGUGACAGAGCUGCGGUCCUUCCUUGGCUUGGCCAACUAUUAUAGAAGGUUCAUUAAGGGAUAUUCAAAGACGGUAUCUCCCCUUACUGACCUAUUGAAGAAGGACAACCAGUGGGAUUGGAGCAAGCAGUGUCAGAUGGCUUUUGAAAGCCUGAAAGAAGCCAUGUCCACUGAGCCUGUGUUGCGGUUGCCAGAUUUGGACUUGCCCUUUGAAGUCCAAACGGAUGCCUCUGAUAGAGCCUUGGGUGGAGUCUUGGUGCAGGAAGGGCACCCCGUGGCAUUUGAGAGCAGGAAGCUGAACAAUGCUGAGCAAAGAUACUCCACUCACGAGAAGGAGAUGACUGCUGUGGUGCAUUGCCUGCGGCAGUGGAGGCACUACUUGCUGGGGAGUAUCUUCACCGUGGUCACUGACAAUGUGGCCAACACUUUCUUCAAAACCCAGAAGAAGCUGAGCCCCAGACAAGCACGGUGGCAGGAGUUCUUGGCUGACUUCAAUUUUGAAUGGCUGCAUCGACCAGGGAGACAUAACACAGUGGCUGAUGUCCUGAGUAGGAAGGAAUUGAUCACUUACAUCACAGCCCUCUCAGAAGUCAUCUCUGACUUCAAUGAGAGGAUCAAACAUGCUGCAAAGCAGGAUGCUGCAUAUGGCAGGCUGAGGCAGCAAGUAAAGGAGGNNNNNNNNNNNNNNNNNNNNNNNNNNNNNNNNNNNNNNNNNNNNNNNNNNNNNNNNNNNNNNNNNNNNNNNNNNNNNNNNNNNNNNNNNNNNNNNNNNNNNNNNNNNNNNNNNNNNNNNNNNNNNNNNNNNNNNNNNNNNNNNNNNNNNNNNNNNNNNNNNNNNNNNNNNNNNNNNNNNNNNNNNNNNNNNNNNNNNNNNNNNNNNNNNNNNNNNNNNNNNNNNNNNNNNNNNNNNNNNNNNNNNNNNNNNNNNNNNNNNNNNNNNNNNNNNNNNNNNNNNNNNNNNNNNNNNNNNNNNNNNNNNNNNNNNNNNNNNNNNNNNNNNNNNNNNNNNNNNNNNNNNNNNNNNNNNNNNNNNNNNNNNNNNNNNNNNNNNNNNNNNNNNNNNNNNNNNNNNNNNNNNNNNNNNNNNNNNNNNNNNNNNNNNNNNNNNNNNNNNNNNNNNNNNNNNNNNNNNNNNNNNNNNNNNNNNNNNNNNNNNNNNNNNNNNNNNNNNNNNNNNNNNNNNNNNNNNNNNNNNNNNNNNNNNNNNNNNNNNNNNNNNNNNNNNNNNNNNNNNNNNNNNNNNNNNNNNNNNNNNNNNNNNNNNNNNNNNNNNNNNNNNNNNNNNNNNNNNNNNNNNNNNNNNNNNNNNNNNNNNNNNNNNNNNNNNNNNNNNNNNNNNNNNNNNNNNNNNNNNNNNNNNNNNNNNNNNNNNNNNNNNNNNNNNNNNNNNNNNNNNNNNNNNNNNNNNNNNNNNNNNNNNNNNNNNNNNNNNNNNNNNNNNNNNNNNNNNNNNNNNNNNNNNNNNNNNNNNNNNNNNNNNNNNNNNNNNNNNNNNNNNNNNNNNNNNNNNNNNNNNNNNNNNNNNNNNNNNNNNNNNNNNNNNNNNNNNNNNNNNNNNNNNNNNNNNNNNNNNNNNNNNNNNNNNNNNNNNNNNNNNNNNNNNNNNNNNNNNNNNNNNNNNNNNNNNNNNNNNNNNNNNNNNNNNNNNNNNNNNNNNNNNNNNNNNNNNNNNNNNNNNNNNNNNNNNNNNNNNNNNNNNNNNNNNNNNNNNNNNNNNNNNNNNNNNNNNNNNNNNNNNNNNNNNNNNNNNNNNNNNNNNNNNNNNNNNNNNNNNNNNNNNNNNNNNNNNNNNNNNNNNNNNNNNNNNNNNNNNNNNNNNNNNNNNNNNNNNNNNNNNNNNNNNNNNNNNNNNNNNNNNNNNNNNNNNNNNNNNNNNNNNNNNNNNNNNNNNNNNNNNNNNNNNNNNNNNNNNNNNNNNNNNNNNNNNNNNNNNNNNNNNNNNNNNNNNNNNNNNNNNNNNNNNNNNNNNNNNNNNNNNNNNNNNNNNNNNNNNNNNNNNNNNNNNNNNNNNNNNNNNNNNNNNNNNNNNNNNNNNNNNNNNNNNNNNNNNNNNNNNNNNNNNNNNNNNNNNNNNNNNNNNNNNNNNNNNNNNNNNNNNNNNNNNNNNNNNNNNNNNNNNNNNNNNNNNNNNNNNNNNNNNNNNNNNNNNNNNNNNNNNNNNNNNNNNNNNNNNNNNNNNNNNNNNNNNNNNNNNNNNNNNNNNNNNNNNNNNNNNNNNNNNNNNNNNNNNNNNNNNNNNNNNNNNNNNNNNNNNNNNNNNNNNNNNNNNNNNNNNNNNNNNNNNNNNNNNNNNNNNNNNNNNNNNNNNNNNNNNNNNNNNNNNNNNNNNNNNNNNNNNNNNNNNNNNNNNNNNNNNNNNNNNNNNNNNNNNNNNNNNNNNNNNNNNNNNNNNNNNNNNNNNNNNNNNNNNNNNNNNNNNNNNNNNNNNNNNNNNNNNNNNNNNNNNNNNNNNNNNNNNNNNNNNNNNNNNNNNNNNNNNNNNNNNNNNNNNNNNNNNNNNNNNNNNNNNNNNNNNNNNNNNNNNNNNNNNNNNNNNNNNNNNNNNNNNNNNNNNNNNNNNNNNNNNNNNNNNNNNNNNNNNNNNNNNNNNNNNNNNNNNNNNNNNNNNNNNNNNNNNNNNNNNNNNNNNNNNNNNNNNNNNNNNNNNNNNNNNNNNNNNNNNNNNNNNNNNNNNNNNNNNNNNNNNNNNNNNNNNNNNNNNNNNNNNNNNNNNNNNNNNNNNNNNNNNNNNNNNNNNNNNNNNNNNNNNNNNNNNNNNNNNNNNNNNNNNNNNNNNNNNNNNNNNNNNNNNNNNNNNNNNNNNNNNNNNNNNNNNNNNNNNNNNNNNNNNNNNNNNNNNNNNNNNNNNNNNNNNNNNNNNNNNNNNNNNNNNNNNNNNNNNNNNNNNNNNNNNNNNNNNNNNNNNNNNNNNNNNNNNNNNNNNNNNNNNNNNNNNNNNNNNNNNNNNNNNNNNNNNNNNNNNNNNNNNNNNNNNNNNNNNNNNNNNNNNNNNNNNNNNNNNNNNNNNNNNNNNNNNNNNNNNNNNNNNNNNNNNNNNNNNNNNNNNNNNNNNNNNNNNNNNNNNNNNNNNNNNNNNNNNNNNNNNNNNNNNNNNNNNNNNNNNNNNNNNNNNNNNNNNNNNNNNNNNNNNNNNNNNNNNNNNNNNNNNNNNNNNNNNNNNNNNNNNNNNNNNNNNNNNNNNNNNNNNNNNNNNNNNNNNNNNNNNNNNNNNNNNNNNNNNNNNNNNNNNNNNNNNNNNNNNNNNNNNNNNNNNNNNNNNNNNNNNNNNNNNNNNNNNNNNNNNNNNNNNNNNNNNNNNNNNNNNNNNNNNNNNNNNNNNNNNNNNNNNNNNNNNNNNNNNNNNNNNNNNNNNNNNNNNNNNNNNNNNNNNNNNNNNNNNNNNNNNNNNNNNNNNNNNNNNNNNNNNNNNNNNNNNNNNNNNNNNNNNNNNNNNNNNNNNNNNNNNNNNNNNNNNNNNNNNNNNNNNNNNNNNNNNNNNNNNNNNNNNNNNNNNNNNNNNNNNNNNNNNNNNNNNNNNNNNNNNNNNNNNNNNNNNNNNNNNNNNNNNNNNNNNNNNNNNNNNNNNNNNNNNNNNNNNNNNNNNNNNNNNNNNNNNNNNNNNNNNNNNNNNNNNNNNNNNNNNNNNNNNNNNNNNNNNNNNNNNNNNNNNNNNNNNNNNNNNNNNNNNNNNNNNNNNNNNNNNNNNNNNNNNNNNNNNNNNNNNNNNNNNNNNNNNNNNNNNNNNNNNNNNNNNNNNNNNNNNNNNNNNNNNNNNNNNNNNNNNNNNNNNNNNNNNNNNNNNNNNNNNNNNNNNNNNNNNNNNNNNNNNNNNNNNNNNNNNNNNNNNNNNNNNNNNNNNNNNNNNNNNNNNNNNNNNNNNNNNNNNNNNNNNNNNNNNNNNNNNNNNNNNNNNNNNNNNNNNNNNNNNNNNNNNNNNNNNNNNNNNNNNNNNNNNNNNNNNNNNNNNNNNNNNNNNNNNNNNNNNNNNNNNNNNNNNNNNNNNNNNNNNNNNNNNNNNNNNNNNNNNNNNNNNNNNNNNNNNNNNNNNNNNNNNNNNNNNNNNNNNNNNNNNNNNNNNNNNNNNNNNNNNNNNNNNNNNNNNNNNNNNNNNNNNNNNNNNNNNNNNNNNNNNNNNNNNNNNNNNNNNNNNNNNNNNNNNNNNNNNNNNNNNNNNNNNNNNNNNNNNNNNNNNNNNNNNNNNNNNNNNNNNNNNNNNNNNNNNNNNNNNNNNNNNNNNNNNNNNNNNNNNNNNNNNNNNNNNNNNNNNNNNNNNNNNNNNNNNNNNNNNNNNNNNNNNNNNNNNNNNNNNNNNNNNNNNNNNNNNNNNNNNNNNNNNNNNNNNNNNNNNNNNNNNNNNNNNNNNNNNNNNNNNNNNNNNNNNNNNNNNNNNNNNNNNNNNNNNNNNNNNNNNNNNNNNNNNNNNNNNNNNNNNNNNNNNNNNNNNNNNNNNNNNNNNNNNNNNNNNNNNNNNNNNNNNNNNNNNNNNNNNNNNNNNNNNNNNNNNNNNNNNNNNNNNNNNNNNNNNNNNNNNNNNNNNNNNNNNNNNNNNNNNNNNNNNNNNNNNNNNNNNNNNNNNNNNNNNNNNNNNNNNNNNNNNNNNNNNNNNNNNNNNNNNNNNNNNNNNNNNNNNNNNNNNNNNNNNNNNNNNNNNNNNNNNNNNNNNNNNNNNNNNNNNNNNNNNNNNNNNNNNNNNNNNNNNNNNNNNNNNNNNNNNNNNNNNNNNNNNNNNNNNNNNNNNNNNNNNNNNNNNNNNNNNNNNNNNNNNNNNNNNNNNNNNNNNNNNNNNNNNNNNNNNNNNNNNNNNNNNNNNNNNNNNNNNNNNNNNNNNNNNNNNNNNNNNNNNNNNNNNNNNNNNNNNNNNNNNNNNNNNNNNNNNNNNNNNNNNNNNNNNNNNNNNNNNNNNNNNNNNNNNNNNNNNNNNNNNNNNNNNNNNNNNNNNNNNNNNAGCAGGUGGGGGUGGGUUUGUCAGCCCCUUAGCCACUUGAGCUAGACCGGGAAAAAUAGGCCUCAUGGGUAGGCCUUGCACCCAUGAGAGCCUAGGUUGAAAGCAAGGGAAGCCUAGAGGGUUGGUGGUUCGAAUCCUUGAAGCUUAGUGUGAGAAUCACAAAGGAGUCAGACGCGCACCGCGGACGAGCCAGGCGCGCACCGCGGACGAGCCAGGCGAGCACCGCGCGCGCACCGCGGGCGAGCCAGACGAGCACCGCGCGCGCACCGCGGGCGAGUCAGACGAGCACCGCGCGCGUACCGUGGGCGAGCCAGACACGCACCGCGCGCGCACCGCGAGCGAGCCAGACGAGCACCGCGCGCGCACCGUGGGCGAGCCAGACACGCACCGCGCGCGCACCUCGGACGAGCCAGGCGCGCAUUUCCUCGUUAGUAACAUGAUUUCAUAAUAUUUUUAAACCGUCCCUGUUUCAAUGGUAUUAUGAUUUUAAUAUUAUUUUUAAAAUAUUUUUUAUCAUAAUAACCAUAAAACCAUAGUUAAUAACUACGGUUUUAAAAAUAUCCUGAAAACCACGGUCAAAUCAUGGUUUUACAAUUUUCUUUAGAACCACAAUGAUUAAUUGUGGUUUCACAAAUAUCUUUAAUGAGAACUCGUGUAAUCAUACAUCAACUAAAAAAAUAUAUGAGAUUUUAGAACUUUGCUUUUUUCUUCUUAGUUUUAGUGUAAAAUGAGAAAAAAUAUUGUUUAUUCAUGCAUUUCAAUAGUACUUUCAAAUCAUUUCACAAUUACCCUCAUAAGUGAUAUGAGAUUAUAAAACUUCGCUUUUUUCUUUUUAAUUUUAGUGUAAAAUGGGAAAAAAAAAUUGCUUAUUCAUACAUUCCAAUAGUGCUUUUAAAUUGAUUGUGAAUUUAAUUUUUUUGUUUGGUUAAAAUAUUUAAUUUUUAAUUAAAAUAAAAUAUAUUUUUCAUUAAAAAAAUGUAUUUAACCUUUUAUAUUAAUUUCAUAAAAAAUAGGUAUACCCUUAAAAAAAAUAGGUAUAUUCAUGCUUAGGGAAACCGGAACCACUAUCAUACUUAUCAUGGUGUAUAUUCCUUUGGGACCCUCAAUAAGUAAUUGGCACCCACCCCAAAACGAACUUUGGAAUCCUAGGAAUAUCCUUUCUUAGAAGAACCAAGACCCCUAUCUCCAUUAUCAUGGUUCAUAUAUUCCUUUGGGGACCUUUGAGAAUGAAUUGGAGGUUGUUCCCCACCUUGGAACAGACAUUGGAACCCAAUGAACAUCUUAAAGAUAAUUUGGUACAUCUUUCACAAAAUUUGGCACAUCCUUAAAACAAUUUGGUACAUCCAAUCCACGAGCCACCAAGACCUCUAUAUUAUUACCCAUGGUUCAUUUAUUUCUUUAGGGAUCUUUAGGAAGUAAUCAGAGAUCAUUCCCUACUCCAAAACUAACUUUGGAACCCUAGGUACAUUCUUAAGGAAAUUUUGUACAUCAUUAAGAAAAUUUGAUAUAUCUAAUCCUUGAACUAAUGAGACACCUAUCUUUCUUCUCAUUGUCUAUUUAUUCUUUUAGACAACCUUAGGAAGUGAUUAGAGGUCGUUUCCCAAUUUGGAACGAACUUUGGCCUCCCUUGGUACAUCCUUUACAAAAUUUGGUAAAUAUUUUAUAAAAUUUGGUACAUCAUUCACAAAAUUUGGUACAUCCUUAAAAAAAAUUGGUACAUCUAAUCCUUGAACUACUAGGACCCCUAUCUUAUUUCCUAUGGUCUGUUUAUUUCUUUAAGAAUCUUUGGAAAGUAAUUGAAGGUCAUUCCCUACUCCGAAACGGACUUUGGAACCCUAGGUACAUCCUUGAGAAAAUUUGAUUCAUCCAUUACUUGAACUAACAAGACACCUAUCUUCCUUUCCAUGGUUCAUUUCUUCUUUUGGAGACUCUCGGGAAGUUAUUAGAGGUCAUUCCCCACUUCAGAACUGACUUUGGCAACCUUGGUACAUUCUUUAUACAAUUUGAUACAUCCUUUAUAAAAUUUGAUACAUCCUUUACAAAAUUUGAUACAUCCUUUACAAAAUUUGAUACUCAUUCACAAAAUUUGGUACAUCCUUAAAAUAAUUUGGUACAUCUAAUCCUUAAGUUACUAGGACCCCUAUCUUAUUACCCAUUGUCCAUUUAUUCCUUUAGGGAUCUUUGGAAAAUGAUUGGAGGUCGUUCCCUACUCUGAAAUGAACUUUGGAACCUUAGGUGCAUCCUUGAAAAAAUUUGGUACAUCCAAUCCUUGAGCUAUCAGGAUUCCUAUCUUAUUACACAUAGUCCAUUUAAUCCUAUAGGAAUCUUUGGGAAGUGAUUGGAUGUACCAAAAUUUCUUAAUGAUGUACCAAAUUUCCUUAAAGAUGUACUUAGGGUUCUAAAGUUCAUUUCAGAGUAAGGAAAAUUUCUUACAAUUUUCCAUUGUCAUUUUUAAAUUAUUAUUUUUUUACAAAUCAUCCUUAACAAAUUUUUUUUCUUUACGACUAUUUUAAAAUUAUUAUUAUUUUUUUCAUAUUUUCCUUGAAAUUUUGAGAAAAUAAUUUUCCCUACAUGCAUUCCCAUAAAAUUUUAUAUAUUUAUGGUAAAUAAAAUAUUUAUUUGUUUUAUAAAUUUUAUCACAUAUGAAUUAAAGAAAAUUAUUUUUUCAUAUUAUUUUUAAAUUUUAAAGAAUAUUUUUUAUAAAGAAUAUUCAAAAAUAAUAUUAUGAUAAAGAAUAUUUUUAAAAUAAUAUUAAAAUUACAAUACCAUUGAAACGGGGGGUGGUUUAAAAAUAUUUUUGAAACCACAGUUGCUAAUUGUGGUUCUAAAGAAAAUUAUAAAACCAUAGUAACAGAAUGUAGUUUUAAGGAUAUUUAUGAAAAUUUUGAAACCACAGUCAUCAACGAUGGUUUUUUACACUAAAAAAAAGCUCACGUGGAUGAUUACGAGGAUAGAAAAAACUACUUUGAUAAAUAUUUUGAGAUGGAUACUAUUCUUACCAUUUUUUUUCUACUAACAUAUUAUUUUGGACUUAAACUCUCCAAAACAUGCUCCCCAAAAGAAAAUCUGAUUUUUUUUUUCUCCUAAAAAAAAGAUACCCAAAAACAUGCUAUUUCCCGCCAGCUACCCAUGAAAAGAUACAUGUCAAAAGAGCCCUCCCAAAAUGGGGGUCUAUAAUAUGUUAUAUCAUUUAAAAUUAAGGAUUAAUUGAUUAAAAAGAUGAAAACAUUCCAAAAUACCCUUCAACAUUUUCAUUAUUUACAUGUGUAUUUUAAAAGAAAUGGUUACUUUUACAAAAAAUAAAUAAAUAAAUAAAAAAUGAUGAGGGCAUUUUGAUAAAAAAAAUGAGUAUUUUUUAGAUUGAAAAAAUGUGAAGGGUAAAUUUUCCAAAUUGUCCCUAUCCCUAAAAUUAAUGCUCAUUGGCUUAUAAGGGACAUGACCUCAUCCAUUGAUCUAAGCUUUUUUUUGCCCCGUAUUCAACACUUGGUUUUUAAAAAAGUUAUUAUGGACCCACAUUUUUGCUCGAUGCGUUCCCACUCGAUGGUGAAACUCGUUUUUUAUUUAUUUGUGAAAAUUUGAUUUUUAGAAAAAGACUUGGAGUCGCCACUUAUUUUUGAAGGGAAAAACAAUAAUAAAAAAGAAAAACCCUAAAUGUGACUCUUGAAGGGGAACAGGUCUAUGAAAAACCGAGUCUAAGUUCAGGGGUCAAGUUACUUAUUGGGAAGGUAUGGUGGUGAGCCGUAACACCCCUCUAAGCUCGUAUACGUACGACCUCUAUUAAACGAAUUAAGGGAAUUAUGAAAAUUAACUAAUUAAUUAUGGAUACCAAGAAAAAUAAUCAUGCAAAUGAGUAUAUACAAGUUAUGGUGAAAAUCAAUAUACAGAAAAAUAAUAAUGAAAUCUAAUUACAAGAGUACACAAAAUAAAUGACAAGAGGAUUAUACAAAAUGAUUUAUUGAACUAAAUUAAAAAAAAAUGGUUUUCAAGAAAUUUCAAAAGGAUUUUAUUAAAAACAAUUUUGAAUGAGUGAUUUCAAUUUAUUUAUUUACAAAAUAUUUUCUUCAAGUGAUUUGGUUUAAUUUUAUUUGUAUUUAAUUUUCAAAAAAAGUUAUUUACACUUAUUAUAUCAAAAUAAUUUAUUACAAAAGUUCAAUUUGGCAACAAAAAUUAUUUUAUUUGCUUUUACCAAAAAAAAAAAAGAAGAAUGAAUUUUUACAAUUUUGUUUGCAAAAGUAUUUCAAUUUGUUUUCAUUUAAGAAGAGUGAUUUAUACAAAUUAUUUUGAAAAACAUAACUUCAUUUGCAAAAAGAAUUUUAAUUAAAAAGAAAAAAAAGAUUUAAAUCAUCUUUUCUAAAAAAAAAAAUACUUUUAAUUCCAUUUUAAUUAAGGAAAAAUAUUCAUUUAAAAAAACAUUUUUUGGACAAUUUUAUUAAAAAUUAAUUUUUGGGGCAACUUUAUUUGCAAAACAAUUUUUAUUAAACAAAGAAAUUUUUGGACAAUUUUAUUAAAAACAAUUUUUCAAAUUCUAUAAAAAACAAAAUUUCAAAUUCUAUAAAAAAAAACAAUUCUUUUGGAUUUUUCUAAAUGUUUUUUCCUGAAUUUUUAUAAAUAAAAAAAUUCUUUUAUUUAAAAAAUAUUUUUAAAUUAUUAUUUUAUUAAAACAUAUUUACUGAAUACAAAAUUUCUAGUUUGUUCGAUGCUCAAUUUUGUACACACUCAAUGAAUAUAUACAAACGAAUAUUUAUGAGAACUAAUAAAAAUAAAACCAAAUAAAAGUGAGAAAUAAAAUAUGUACCCAAAUAAACUUAUAACAAAUUCAAUGUCUUCCUACGGCUUUUUGAUUCUCACUUUCUUUCAUGAAAUUUCGUGCUCCACAUGUUAUAAAUUCGUACUCAGCCAACAAGAUUGUAAAAUGGACUCAUGCAAAAACAAAAACAACUCAUGUGUAAAUAUCCAAAAAUAUGUAGAGUCCAAAAUAAUUAUUCAAGCCCAAAUUCAAACUUUAAAUUAGCCCAAUAAAUUUUAACAAUUAAAAAUGGGCCCAAAUUAACAAAUAUAACCCAAUAAAAAUAUCUCACAUAUCAUAAACCCUAAUAUAAAGUUUUCAAAUUAAUAGCCAAAACAUAAGCUCAAUUAAUCAAACCCGAUAAAUUAAGAUAAAUCUCAUUAGGCCUAAAUUUAAUAUUUCAUAAUCCAAACUUAAUUUAAUAUACACCACAAUUGUCCCAUGCCCAAAUUAAAUAGUUCAAAUUGGUCAAACCCAUAUCAAAUAUUUAAUUCAUCAACAAAUCUCACUCACAUUAUGGGUCUAAAAUUCAUAUAAGUUAACAAGCCUACAUCAAUAAUUUACAUGGCCAAAGAAAAUAAUAUUUCAAGCCCAAUCCAAUAAGCCCAAACAAAAACCAAUUAACAAUAGGCGCAAGUCGAAAUAAACAAUAUACAAUUGAUAUAAUCCAAAUAUCCCAAAUUAAUCACCAAAUGCAAUAUAACCACAAACCCAAAUUAACAAAUUUCAAAUUAAUUCAAAAACAAUAAAUUAGCCCAAAUUUCAUAGUAAUUUACCAACAAAAAAUUAACUAAAAUUUCAUAUUAAUUCAACAAUCCAAAUUUCACAAACAACCAAUGUUUUAAAAACCGGACCGGACCGGCCAGUCGGACCGGUCCAACCGUCGACCAGUCACCAUUCUAGUCCGAUCCGGGGUUAAACUGUUCGAACCGGCGGUUUAACCGGUGAACCGAACGAACCGACCGAUUCCAAAAAAACCGACCAAUUCAAAAGUUUUUAAUUUUUCUUUAAAAAAAAAUUAGAAAAUGAAAAUUUUACCAUGGAACUUAAAAUGGAUUUUACUAAAGGAUGUUGGGCCUGUCUUAUGACACAGCCCACAGCCCACAUACCCAUUCCACUUUAUGUGGGCUGAGUUUUGAGCCCACAAGCCUAUCUUAAGCCUUUGCUGAGGAUGGCUUUUAUAGGAGUCAUUUGAGUCCUUGUUCCUCUUUCUUGCCGAUGUGGGAUUGCUAAAAAUCAAAGGAAAAAAACAUAACAAAACUCCAAGAAGGUUUGAACCUUGGAUCACCCCUAUACUAAAGUCCACAUAGAACACCACUCAGCUACAUGGAUUUUAUUAUCUAAUAUGCCAAACAAAACAACACAUAUUAGAUUUUAAAUUUUUUUAUAAUAUUAAAUAAAAAUAAUAUAAUAUUUUUAAAAAUUAUGAAAUUAGUUUAAAUUUUCAUUUUUUUUAUAUAUUCACAUUUAAAUAUUACACAUAUUUCAUUUAAUAAAAUUUAAAAUAUUAAUAUGAUUUAAUUUGAUAAUAUCAAAGAUAUAAAAUAAUAUUAUUGAUGUUUAAUUUAUUCAUAUAUAUUUUAAAAUUUUUAUAAUUAUAUUUAAUUUUAAUAAAAUAUAAAUUAUAUAUUUAUGACGUCACCGGUUCGAUAGCGAUUUGAUAGCGGUUCGACCGCCGGUCCGACCAGUGAACCGUGAACCGGUAACUUUUCCGGUUCGAUCACCGGUCCGGUUCUGAAAACAUUGCAAACAACAAUUACUAUUAAAAUUAAAUCAAGAAUAAUAAUAAUAAUAAUAAUAAUGAAAAAUGAGUGGGAUGGGACAGCGAGGGAAUGAGCGAAAAUGGGAGGGGGUCACCGGUCGGCAGUGGCUCGUCGACGGCGACUACAAGGGGCUCACCGACAGCGGUGAGAGAUUGGGUAUGGUGAGAGGAGAGUAGAAAAUAAUAAUAAUAAAAAAUAAAAAAAUAAAAAAAGAAAUGAAAGAAAAGAAAAUAAGAAGAAAUCAAAAUAAGGGUGUUCGGAUGGAGAGAAAGGGAGGGAAAAUGUGGGAAAGAAAAAAUGAGGGCCCGUGUGGGAGUUGGAGGAAAAAAAAUGAAAAAAAAUAAAGAGGGGAAACGGGGGAGCACGGUUGAGAAUGGGAGUGGGUGGUGUCAGGAAAAAUCGAAGGAAAUGGGGGUCGGCUGUCCACCAUGGGAAUUGAGGGGGGCGAGGAAUCUAAAAAAAGAAUGAGGGGAAAAAUAGGGGCCCGCUCACCUUGGGAAUUGGAGAAAAAGAAAUUAAAAAAAAGAAAAAAAAAAAGGAUGGAGUGCACAUGGGGAGCCUUUGGACGUGGGAGGUAGGUGGAGGGAGAGAAAUGAGAGAGAAGAUAAAAAUAUAAUAUAAUAUAAUAUAAUAUAAUAUAAUAAUAAUAAUAAUAAAUAAAAAUAAAAAUAAAAUAAUUUAUAAAAUAAUAAAAACUAAGAAUUAAAUUGUGAGUGAACCACAAAACACAUGUAAUCGGGAUUUAAAAUUUAUUGACAAAAAUUGAGUUCAAAAUUAAUAUAAAAAUAAAAUUGGAACAAAUUUUGGGGUUUAUAAUAUUUGAUUAAAAGGAUCAUUGAAAACUCAAUUUUAGAAAUUUAACAUUUCAUCAUUCUUUUUUUUUUUUUUUAUCUCAUUUUAACAAAAAUGUUCUUAUUCUUUUCAUGUAAAAAUAAUUUUUUAUUUUAAAACCUACAUGUAAACACUUGAAAGGAUAAAAAAAAACACAUUUACAUCAAAAGCGGGAUACUCUUCAAACAAAAAUACAAAAAGGUUUAGAUUUACAAAUACGAGGAUUAUUUCACCACUUUUAACUAAUUAAUUCUUUUUCAAAUAGGCAAAAUGUGAACCUAGCACGAUUAACAUUAGUAAAGUAUCUAAUUACUAAAGAGAAUGGUAGGAUUUAUUGACCUAACUCAAUUUAAUAUAUGUUAAAAUGGUGACAUUUUCAAAUUAUAGGCAUAAAAAAUUAGGUGAAUGACAAAACUUAGUUAUUUUUCUCAAAAAUGACAUAAAAAAAAAACUAGGUCCUAAUAUAGUCUUAUAAACUACAAAGGAAAGAAAUUUGAACUGUUGUACACCAAGGCCUGGCCUUGCAUGACAAAUAAAUUGGCAACAUAGGAAUAUGGUUGCGGACGUUAUGCUUCAACCAAGGAUUCUGAAUGGAAAGGGAAUGAUCCCUACCCACAAAUGUGAGUGUAAUUGAGAAAGCAAACACAUGAUACCUGUUGUUUUUAAGGUGUAUAAUAUAAGUGAAAAGCAAGAUGGGAAAUUAAAUCCAAAAUCAUCCAAUGGAUUUGCCUAAAUGGCCUAACUAAAUAAAAUAUAUUAACCCAAUCUAACACUCGCACCAGUUUUGGAAAACAUGAAAAGAAGGAAAGGAUAAAACAUGGAUUAUUUACUAAAAGCCCGAGUCAAGAGGUGGGAGGAAAUCAUGUUUAUGAGAGUUGUCACCAUGAUUGGACUUGAGCGUCUAGCACACGAAGUAAAGAGAUGCAAGUGGUACCUAUUAAAUGCGAAUAUGGUAGGUACAUUUUCGUUACGUGGGUUGAUGUUAGGUUGUGUUUGUUUUUUUCAUUUAAUUCUAAAUAGAAUCUUAAUAUUUAAUAGUAUUAAAUAUUAUGUUAUUUAUUUUUGUAGUAUUUUAUUUUUAUUAAGUAUUAAAAAGUAAAAAAAAAUUAAUAUGUUAUUUUUCUAUUUAGAAAAAGUUACAUAUUUUGAUAUUUUUUAUUUAGUAAAAAAUUUAUAAUAAAUCAUGAAAAAGUAGAAAAACGAAUAAUCUAAAUUUUAAAAACAAAUUAUUUUUAAGAAAAAGUAAAAAAAACAAACAUCACCUUAGAUUAUUUAUUAUUUAUUUAUAUUUAUAUAUAUUUUGGGUUUACUAAGCUUUGGGUUAAAUGUGUAGGUUUUGAUAAGUCGUGCGCAAAUGGCUUGAUGGUUUGUUAGGUUACUUUUAGGUAGUUAAAUUAGAGUAUCUGCGAAAGAAAAUUGUUGACAAACAUCUCACACUUUUAAUAUUCGCAGGUCUUUCUUUUAAUAUUAGUAUGGAGAUAGGAAGAGAGAGACGUUUGAGCUUUCACACGACAAUAACACAAACCGUCAAAGACGAAAUCUCGCGCGUGAGUGGAAAGGUGGCAUUACAGCCAAGCAAUUUAAUUAUUAAUUAGUUACUGGAGUCGGAGCUUCCUAUAACUAAUUUUUAAAAAGAAAAAGUGGGAAAUGGCGCCUUCAACAGUCAACAAAUGCCGUUUCAACCGGGGCUUAGCGUGUGGGCCUCCCUCCCCUGUCAUUUCCACGCAACUCCAUUGCAACGACGGAGUAUUAUUGCAUUCCCAUAGACGACCAUCCAAGUCAACUAAAAGUCUAGAUCAAUUACUUGUUUUAGUCACCAGAAAUUACCAAUAAACCACUCACGGUCUUGGCCACUGUCUUGUUAUAAGCCAAGCUGCAGCGUCACCAGAAGCUUCAAAUCACAGAGAGAAAAUUUGCAUAGAGAGAAUAUGGGAGAAACACUUGAUCGUAUUGGGUUGAGCGGAGAAGUCAUUAAUGCAGCUGCUUCUCUAGCCAUGAAGGCUCACGAUUCCACUCGCGAGCCAUUUCUCCUCGAGAAACCCCGUGGCUUAUCCGUUGCUGUUGUUGCAUUUGCUGGAUCUUGGCUUCGCGAUGAUUGGUGUGCGGAGACACCUUUUGGAGAAACGACGAUAGAUGCUGGUACCUUUCCUUCGCUUAAAAGUUUAGGCGAUGACGGAGGCGCUCUGGUCAACGAGUCGUUUCUCCGGCGAUUCAAGGCAAUCUUAGGCCAAUCAUCACUUGCCAAAAAGGUACUUCAAUUCAACUUAUGCAUAGAUAUAUGAAAAACAAUCUUGUGAAUUCAAAAUGUGGAUGUUGGGGUUGGAUUUUUCAGGUAAUUGGAGAGAAGAAGCAAGUUGUUUUCACCGGCUACUCGUCGGGUGCUCCGGUGGCCAUCCUGGCAACUCUAUACUUCUUGGAGAAGUCAGAGCCCAAUCAGAGCCCACCCCGCUGCGUCACUUUCGGAUCCCCCCUCGUCGGUGAUCGGAUCUUCGGUCAUGCUGUCAGACGGGAGAAAUGGUCCGACCACUUCGUUCAUUUUGUUAUGAGAUACGAUGUGAUCCCUCGGAUUAUGCUUGCCCCUUCAUCCACUGAGCACAAACAAAUUCUCGAUUUCUUCAAUCCCAGAUCUGAAUUCUUCAGAAAACCCAUUGAUUCUCCUUUAGGUUUCUAUUCCAGCGUGAUGAGGAAUGCAUCCUUGGUUGCAAACUAUGAUGCCUGCAAUCUCAUGGGAUGCAGAAUCCCGGCGUUGGAAACUCUAAGGAACUUCAUUGAGCUCAGCCCUUAUAGACCUUUCGGAACUUACAUCUUCUGCACUGGAAAUGGAAAAUUGGUUGUCGUAAGGAACUCGAAUGCAGUAUUGCAGAUGCUGUUUUACUGUGCUCAGUGGACCCAAGAAGAAGCUGCAGGGGUUGCACAAAGAAGCCUAUCUGAACACUUGGCUUACAAAGAUGAAAUACAAGAGAGCUUAGGAAUGCAGAAUGUAGUCUAUCUAGAUCGUCUGGAAGAGAUUCCAGUGUCUUCAGAUGGCAGUCCAGCCACAGUCAACACGGCCUUGAAUGACCUCGGCCUGGUGAGCCUUCUUCCUUUCUUCUUAAUUACCUUACUGCCAAACUACAGAAUUUUAGCUUCCAUGUCUGUAAAUCUCAACUGAUGUUCUAGUGUUAUGGAUUGCAGAGCCCACAAGGCAGGCUAUGCCUUCAAGCUGCAGGAGAGUUGGAGAAGCGAAAGUCAAGAAAUCAGGAUAAGAUCAUUAAUGAUUAUAAGCAAAAGAUUGAAGGUGAAUUAAGAAAGAUGAGAAAGUACAAGGAAAAGGCUGAGACUUGCGGACUGGGCUACUAUGAUUCCUUUAAGCUCAACAAAUACGAAGAGGACUUUCGGGCUAAUGUGAGCAGGCUUGUGCUAGCUGGUUUCUGGGACGAGAUGAUGGAAAUGUUAAAAGCGUAUGAACUUCCGGAUGACUUUGAGAAGAGCCAUGACUUUAUACGACUUGGAACCGAUUAUCGCCGCACGGUUGAGCCUCUAGAUAUUGCCAACUUCUAUCGACACGCCAAGGAUGAAGAGACAGGGUUCUACAUGAAAAAGGGGACUCGACCAAAACGAUAUCGAUACAUCCAAAAUUGGCUCGAGCAUGCUGAAAAGAAGCCAUCUGGAUCCCGCUCAGAAUCCUGUUUCUGGGCUGAGGUAGAGGACCUCCGCAUUAAAACUAGAAGCUGUGGAUCCUCUCAAGAAAUUAAGCAGAAGGUUCAGCAACUGGAGAAAAAUCUAAUUAAAUGGAUUGAUGAUGAAUCUUUAGGCAAGGAUGUGUUGUUGAAGAAUUCCACCUUUGUUAUAUGGUGGAAAGGCCUUGGUCCUGAGUAUAAAUCAGAACCCGAAUCAUCUUGCAUUUCGAAACUCAUCGGUGGGUAAGAUUGAGAGGGCUUCAUACUGUCAUCUUGAGGCACUUGUUCAAAGCCAAUAACGGCAAUAACCCUGAAUGUAUGCAAAAUCCUGUUUCCUGUAUUAAUUAGUAUGCAAAAUCUUGUUUCCUGUAUUAAUCAGUAUGCAAAAUCCUGUUUCCUGUAUUAAUUAGUAUGCAAAAUCCUGUUUUCUGUAUUAGUAUGUAACGACUCAUUCCCAAUCGCAUAGAUAAUGUCACUGUGAUAUCCAGGGUCUCAGGUCCAACUAUGUGAAAAUCAAGAAUGCAAAUGACUAGAUAUCAAGGGGUAAUGCUCAUAAUACUUUCAUACAAACAAGUUAGAAUUGUGUAAGUUCUACAGACGAUUAUUCAAGCAGUUGUACUUCAACACAGAUGAAGUUUGUGAUUUGAAGUUACAACUAUCUGAUAAUAAAGAAGAUGAGAAGGCAUAUUUCUUAAGAAAAUGGUCAUGAUAGCAUUUGGCAGAGAGGAGCAUACUAAUACAAAAGAUUGAAAAUGGGUUGAUAAAUUAACAGGCAGAUGGACGCUUGAUGUGCAUAUUCCUUGGCCGAUCAAUAUGUAUAUGAAAAUACUGUGACAAAGACCUAGUUAGCUCCACAAUGAAAAAAGAAGCCCUUGCCAUAUGACGACAGAGGCCCUGUCAUAGACUCACAGGUCAACUACAACCAGUUCCUUCCUAGCUGUCAGAACUUUCCUUAUUGUGCAAGAAAGAAUAAGCGUGAUAUUCUGAUGCUCCCUUACUAAUUUACUACUGAACACAAAUCAACAAGCCAUCCCUUUAAGGACAUAUCUAUAAGUUCCAUCUGGAAAGGACCUCUCCAAUGGUUACAUAUAUCUUUCUUUAUAGGCCACUAAAUGAAGCCCUUUUCCAUAACCCAAUACAACCCAGUCGGAACAUAUCAUCCUCAAAAGUGAGAAAUCAUCGACACCAUAAGGGUGCAUUUGGGAUAUGGGAAUCGGAAAGGAAAUAGGAUGGGAAUGAAGGUGAAUCACGUUAUCAUGUAGAAGAGAGGAAUCAAAAUCCUAGUGAAAGUAGUGUUAAGAUAUGGACUCACAUAUCUAACAAUAGUUCAUGACUAAACUAUUCACCUCUUUUCAGUAUUUGUUUUCUGUUCGUUCAAGAGUAUGGGCCACCUAUGUGUAGAGCCCAAUGCCUUCACGGGCCUUAGAUGAUGGGCCUAAGACUCGUGAGACCCAAAAGCCCAAUGGGUAUGGUCCCUAAGGCAGGAGGGUAUAAAAGGUCAAGGGUCUGUUCAUUUUGGUAACAAUCACAUCAGUUUUGGAAUUAGAACAGACCCGUUUCUCUUCGACUCCCAUCGUCUGAGAGAAUUCAGAAAGAGGUGGUGCCCUCCACAGCCUUAGAAGAUCCAUACCGUAUUCAUCGCCGGAAAACAAUGGACUCAGGUAUGUUCUUAGACAACAGUGGAAGGCAUAAUUUGAAUGCUUGGUAUACAUAUAUAUCCUGUUUUUUUUUUUUUUUUUUUUUUUUGUGUUUUGGGUGAUAAUGGAAAUCAAGAAUAAUAACAAAUGGUAUCAAAGCCUCCCAUUUUCACCAAAACACUCUUUAAAACACAAACAUCAGACCCAAAGCAAAAGACGUUGGACUCAGGUGUUGUUUCGGGCAAUGGGAGUAGCGUUAGGGCGCUGCAACGCGUCAUUAGGAAUCAAAAUAGCGCCAUUCCGACGCUGUUCAUUUUGUCGGCGUCCUUUGCGCCGUUUUGACGUCGUUGAGAUGCCACUGCAGGCGUCGUCAGCCCGACGUCGCCACGACGUCGGUUGGAGGAGGAUUGAGACGCCGGUUUGGCGUCAUUCUCUAAUUAAGAACGCUGUUCAGGCGAUGGAAAAUGACUACGAUGCCGUUUAGGCAUCGUUUCUCAGUCAGCUGCUCGUGAUUUAGGCGUCAUUUUUUUGGCGUUCCAGACGCCGUCCAAGCGCCAAUGAGGAGCGCCAAAAUUAGGGCGUUGUUGCAGGCUACUCAGUAACGUCGUUAUUGCAUUUUUCUAGUGAUGGCACCACUGAUGACGCCGCUGCCGGCAUCCCAUAGUAAAAUGUCUAUUUUUGGUACGCCGUUUUGGUGGCACUGAAGCACCAUUUUCAGGCGCGGUUGGAGGGGCUGCUGGCGUCUGUUACAGGCGCCAUUAAGGCGUUUGUUACAAGCACCAUUCAAACGUCGUCCAGGCGUAGUCUGAUGGCAUCGUUCGUAGAUGGCUCCGGGGCUGCUGUCAGUUGGAUGCAAAAAUGAUCCCUUUUUACAACGUUUGAAAUUCCAUGUUUUUUUAAAAUUUUUUUUAUAUGUAUAUGCUUUUAAAAUUAUGCCAUAAUGAAGAUGGAAUAAUUUGAGAGAGUCUAUAUUCUUUUUUUGUGUUGUGGGAAAUUUUAUAUGUAUAUGCUUUUAAAAUUAUGCCAUAAUGAAGAUGGAAUAAUUUAAGAGAGUCUAUAUUCCUUUUUUGUGCGUUAGGAAAUUUAUAUGUAUGUGUUGCAUGUGAAAUAAUUAGGUAUCAUUCAAUGUCUUAUGAAUCAUGCAUAAAAUGGGUUUGUGGAUAAAUUUUUGAUUGAAUUAUUGCUUGCUAUAUUUAUGUUUAAUAUUAUAAAAUAAAUGAAUUAUGUAUACUUGUUGCCAAAGUAACUUGUAUUAGAUAAUUUUAUUUACUUUGAAAUGUGUAAGCAUGUUAUUAUUGUAUAAAAUAAUCAACCCAAAGGAGGAUUAUUUUUAUAUAAUAAUAAAUAAAGUAAUCAUGAAUAUGUGACAUACAAGGUUUAUCUUGCAUUCGAUAUGUUAGUCCAAAGACAAACAUAUUGUUUUCGGUUUUUUUUUUAUUGUCAAUAUUUAUGAAUUAAUUUAAGGAUGCUACUUACAAGUUGAUAUUUCCGUCCAAAGACUGAAUAUUGAUGUUUGUGCUAGGUAUCUUGUUGUAUGUCCACAUGCAUAUAUAUGUUUAAAUUUUAUUUAUUCAUGUACGUGUGAUGUUUAUAUGACUGAUUGUGAGCUUCAUUGUUAUUUCAACAUCUUCUAUAUCUGCAAAUGUCAAUAACAUUCCUGUGCUUAAUGGCAUAAACUUCAAGAAAUGGAAGGAGCACGUUAUAAUUGUGCUCAGGUGAAUAGAUUUAGACUAUGCAUUAAGAGUGGAUCGCCCUUCAGAUCUUACUAGUGCUAGCACUGCUGAGCAAAGGUCUGCUAUGGAAAAAUGGGAGUAAUCCAAUCGUAUGAGUCUAAUGAUUAUGAAGCACUCAAUUCCAGAAGCUAUAAGGGGUGCAAUACCUGAGGAAACCCAAGCCAAGGCAUUCUUGGACCAAAUAGCAAACCGAUUUGCUGCAAACGAAAAGGUUGAGACAAGCACUAUUCUUAGUAAGCUUGUCUCUAUGCGGUAUAAAGGGAAAAAGAAUAUAAGGGAGUACAUUAUGGAAAUGUCUAAUCUUGUGACUAGACUCAAGGCACUAAAGUUAGAGUUGUCGGAAGACAUACUCGUGCACUUGGUCUUGAUCUCUCUGCCUACACAAUUCAGUCCAUUCAAAAUCAGUUACAACACUCAAAAUGAGAAAUGAACUUUGAAUGAGCUUAUUGCUCAAUGUGUACAAGAGGAAGAGAGAUUGAAACAAGAGAAGAUAGAGAGUGCUCACUUGGCUUCCACGUCUUAGGGAUUUGGUACCAACAAGAAAAGAAAGAGGGACAAUAAAGGAAAACAAACUACAGUUUCUGAGACAUCAAAGCAGAAGGUGCAGAAGAAACAAGAUAAGGAGAUCACUUGUUUCUUUUUCAAAAAGACUGGUCAUAUGAAGAACACAUGUACCAAAUACGCAGCUUGGCGUGAAAAGAAAGGCACACUUCUCAACUUUGUUUGUUCAGAAAUUAAUUUAGCUGUAGUGCCUACUGACACUUGGUGGAUAGAUACAGGUGCAACUACUCAAAUAAGUGUCACUAUGCAGGGUUGCCUAAGGAGUUGAAUGUCAACUGAUGGUGAAAGAUACAUCUAUGUGGGAAAUGGAAACAAGGUUGCAGUCAAGGCUAUUGGUCUUUUUAGACUACAGUUGGACUCUGGAUGUACUUUGGAUUUGGAAGAGACUUUUGUUGUACCGUUGUUUAGACGGAAUUUAAUUUCUAUUUCAUGUCUGGACAAAUUUGGAUAUUGUUGUUCAUUUGGAAAUGGAAUGGUUAGUCUUUAUCUAAAUUCAAAGGUUAUUGGUACAGGUAGUCUAAUAGACAAAUUAUACAAAUUGAACAUAAAGGCCACUAAUGGAAAUGAAACCUUGCAUUCAAGUAAUUAUGACAUUAAGUGAAAAUUAAUAAAUGAGAAUUCAUCAAUGUUAUGGCACAAACGUUUGGGUCACAUUUCAAAUCAACGGAUUCAAAGGCUUGUGUCAGAAGGAAUUCUUGAUCCACUUGAUUCCUCAUACUUUCAAGUCUGUAUAGAGUGCAUUAAAGGUAAACAAACAAAUAUGAGGAAAAAUGAUGCCAAUAGGUGCAGUGACGUCUUGGAAUUGAUACAUACGGACAUUUGUGGUCCAUUCCCUACAACUUCUUGGAAUGGACAACAAUAUUUUAUCACUUUCAUUGACGAUUACUCGCGUUAUGACUAUCUUUAUUUGAUUCAUGAGAAAUCUCAAUCAUUGGAUGUGUUCAAGAAUUUUAAAGCUGAAGUUGAGAACCAACUAAGCAAGAAAAUAAAGGUCGUCAGAUCUGAUCCUAGAGGUGAAUACUAUGGUAGAUAUGACGGAUCAGGUGAACAAUGUCCAGGGCCAUUCGCCAAAUAUUUGAUGGACUGUGGAAUCGUUCCUCAGUACAUCAUGCCAGGGACUCCAAGCCAAAAUGGUGUAGCAGAGAGGCGAAACCAUACUCUUAAGGAUAUGGUAAGAAGUAUGAUAAGUCAUUCCAUCUUACCAGAAUCACUUUGGGGCGAAGCUAUCAAAACUGCAGUUUACAUUUUGAAUAGAGUACCAAGCAAAGCAGUAGCCAAAACCCCAUAUGAGUUAUGGACUAGCAAGAAGCCUAGGAUUAGGCACUUGCAUGUUUGGGGUUGUCCAGCUAAAGCUAGGCCUUAUAAGCCAAAUGAAAAGAAAUUGGACUCCAGAACAGUGAGCUGCUAUUUUGUAAAGUAUUCUGAAAGGUCAAGAGGUUUCAAAUUUUAUGACCCCUCAUCUAGAUCCUUCUUUGAAACGGGUAAUGCUAAGUUCAUUGAGGAUGUUGAGUUAAGUGGGAGAGAAUCAUUAAGAAAUGUCGUUUUUGAAGAGGAAUCUAUUAGUAUUCCUACGACUGGACAUGGUCAUAUUAUGUUUGAUGACACUAUUUAGAAUGUACAGUCGAUAACAAAAAUUCAAGACACACCUGAAAUUCCUCCUACUCAAGUUAUGGAACCGAUUCAAGUUCAUCAAGAGGUAACUCAACAACCUCAAGUACAAGUGCCACUGAGGAGAUCCACUAGAGAAAGGAGAAGUAAAAUUUAAGAUGAUUAUGUUGUAUAUCUCCAAGAACAUGAGUUUGACAUGGGUCUGAAAGACGAUCCAAUUUCAAUUAGUUAAGUCAAACAAAGUUCUAACUCUGAAAAGCGGAUAGAAGUCAUGAAGGAAGAGAUGAAAUCAAUGAAAGACAAUGGUGUUUGGGACCUAGUAGAGUUGCCUGAAGGUAUAAAACCGAUUGGUUGUAAAUGGAUUUUUAAAACCAAAUGGGAUUCAAAAGGUAACAUUGCUAGGUAUAAGGCACGCCUAGUCGCAAAAGGUUUCACUCAAAAGGAAGACAUUGAUUAUAAGGAGACCUUUUCACCGGUUUCGUCAAAUGACUCCUUUAGAAUCAUCAUGGCACUUGUAGCUCAUUAUGUUUUAGAGCUACAUCAAAUGGACGUUAAAACUGCGUUUCUUAAUGGUAACAUUGAUGAAACAAUAUACAUGGUGCAAUAGGAGAACUCUGAGUCUAAUGAUUCAAAGCAACUUGUAUGCAGAUUAAAAAGGUUCAUAUAUGGUUUAAAGCAAGCAUCCUGACAGUGGUACCGAAAGUUUGAUCAGGUGAUCACUUCAUUUGGUUUUAAGGAGAACACCGUUGAUCAAUGCAUAUACCUCAAGUUUAGUGGGAGCAAAUUUAUUAUCUUGGUGCUAUAUGUUGAUGAUAUUCUACUUGCAAGUAGUGAUGUGGGACUUUUGCAUGAAACCAAGCGAUUUCUAUCUAGUAAAUUUGAUAUGAAAGAUCUUGGUGAUGCAUCUUUUGUGCUGGGUAUACAGAGAUCUAUAGGGAUCAUUCAAGAGGUAUACUUGGGUUAUCACAAAAGGCCUACAUUGAUAAAGUGUUGAGUAGAUUUGGCAUGAGCAAUUGUGCACUAGGAAACACGCCUGUGGCAAAAGGGGAUAAAUUUAGUUUGCACCAAUGUCCGAAAAAUGAACUUGAGAAGAAGGAUAUGGAGAGGUUUCCCUAUGCCUCGGCCAUUGGAAGUCUCAUGUAUGCACAAGUUUGUACGCGUCCGGAUAUUGUGUACAUUGUUGGAAUGUUAAGCAGAUAUUUGAGUAACCCAGGUAUGGAUCACUAUAAAAAGGCAAAACGGGUUAUGCGGUAUUUACAAAGGACUAAAGACUAUAUGCUCACAUACCGUAGAUCCAGUCAUUUGGAGAUCGUGGGAUAUUCGGACUCCGAUUUCGUAGGAUAUCUUGACAGCAGGAGAUCCACUUCAGGAUACGUCUUCAUGCUGGCUGGAGGAGUAGUUUCAUGGAAAAGUGUUAAACAAACACUUAUUGCUUCUUCCACCAUGGAGGCAGAAUUCAUAGCUUGCUACAAGGCAUCAAACCAUGGGAUAUGGCUACGGAAUUUUAUCACUCAAUUGCGAAUUAUUGAUGGGAUUGAGAAACCAUUGAGAAUCAAUUGUGAUAAUAAGGCCGCAAAAUUGUAUUCUAAGAACAACCGAAGUUCAUCAAAGUCCAAACACAUUGAAAUCAAGUUCUUGGUUGUGAAAGAAAGAGUUCAGAGUCUUCAAGUAUCGAUUGAACACAUAAGCACAAACUCCAUGAUUGCGGAUCCGCUCACUAAGGGUUUCCCACCCAAAGUAUAUCAUGAGCAUGUCACACAUAUGGGUGUUGUACACAUUGAUGAUGUGCCAAUAUAGUGGGAGUUUGUAUUUAGAUUUUGUGUUUGUUUUCUUGAUGUGAUAUCAUGUUAUGUUAUCUAUACAGACCUUGGUUUUUAAAGACUAUUGUAUUUGAAUACUCUGAAUUGAAAUGAAGACUUUUAGAAGCAGUUUAACAUCAAGUGUUGAAAGUGGAAUUUGACUAAUUUUUAGUCAUAAAGUGGGACCAAUUGGAAAUAGACAUAUUAGAGAUCACAUUCUAUGUAAUUUUCAUGCUACACAUCCAUACUUGAUCCAUGUUGCUAAUUUUGUUAAUACUGUGAUCAUUGAUGGGUUUAGUUAUAAUUAUGAUUAACGAAUGCCGCUUUGAUCCUACAUUAGCAUAACUAGUAGACUAGAUUGUUUAAGGAUAUUAAGAUAGAAUAGCAAGAUGAGCUCAAUAAAGUCCUAUCAUGAAUAUUGUUUUGUAAUAUAUGUGGUCCAAGUGGGAGAUUGUUAAGAUAUGGACUCACAUAUAUAACAAUAGUUCAUGACUAAGCUAUUCACCUCUUUUCAGUAUUUGUUUUCUGUUCGUUCAAGAGUAUGGGCCACCUAUGUGUAGAGCCCAACGCCUUCACGGGCCUUAGAUGAUGGGCCUAAGACUCGUGAGGCCCAAAAGCCCAAUGGGUAUGGUCCCUAAGGCAGGAGGGUAUAAAAGGUCAAGGGUUUGUUCAUUUUGGUAACAAUCACAUCAGUUUUGGAAUGAGAACAAACCCGUUUCUCUUCGACUCCCAUCGUCUGAGAGAAUUCAGAAAGAGGUGGUGCCUUCCACAGCCUUAGAAAAUCCAUACCGUAUUCAUCGUCGGAAAACAAUGGACUCAGGUAUGUUCUUAAACAACAAUGGAAGGCAUAAUUUGAGUGCUUGGUAUACAUAUAUAUCCUGUUUUUUUUUUUUUGGGUAAUAAUGGAAAUCAAGAAUAAUAACAAGUAGCAUUUGGUUUCCAUAGUAAUUCAUUUUUUAUUCUUGUUCUCAUUAUAAAAACAAUUCAAACAUAGUAAUUAAUGAAAAUGAAAUUGAUUUUGCACUACUAUUCUCUAUCCCAGUGUGCCAAACAUGACCUAAGUUAUGUUACCUCAUUCUAUUCCUAAUUGACUUGAAGUUCCUUUGGAGCAAAAUAGAACACAUUGCCCUAUGAUAGAAAAGUUUAUUUUUCAGGUCGGCCUACUUUGAGGCUUUUUUUCCAAAUCGGUCCAUUUGAGACAAACCAUUGUCUAACUAAAUGGUGCGUAUGACCUUGCAAUAAAUAAAACGUCAAACAAUGCAUGAAAUUACAACAAGAAAAACAUUCGAGGUCCAACACCCACCUUGAUCAUUUUGAACAUUGUCACUAAAAAAUCAAGAACUUUGAAACUUUUCAACCCAUGUGGGUCUCAUACAAUUGUAACAUGAAGCAUGAUUAAGACGUUAAGGUUAGGGUCCUAUGAAAAUUACUUUUUGCUCUUUUCAAAGUGUCUUGGGUCUUAUCCUUAUCGGUUAGAGAGACUCUUCUUAGUUGGUAUGACUUCUUUGUGGGCAAGAAGCUCAAAAAAACUUGGAAAAUUGUCCCUUCAUAUAUUUUUUGAAUAGUUUAAAAAGAAAUGAACAAACUUAUCUUUGAUGAUGAGGAGUUGUCCAUACAAAGGUUGAAAAACUCCUUUGUUUGUACAUUUUGAUCUUAGAUUAAAUCGUGAUCAGGUUGCUAUAAAUUGAUUUCAAAUAUUCACAUCAAUCUUUGCUAAAAACAAAAAUAGAAUAAAUUAGAAUAAAUCUUGAAGGAAUUAUGCUAAGAUUCAUUAAGCUAAUUGUAAUAACCAAAGAUAAUGCAAUUAUAGACAUCUUUUCCCUCAAAAGAUAGCUAGCUUAUUAUAAAAAUAUUUUAUUAUUCUUCUUUUUCAUAAAUGUUUUUAUGUUUUUUGUCUAUAGCACAUAAGGGUUACAUCAAUUGUGACAUAAAUUAAGUAGAUUUUUCAUUGCUAAAUUACUAUAUAUUCAAAUCUUUAAGUAGAAUUGUGCAACACGAUCCACAAAGUGAUGUAUAAGCAUUUGAUUUUUAUCAAAUGUUUUUCAAAAACUCCUCUAAAUACUUGGUCUUAUUGAGUGUUUAAAAUGGACAAUAUUAAGAUACUUUAUACCAUGUUUCUUAACAUAUUAAAGAUGUUUAAUUAGGGCUAAACAAAUAUUAGUGACUUCCAAGCCUUUCAUGAAUCUAGGGAGCUACAUGCUUUUAUAAACUAAAAGGCUUAUAAGAUAAAGAAGUUUCAUAAUUUUCAAUUUUUAUGUAUACAAUAAGAUUUUUAUAUAUUCUACCACUUAUUUUAUCUUAUAUUUGAUUGAACAUAUAAUAGGAUAAUCGUGGUUUAAAAUAUCGAUAUAUACCGAUAAUAUAUCGGUACUUGAAUUUUACGGAUAUAUCGGAAAUAUUGAUAGAUAUUUUGGUAAAAAUAUUGGUGAUAUGAAAAUUAUUCAAAAUUCAUGUAAAUGCUUGGAAAAACUCUAAAAAUAAUAAAAUAAGCAAAAAUAAGCAAAAAUACAUAUAUUAAAGUUUUUUUACAAAUAUAAUUAACAUAGGUAUGACCAAGGAUAAUAUUUAUCAUUUUUUUUUAUAGAAAAAAUUAUCUAAAACUCCCUUAAUACAUUUAUAUUCGUUUAAUUUCUAAAAUUUUAUUACUUGUGGUGACAACUUUUUCUAUCAAUAUUAAUUUGUUUAAAUAAUUAAAAUUAUUAAAAAUUAUGUUAAUAAUUUAUCUUAUCAAAUUAAUUUUAAUUUAUAAAAUAUUAUAACUUCAUUAUUUUUUUUAUAUUUUAGUAAUUUUUGAAUAAAUUUAUAUUUUUUAAUAUUUUAAAAUAAAAAGAUUCAAAAUUAUAUAUGAUUUUUUUAUACUUUUUAUAUUAUUGCUAUUUAAUUAUCAUAUAAAUGAUUUAAAAAAAAAGACUUGUUAAAAAAAAUUAUAAUGAUGGUUUUCAUACUUUUAUUAAUUAAUUAAAUAAAAUUUAAAAUAUAAUAAGUAGAAUUAAUUUAUUUAUUAAAAUAUUUCUUUAAUAAUGGAUUUUAAUAUAUACUUGUGCACAUUUAUUAAAAAGGGUGAAUUUGCCCGAGUGGUAGUUGGGCUUUAACCCAAGCAUUUUGGUCUCGUUCCAAUCCCUGCCAUAUUUCAGAAAACAAGUGAAACAUCGCUGGGCCGACUUUCAGCCCAUAUUUCAUGUCAGGCCUCACCAACAAAUGAAAUUUCGCCGACAUUUCAAAGGUUUUUUUUUAGUACUACCGACUACAAACUACCACCAAAACAAUGAUAAAAGAAAAAGACUGAAAUAUCCUCAGAAUUUAAAUUUAAGUAAAUAUAUCUUGAACCUCAAAUAACAACCUUUUUAUGGGAUUAGUAUAAUUAAAAUUUGAUCAUGGAACUUUCAAACUUAAAAUUUUAUAUUGAUUUGGGAAACAUGAACAUUAAGGUUAUGUUUGGUUCUCGGAAAAUUUGAGGGAACCUGUGAAAGAAAUAAAAUAGAGAAAAAAAGUAGAAGGAAAAUGAAAAGUAAGUUUAGAUUUAAUAAAUUAUUUUAAAUUAAUUUUAAUUAUAUUUUAUUUUCUUUUAUAUUUUUUAUAGUAAAAUUAAAUAUGAGAAAAUCAUUUUUCUUAAUAUAUAAUUUUCUUUUCCUAGUAUUUUUUGAAACAGCCUAAUUAAAAUCAUCACAAGAACUUAUUGAUUAUUGUAUACAAUUCUAUUUGUAUAGCAUAUCUAGGCUAUAUAGAACUUUUUAACACAUACACCAACAAGCAACUUCUCAUUAUGAUAAUCUCCAUUCCCAAGUUCUAAAUCCAUCCAAAUACGUACUUCAUGGCAAAACUGUAACACACCAAAAUAAACUUUAGGAGUAAAAUAGUAAAUUAUAAAUUAAUUAAUUAAUUAAACUCAUUAAAGGUAAAAGAGUCCUUUUAUAAUUAAUAAUCUUUGGUAUAAAUUAGAUUCUUCUUUAUUGAGAAAACUCUAUUAACCAAAAAUCAGUGAAUUGGAGAACGUAGGGCUCAAGGUUUGAAAGUCUAGAGUUUGAAGUUCAGAUUUUUCCAGGUAAGAUUCUAACUCUAGAUUAAUAUAUUAUAUUCGUUAGUUAGUUUUGAAUAUAUUAGAUAUUCUUUAGAAAAUUUUAAUUUAGAUUAGGGCUAGUUUAGUUAAUUUAUUUUAAGAUAAAAAAAUUGAAAUUAUGAAUAUAAGUUGUUUCAUUUAUGAAAAUAGGGAAAUUCGAAUUUUUUUUUUAUAUGAAUAGAUCUAAACAAUGAGAUUUUAAAAAUUAAAUGAGUAAAUAAAUAUAUGAUUAUAUGUGGCUUAAGGGAUUGGAAAAUAAUAAGAAAAAGAAUUGCAUGUUUGUGAAUUUUGGAUUUGAGGCAAUGUGUUGGAGUGGCAAAAAAUAAAAUGAUAUGUAACUGUGAAAAGGGUGGUAGUGGAAUAAAUUAAAAUAAUAACAAUGAGUAGAGUUGAUGGGGUUGUUGGAGUUGUUAAAAGUACAUGAGGUAUUUUGUUAAAUAAGAGGGGACAUUGAGAUUAAUAAGAAUAAUGAUAAUAAUAAUAAUAAUAGUAAGAAUUGUGUGAUUUGGAUGUUUGUGAGUGAUGUAUAGUAGGGGUGUUUUUGGAUGUUGCAGGGUAUCGAAAAAUAUAGUAAUAAUAAAAAUAAUUGUUUUUAAUAAAAGUUUUAAUUUAGUUUAAGUAUACAAAAGAAGUAAAUGGUUAGAAUAAGAUUUGGAAGAAAUAUGAGUUUAUAAAAAAUUUGGAAAUUCAUUAAAUUAUAUUAUUAUUGUUUAAGAAGUUGAAACUAAUAUUCGGUAGUAAUAAUAUUAGAAUGAUAAAUUAAUUAAGAUCCCUAAUACUAAAUAAAAUAUUUUUAGGAUUGUCAAAUUUUUACCUUUAGAUAAUUAUGUAUGAUAUUAUGUUAGGUGAAGAGUAAAUUCGUCAAGCUAAAUACUUCAAGUUUUUGAGCACUUCUUCAAGGUAAGGGAAAUUAAUGCAGAUUUUUUAUAAAUAAUAAUAAUAAUUUUCUUUUUAUAUUGUAUUUUGAAAUGUGUAAAAAUAUUAUUUUUAUUUUUUCGCAUGGAUCAAAUAUGCAUUUUGUAUGGAAAGUAUAUUUGAGAAUUUUCUUUGUUUAUGAAAAAUGAAAAAUUGAGGAGAUAUAAUAUUUUGUUUUGUAAGUUUGACUUAAUGAAAUAAAGUGUUUGACUAUGGAUUAUAUGACCCUAGUCAAUGAGUUAUAAUUGUUGAUAUUUUCGGUUUUAGUCAACGAUUUAUAAUAGUUGAUAUUACAUAGCCCUAGUCAACAGGUUAUAAUAGUUGACCUUAUGACCCUAGUCAACGGGUUAUAAUUGUUGACUUUUGGUUAUGUUCACCUUAAAUGGAACAAAUUUGAAACUACCCACUCAUUUGUGAAGUCCCACCUAAUAGGCCACCAUUUGUUAUUUGAUAAUCAGAGCAAAGAUAUUUUGAAUGUAUUUGAUUUGGUUUUGAUGAGAAAUUGUUUUGAAAUGGAUAUGAGAAAGUUUUGUUGAAAAGUUUGAAUGUAUUAGUAUUUUGAACUCAAAAGUUUUUAUGAAAAUAAGUAUAUGUUAUACCUCCUAUUUGCAAGUAUGAUUGAAAAUGUUUGAUCCAUGAAACUGUAUUAAUGUUCUUUAUCGGGCUUUGAGUUCAUCCCCCUUUAUUGAUAAUCUUUCAAGUAACCUCAGUUCGGGCGAGGAGUGACCCUUAUGAGGGAAAUUUAGCUUUAUUAGGACAUUUGUUUAAACUUUUUUUAUUUUGGACAUUAUUGAAAUGUUAAAACUUAAUUCUUGUUUCAAUUAUUUUGAGUUUAGAGUUAUUUGGACAAUAACAUUUUGGUUGAUGUAUUAGUUUUUUAAAAAAGUUGAUACUUGGAGAUUUUAGAAUUUUGUCCUAGAAUAGGAAUUUGGUAAUUGGUAAAUUUCCAGUUACAAUACGGAUGUCGUUUCCACUUUGAGCUUUUAGGCUUGAGUUGUGAAAUGACUGUCAUGCCCUUGGAGUGGGUUUUGGGGCAUGACAGAGUGGUAUCAGAGCACUAAGUUAUGAUCUUGUUGGGAACUUGUUUUAGUUUACAUUUGGGAUAGACCAGUGACACAUUAGUUUAAGUUUCAAUUUCAUCUUUUAUAAAUUCCUAUUUUUCCUUAUGAAUCUAAAUUUCCUAAUUAGUUUUUUAGUGACUAAUUUAAUUAUACCUAAUGUUUUAUUGGACAACAUGGCACCAAGAAGAACAACAUCUUCCCAAAACAGUCAGGCUAAUAAUGAUGUACCUCCUCCACUUGAGGGUUUGCCUCCCAUGAAUGUAGAAGAACUUUAUAGGUAUUUUGAGACUUUAGCUGGUUUGGUUAAGCGUCAGGCUAGAGCUAUUGAGACUCAAGCUCUUGGACAACACUCAUCUUCUAAGGGUAGCUCAUUUUAUGACUUUAAUAAGUUAAGUCCUCCUUAAUUUUCUAGUACUUCAGACCCAAUGGAAGUAGAAGCUUGGAUUCUUAAGAUAGAGAAAUUCUUUGAUGUUAUAUAUUGCUCUGAGGAGCAAAAAGCCUAUUAUGCAACAUUUAUGUUAGAUAAAAAAACAGAUCAUUGGUGGCGUAUGACCAAAAGGCUUUUAGAGGAUCAAAGACCUAUAGUUUGGAGACAAUUUAAGGAGGCAUUUUACAAAAAGUAAUUCCCUGACAGUUUUAGACGAUAAAAAGUAGGAGAGUUUGUUCGUUUGGAAUAGGGGGAUAUGACGGUGGACCAGUAUGAGGCUAAAUUUACAGAGUUGUCAUGUUUUGCUCCACAAUUAAUUGCUACAGAGGAGGAAAAGGCAUUAAAGUUUCAGGAUGGAUUGAAACCCUAUCUAAAGAACAAAAUAUAUAUAUUUUGAAGCUUAGUGCCUAUUUAGAGGUUGUAGAUAAAGCUCGUAUAGCGGAAAAGGAUAAUAAAGAGCUUUAACAGUACAGAGAACAACAAAUGAAGAGGAGUAGGAGUGAUGAUGCCCAUGAGAACCAAGAACCAAAAAGGUUUGAUUCAAUUGAGAGUCCGAAUAAAGGGGAAACAAUGCAAAAUUCAUAUUUGACUUGUUCUAUUUGUGGUAAGAAACAUUGGGGUAAGUCUUGCUAUAAAGAGUCUGGAGCUUACUUUGGUUGUGGGAAGCAUGGACAUAUGAUUCAGGAUUGCCCAAAGAAUAAGAAGUUUAUGAUUGGGAAGCCUAAAGAGGAGAAUAAAGAGGAUAAACAGAAACCCAGAGUCCAAGGGCGAAUGUUUGCUAUGACUCAUCAAGAUGCUCAAGCCACUUCUGAUGUGACGACAUGUACUAUUCGAAUUUGCAAUUGGGAAAGUUGUGUUUGUAGCUACCUAUUUGAAAGUAUUAUGGAUAUCAAAUUGGAAGAAGUUGGAAUAUGAGAUUUGACCAUGAAAUGGCAAAAUAUUAUCUUUCUCAUGCACUCUUUUUUUUACUCCAUUUUAUGUUCCUAGAUUGCCCCUCCAUGUUUCCAUGUCAGCAACCCUAUCUUCAUAUUAGCAGGAAACCCUCCAUGUCACAUAAGAGACUUGAAAUUUAUAAAACAGAAAAAUCAAACCUAUGAAAAUCACCUGACCCAAGACCCAUGUAAAAUUUUUAAAAUCUUUCUUCUCUUUGAUUUGGGAGCUUCUCUCUCUCUUUUGGCUUCAUCACCCACACAAUCCCGAGACCCAUGUAAAAUUUCCUAAAAUUGUCUUAUUAGAGAGGAAAAAACCAUUAAUCCAAAACUCCAACCUGUGUGUUUCUCUCUUGUCCACAUAAAAGUGCAACGAAAUGGAGCAUUCCAUCCUAUGAAUGUUCGGUUAAAAGAAAACUUCAAGAGGCGCAUCCGUGAUUGUGAAUCUACUAUAGCAGCAGGUACCGGAACGGAAAGAUGGAAUCCAAAAUAUUGGGUUUGUGAACAAGAUAUCUCUUCUUGUCAUUGAGUGGCAUUUUUCCCUAACCCCAAACCGAAAUAUAAAGGUAAAUUAUUUUCAUUUAUUGUUCUUUAGUUCAUUAAUUUGAAAUAGAGCACAUCAACAAUUUUGGAGUAGUUGGUGGACUUGAACUUUUGUGUUGGGUUGUGGAAAUCGUAUUAUUCCUAAAUAACCAUAUGACCCACAAGUCGUAUUUAAUUCAGAUGAAACUUACAACAUAUCUAGUUAUAAGUCGCAUUGUUAUUUUGUGGACUGUACCUUAGGUACUACCUUAAUAGCCCUUAGGUACUACCUUAAUUUACUUUAGGUACUACCUUAAGGGACCUUAGGUAUUACCUUAGUUAAAGUUGGGUUCUACCUAUCCCAAGCCUCGGACCUUCCUUUGUGACCCUUAGACCAUGCCAUUAUGUGAUUUUUUUAUGUGGGCAAGUGGUUCACCUUUGGUUUUUUGCAAAUUGUACCUUAGGUACUACCUUAAGGGACCUUAGGUACUACCUUAGUUAAAAUUGGGUUCUACUUAUCCCAAGCCUCAGACUUUCCUUUAUGACUCUUAGACCACACCAUUAUGUGAUUCUUUUGUGUGGGCAAGUGGUUCACCUUUGGUUGUUUGCAGACUGUACCUUAAGUACUACCUUAAUAGCCCUUAGGUACUACCUUAAUCUACCUUAGAUACUACCUUAAGGGAUCUUAGGUACUACCUUAGUUAAAGUUGGGUUCUACCUAUUCCAAGCCUCGAAUCUUUCUUUGUGGUCCUUAGACCAUGCCAUUAUGUGAUUCUCUUGUGUGGGCAAGUGGUUCACCUUUGGUUCUUAAAGGACUGUACCUUAUGUACUACCUUAAUAACCUUUAGGUACUACCUUAAUAUACCUUAAAUACUACCUUAAGCGACUUUAGGUACUAUCUUAGUUAAAGUUGGGUUCUACCUAUCCCAAGCCUUGGACCUUCAAUCCCGGACAUUACUUGUUAUAAUUUAAAAUUUGUAGUUUAUCAUUACUAAUACUUUGUAUUUUAAAAUAUGAUAUUAUUUUAAAUUGCAUAUGUUUUUUUUUAGAAUUUCCCUUAAUUUCUCUAAAACAUAUUAUUAAGUAAAUAAAUUUUAAAUCAAAUUAUUAAUUUUUAAAAAUAAUUUGAAACUCAAAAAUCAAUUUAGGGUACUUUUUUAUUUGAAUAACAUAGAAAAUCAUGGACUUCAACAAAAUAGUAUCAAAAAAAUCAUAAAUUAAAAUUCAUUUUGAAUGACUUCACUAGUUUCUUCUUUAUAUAUAAUUAUAUUUUGGUAAAUUUUUUUAUUUGGCAAAUAAACUCUAAAUCAAGCAAGACUUUGUGCAUUGGAUUCUUUAACGGAUCUAGUAAUUUUUUAAAAUAAGUUAAACUCAAAUAGUGAUCAAAUUAAUAUAAGAAAUCUAUGAACAAAAAUUAAUAACUUUAUUGUUUAUUUUCUAUAUAAAAUCAAUUUUUUUAAAUUUUGUUUACUAAAAAAAUAAACUUCAAAUUAAAUAAAAUUUAAUGCAUUGAAUUUAUUAACAACUCUAAGUAAUUUUAAAAAAUAAUUUAAAAAUCAAAUAGUGAACCAAUCAAUACCAUAAAUUUUUGGAUAUAAAUUGAUCUCUUCUGUUAUUUAUUUAUGAACAUAGUUAUAUUUUUAUAAUUUCAUUCACUACAAAAAUAAACUUAAAAAUCAAAUAAUAUUUUGUGCUGAAUUUAUUUAUUUUAAAUGAUACUAUUAAUCAUUCUUAAUUUUAAAAUAUUAGAAUUAAUUUUUAAUAAAAAAUCAAUUAUUAUUUUACAAAGAGGUCAAUAUCCAUAUUUCUAUAAUAAAGAGCAAAAUAGUAUAAUAAAUUCAUUUUAAAUAAUAUUAUUAAUUAUUAUUAUUUUUAAAACAUUGUUAUUAAUUUUUAAUUAAAAAAAAUCAAUUAUGUUUUUACAUAGAUGUCAAUAUCCAUAUUUCCAUAAUAAAGGGUAAAAUGGUAUAACUUUAAUAAAAAUAUAUAUAUAAUUUUGUGAUUGUAAUACAAUAUUACCAUUCCUAUUUUACUAAAGACUAUUUAUUGUUUAAUUACAAAACUAAUUUUAUUUUCAAUAAGAAUUUUAUUAAAUUUAAUUAAUAUUACAUAUAGUAUUUUUAUUAAAAUUUUGUUAAUAUUAUAUAAAUUUAAUUUACAAUGUUUUUACAAAAUCAAAAUAAAAAAUAAUAAUUUUAAAAAACAAUGCAUCCAAAUAAGUUUUUUUAUCUUUAAAUUUAAAAAUAAAUAAAAAAUAACUUACCAAAUACCCCUAUUUUUAUGAAAUACUAAAAAACUAUAUCUAUAUAUAUAUAUAUAUAUAUAUAUAUAUAUAUAUAUAUAUAUAUAUUGGUUUUUAACUUCAAACAAUUUUUUCAAAAAUAUAAUAAAAUAUGACCUUAUAUUCUAUUCAAACUUAAACGUUAAAUAGUAAUUCUCUUUUUGUCUGCGAGCUACUAAUGUGGACCCUGCAUUUUGCACGAUGCGUUAUCACUUGACGACGUGACUUACUUUUUAAUUUAUUUGGUGAAAAUUUGAUAUUUUUUGAAAAAUACUUGGAGUCGCCACUUAUUUUAUUUUUUUUAAGGGAAAAAAAAUAAGAAAUAAAAACCCUAAGUGUAACUCUUGAAGCUGUGAAAAAUCGAGUUUGGGUCCGGGGAUCAGGUUACUUAUUAGGAAUGUACGGUGGUGAGUCGUAGCACCCCUCUAAGCCCAUAUACAUAUGACCUCUACUAAACGAAUUAAGGGAAUUGUGACAAUUAAUUAAUUAAUUAAUUAUGGAUACCAAGAAAAAUAAUCAUGCAAAUGAGUAUGUACAAGUCAUGGUGAAAAUCAUUAUACAUAAAAAUAAUGAUGAAAUCUAAUUACAAAAAUACACAAAAUAAAUGACAAGAGAAUUAUGCAAAAUGAUUUAUUGAACUAAAAAAAUAUUUUAAAAGAAUCAGUUUUCAAGAAAUUUCAAAGAAUUUUGUUAAAAACAAUUUUCAAUUAAUGAUUUUAAUUUAUUUAUUUUAAAAAAAAAAGUCAAUUUAUUUUCUCAACUUCAUUCGUAUUCAAUUUUCAAAAAAGUUAUUUACACUUAUUGUAUCAAAAAAAUUUAUUACAAAAUUUCAAUUUGGCAACAAAAAUUAUUUUACUUGCUUUUACAAAAAAUGAAUGAAUUUUUACAAUUUUAUUUACAAAAGUAUUUCAAUUUGUUUUCAUUUAAGAAAAGUGAUUUAUACAAAUUAUUUAAAAAGACAUGACUUUAUUUGCAAAAGGAAUUUUAAUUGAAAAUAAAAAAAAAAAGAUUUAAAUCAUCUAUUUCUAAAAAAAAAAACUUUUAAUCCCAUUUUAAUUAAGGAAAAAGAAUUCAUUUUUUUUUAAAAAAAGAAUUCAUUUUUUUUUAAAAAAAAACAUUUUUUAGACAAUUUUAUUAAAAAUUAAUUUUUAGGACACCUUUAUUUACAAAACAAAUUUUAAACAAUUUUUAUUAAACAAAGAAAUUUUUGGACAAUUUUAUGAAAAACAGUUUUUCAAAUUCUAUUAAAAACAAUUCUUUUGGAUUUUUCUAAAUGCAGUUUUCUGAAUUUUUAUUAAUGAAAAAGCUUUCUUUUAUUAAAAAUAAUAUUUUAAAAUUAUUAUUUUAUUAAAACAUAUUUACUGAAUUCUUCUUCUUAUUUAAAUAAAAUUUAUAGUUUGUUCGAUGUUCAAUUUUGCACACACUCAAUAAAUAUAUACAAAUGAUUAUUUAUAAGAACUAAUAAAAAUAAAACCAAAUAAAAGUGGGAAAUAAAAUAUGUACUCAAAUAAAUUUAACACAAGCUCAAUAUCUUCCUACAGCUUUUCGAGCCUCACUUUCUUCCAUGAAAUUUUGUGUUCCACAUGUCAUAAAUUCGUACUCAACCAACAAGAUUAUAGGUCCAUGCAAAAACAAAAAUAUCUCAAAUGUAAAUAUCUAAAAAUGUAUAAAAUUCAUAAUAGAUAUUCAAGCCCAAAUUCAAAUUAGUCCAACAAAUUUCAUCAAUUAAAAGUGGACUCAAAUUAGCAAAUAUAACCCGACAAAAAUAUCUCACAUGUCAUAAGCCCUAAUCUAAAAUUUCCAAAUUAAUAGCCAAAAUAUAAGCUCAAUUAAUCAAACCCAAAACAUGAUAAAUUAAAAUAAAUCUCAUUAGGCCUAAACUUAAUAUCUCAUAAUCCAAGCCCAAUUUAAUAUGCAAACUUAAAUCUACAACCAAAAUCAACCCAAUUUAAUAUGCAAACCCACAUCCAAAAUAUACCACAAUAAUAUAUCAUAUCUAAAUUAAAUAAUUCAAAUGAGUACAACUAUAUAAAUUAUCAAUUAAUCUAACCCAAAUUAAGAAAUUCCAAAUUAAUUCACCAACAAUUAAUUAGCCCAAAAUUCAUAUUAAUUUACCAACAACAAAUUAACCCAAAUUUCAUAUUAAUUCAACAAUCUAAAUUUCACAAACAACAAUUACUAUUAAAAUAAAAGGAAAAUAAUAAUAAUAACAACAACAAUAACAACAACAAUAAUAAUAAUAGAAAAUAAGUGGGAUGUGAAAGUGAGGGAAUGAGAGAAAAUGGGAGGGGGUCGUCGGUAGCGACUGACCGGUGAUCUAUCGACAAUGAGGGUUGAUAGGUUUUUGGGAAACAAAAAUGAAAUAAAAAAAAAAGAUAAAUAAAAAAAUGGGAAGAAGAAAAAAAGGAGAAAACGGGGACGGAGAGACGCCGACAUCAUGCCACCGACAGUGAUGAUGGAGUCAGAUGGGGAUAUGGGCAUUGGGACGAGUUGUAGGAGAAAAUAAAAUGGAAAAGAAAUGGGCACCGAUCGUCCAUGUGUGUUGUGGGGGAGGGAAAAAAAAAUGAAAAAAUGAAGUGGGGAAAUGAGGGAGCACGGUUGGGAAUCGGAGUUGGGGGGUGGUUAAGGAGAAGAAAUCCAGAAAUGGGGAUAAUGGAGGUCCGGGUGAGGUUAUCCAACUGUCAGCCCUAAGAGAGAGAGAAGAAAUGGAAGGGCAAAAUGGGAAGCUAGGAAAGUGGGUAAGAAGAAGAUAAAUAAAUAAAUAAAAUGAUGGAAGAAAAGUGAGGGGGGCAUGUCCUCAUGACGUGGGAGGGAUGGAGAGUAGGUGAGAGUAGGUAGGAGAGAGAAAGAGGAAGAGAGAGAAAAGAGGAAAGAGGAGAGAGAGAAUAUAUAUAUAUAUAUAUAUAUAUAUAUAUAAAUAUAAAAAUAUAAUAUAAUAAUAAUAAAAAAUAAAAAUAAAAGUAAAACAAUUUACAAAAUAAUAAAAAUUAAGAAUUAAAGGGUGAGUGGGUAAAAAAUAUCACAUAUAAUUGGGAUUUAAAAUCUAAGUACAAAAUUGGGCUCGAAAUUAACGUAAAAAUAAAAUUGUGACAAAUUUUGGAGUCUACAGCUAUGUUUGCUUUAAAAGAUAUGAUACCAUAAGAUAUAUACAUAUAUUAUAAUAUCAUGUGUCAUUGGAUUGAAAAUAGAUAUCCUAUGGUAUGAUUUCCAAUGAGAUAUGUAUUAUUGGAUGUACAUAUUCUAUGAACAUGAUAUUUAAAGGUAGCAUAUGAAAUGAAAUAUAUUAUGUUUAUAUUUAAUAUGUGAAAUGGAUAAAAAAAUAACAAUAUCAAAUAUAUGUUAUUUUUCAAUGUUUAAAAUAAAAAUUAUAUCACAUUCUAAUAUUUUAUAUUUUAAAAAUUAAAUUUAUGUUAUUCAAUAUAUCAAAAUAAUUUAUAUAUCAUAUAUUAAUAUUAUUUUAUAAUAUUUUUUAUACAAAUUUCUGUAGUAUUUCUUUUUCAAUCAUAAAUUUAAUUUAUAAUAAAAAAUUAUUUUACAAAAUAAGUAUAUAAAAAAAAAUUAUGAUACAUGAGACAUGCAUAUCUCAUUUUGUAGUAUGAGAGUAACAUAUCAUAUGUAGAAGGGACAUACUUGCCAUGAUUAGGCUUCAAAUGAAGUUGAAUUUGGAAUGCCUAUGCUCAAAACAACUGCUAUGAUAAUGCUUAGAGAGACAUUGAAACAACAUUUUAUGAUAACAUUUCAUAUUAACACAACCAAAUUUAAAAGAUUCCAAGGAAAAACAAGGAACAAAAUGUUUUGAAAUAACAUUAGUUAUUCUAUCCUCUCCUGAGAUUGGUCUCCUAAAAGCUGAGUACCAAAGUACAAUGCCACUCAGACCAACCAACUCCAAACCAAUAUUACACUACACACCACAUUCCCCAUCAAUCUCUCAAUCUCUUCACUACACUACAAUACAAGCCAAUGGGUGAUUUGAAACCAUAUAGAAAAGUGUUAUCCGGAGAAAUUCCAUCCCAGCUAACAUCUUUUCAAUAUUUUGGAGCAUAGAAAACAAAAAUUUGAAAUUGAAGAUUUCAUAUGUUUGCCAUACUUGGUGAGACUUUUAAGGAAAGAAGCAGAUCUUAAUGAAGAGUGCCAGACCUAUUUGCAAAACAAAUGAAGCAACAAUCACCAGACUUAUGUCGUUACCCUGUAAGUAGGACCUCGGGUUCAAGGCAACAAAGCAAGCUGAUGCGCCACCUACAAGGACUAUGAUGAGCCAUCGCAGAAACUCAAUUGGAAUAACUAACAGGACUUGAAAAUGUUCCAAGAGAACACAUUAGAUGUUCACAAGACUACUGCUUAGAAACCCAGAAACUAAAAAUUACAUUGUUAAGGUUCUGCAACAAUGGAAACCCCUAUGUGUUAAUCCUUUAAAGACAACAACAGGAUAAACUGGCACUGGAGGUCCAUAGUGUGGAUGAUGCACCACCAACUAUUAACCUAAAUGCUUGCUUGUUAUGUAAUGUAUCUUUUAUUAAGUAAAACUUAAAAGAUACGUUAUGUAACAAUCUUGCUUUAACUCUAGUUAUUUCCCUUGCUAUAUAAUGUUUUUAUAAUUGUACAUAUAUUUGACUAAUAUUGCUUUAUUGUAUGUAGUACAUUUCUAUUAUUUAACAUAUAUUUGGACUUCUAUAUUAAAACAUAUAUUUGACUCAUAAUAAACUUGAUGCAUACAAAAAUACAUAAAAACAUAUAUACUUAUGUGGAUGUAUACACGGUGUACAUGUAGGUAUAUACAUACAUAUACAUGCAUACAAAUAUACAUAGGUAUAUCAGAAUCUAUUAGAUAAAAGAGAUAGAUAACAAAGGACAAAAUUCCUCCAAAAGAAGGAAACAUACACAAAUAUAUUAUAAAAGGAAAACCUUUGGCUUCCCAGCCUUAAGGAAAAAUCCUUAAACUUCAGAGGAGCAUGUGAUCAUCACAUAUGAUGCACCAAAAAAAAAACUUAAAGAAGAUUUUUACAGACAUAGUGAUAUUUGCAAAGCAAAAUGGAGCACAAUGUUCCAAAUUUUCCAAUUUAUUUCUUACCAGAGACACUACAAGAAGAUACGUCACCCUUCAUACAACUAUCACUAUAGUGCCAUCCUAUUGACUAAGACUAAUCAGCCUGGCUCAAUUUUAUCCAACAACCUCCCUAAACAAGAUGUCUCAAUGAUACAGUUGGACCAUAAGGCCAUCGAUAAUGUCAGUGAUCAAGAAAGAAACAUAUAAGCACCGUAUUUUUGCACAUAAAGAAUAUUUGAGAUGGGAGAGUGGGCAAGUAUAGGAUCCAAUGAUAAAUUUGAUUGCGUGAAAGAGAUACUAAUAAUAGCCUAAAUAUCCAAUCUUAUCAAGAGUAAUAUACUUGAGAAAGAUAAUUUGCUAAUAUAGAAUGAGGUCAAACUACUGAUUAUUGGGGAAAACCUGAUGUUUUAUCUUAUAGAAGAUGGUGUUUCAUACCUCAACAUCAAGAUGAAUUCAUUGAAAGCCAUUGGUUAUACUCAUCCAUCCUUAUUAUAAAGGAACUAGAACUUGGGGAGCCGCCUCCACCAUAUGCCUUCACAUUUAUGUGUGAUUACUAUUCAAAAAGUGCUAUUUUGUAGCUUGUAAUUAACUCUUUUAAACACUCUUGAGUAGUAAUUAUUACCUUUUAACUCAAUUGACAUGUUAAAGACCCUUGCAAUCGUUUCUAAUCAAAUUGUGUUAAGUUUUGGUGUUUUUGAUAGCUUUUUGCUACACCAAAGCAAUCCAAGAAUGAGGGAGAGCUGUAUAUAGUUCAUGGCAAAGCUUUUGGAAGCUCAAAUUCAUGAAGAACCAAGCUUUGGAGCUCCAUAUCCCUUUUCCAAAGUCGUUCAAAGUAUGCAAGGAAAGAACAAUGGAGAGAGGAAAAACAGAGUGAAGAAAACUGAGGACAGCAGCUGCAGUCUUCUUUCACACUUUUGGAGCACUUCCCAAAGUCCAUUUUCUACAUGCUAUAUACCAUUUCAAAGCUCAGGAAGUCAAGAAUCCAACGCUUCAAACAGUGUACGAAUUGGAGCUGAAAUGAGGAAGAUAUGGCCUUUUCAAGACAACUGCAUCCAGCUGAAGGACAAAUUCGCAUCUUGCGAAUUUGGAACUCCAACAUGCGAAAUUAAAGCCUACCUUGCGAAAUGAAAAUGGAAUACAGCCGCACAGUCACAGAGAAGCCCAACUUGCGAAAGUGAUUUUGCAACUUGCGAACUUGGAGCUCAACGUGCGAAAAUGGAUUCCAAGUUGCGAAAUCAACUUGCGAGAUUUUCGCAAGUCACCAUGCAACGUGCGAAAUCUACAUGCGAACUGGGAUGUUUGUGCACCGACUCUUUUAGAUCUUUUCUUCAGAUAUUUUUGUAUAAAUUUCCAUUAUUCUCCUUGUAAUCCACCAACCAUAAGAUUUCUUAGCUAGGAAGGUUGGAAAAACUUCUCUAUAUAUACUCCCUUGCAUCCAUUGUAAAAGAUAUAGAUAUAUAAGUAUGUAGAAUCGAUCAAUAUAUAGAAUAUACAGAGCCUUGCUCUGUUUUUCCUUCUCUUUCAUUUUCAUUUUCUUGCUAGCCAAACAUUCUCUGAGAUGUUUUCUCAGAGGAUGAGUGGCUAGGAUUUUUGUUUCUUGGGUGAAGGAAGCUAAGUAAGGUUCCGGCUACAUAAGCGUGAGAUUUUGUUGUUUCCGUUUUUAAUGAAGAGAAAGUGUGAUCUGUUUUUGGUUUUUAUAUUUUUAGUUAACUAGGAUUACCAUGAAUAACCAAUACUUGGUAAGCUUUCGGAUUCCAUGGAUUCUUAUUGCUUGCAAUCUUGCUCCAUGGAGGUCUAAUUGUUAUCUCUUGUUCGCUUGUGAAGGAUGAUUUGAUGGUAAGGAUCACCUUGAAUGGCAAAUACUAGGUGAGAGGUACGAGCCAUUGCAAGGUGUAUUAGUGAGAGGGAUUUAGUGUUGAAACCAUUAAUGGCAAGCAUUUGUAUCACACCGGUUCGGGAAAUAACUAUAGGUUAAAUUCCGAAUGCGAGGAAAAGAUUCAAGUGACCGGAAUCUCCCUCUUUGUAGUUGGCACCUGAUCCUAGUAACCUGAAAUCCCAAGAAACACCUUUCUUUCUAAUUUCUUUCUAGUUAAUUUUAGUUACUUUAUGUUAGGUUAGCUUAAUACCAUCCGUUUUCAUUCAAACUUAUGUCUUCUUUUAAAGCUAACAAAGAAAAGAAAAAGCACCAAUUCAGUUUUUGAACUAAUAUCAAUUGCGAAGUGAAAACCCAUCUCUGUGGACGAUCCUAGAGCCACUAUACUAUGCUAGCUAAAUGCUACCCCGGUAUAUGGUGAAAUAGGUUUAUAAAUUUUGUUGAUUACUCCCGUCUGAGGAUUGAGAUCAAAGCACAUCAAUUGAGUUGAAUCAAUUGGAACACCAAUCGGGCACGAAUCAAUGUGUAAAGAAAACUUGCUUACAAUUAAUCUCAAAUAUCCAACAUUAAACAAAAAAAUAAAUAACUAAGAAGAACCAUGAUUGCUUCAUAUUGAUGCACACAUUCGCAACUUUAGAGCAUCAGUAGCACUAUUAGUGCUCCUUAAACACAUUUUUAGAUCAUUCCGUUGUAUGUAAGUAACAACUUCUAUAGGCCUGACAUCAACAAUGAAGAUACUCUAAGAUGAUGAAGCAUUUUAAUCCACCUAGCAAUGACUUUAAAAUGUAGACAUCUCCAUGAAAAGAUCCUUAGUUUGGAAUUCAGCUUCCAUAGUAAAUGUAAAGCUCUGUCUAGCAAUGGGCUAUGUGGUGAAGCAAUCAUAAGUCUGAGCAAAGGGUGUUGGUCAAAUAGUAGAAAAGGCGAGCAUAGAAGCUACUUAAUAGUAGAUAUGCCAAAGGUCAAUUAGACAUUUAACUGAUUAAGCCAACCUUUAAAAAGAGUUGACAUACAAAAAUUAAUGAACUAUUGAUGUACAUGUGAAAAUUUGUUGAGAUUAUAAUGUUGAAGUGUAUGUAUUUCACAUCCAAUGUUUUUACCAUAUGACUGAAAAGUAGGAAACAAAGUUUACUUCUAGUAAUUGAAUUAAGUUCAUGCUAAAAUGAGAUAAAGGAAAAUGUGAGAAAAAUUAUUUCAUCAUUUGCUCAAGUAGCCCUUGUCAAAGCAGGACCUCUUUAAUUUUUUUCUCACUUUUGAAAUAUUGAAAAGCGUGAGCCUAAGGGCUGAACCCUACUGGAGAAGAAGUACAUAAAGAGCCACCUGACAUGGGCUGAAAAAUAAAGAGACAGAACACAAAAGGAAUAUGCAUGCAGAAAAUAGUAUCACCAUUGGCACUUGACUCAUAACACUGAAUUCAGGAAAUCCAUGAAAGAUACCAUUUCUUCCCCAUGGGUAUCUAAAGAGCAUAAAUACCAAGCUUUAAGGAACACAUCACUAAGUUUUACCACAUGGAGCUCUACAUAAAAAAAAAAGGUUCUCAUGUUCCUUUUUCCAAAUACACCGAAAACACAAAGUGAAGUAGAUAUCCAAAGGUUUCCUCUUUAUAUGUCUGUGCACACACACACACAAACAUAAUAACAUUACUUCUUUUCUUUCCCACAGAAAUUCCUUUCCAAAACCAUAGAAAACUCUUUAUUCAAUCAAGGCAGAACACAAGAAACACAAGACAAGGAAAAAAACUAGUGACUAAAGAGGCUAGUCUACCAUACAACGUAGAAGAAUAUAAUUCACGAAGUACUCAUCCUCAUCCUUUUGCAUAAGCAACACCAAUUAACAAUAGUACAACCCCUAUGCCCCCACAUAAAUGCCACUUCGUCAAAUAGGAGAGCCUGCUAACCUCAACUCCACCCCACAUAUAACCCUUUCAAACUACAAGUAAACCUAAGUUAUAGGCAUGUAACACUUUCAUUAACCUUCCAAAUCAAUUAAUUUUGUCAAAUUCAAACAGCAAGUACCUAACAGGUUCUCAAAUCAACCUUUUUUUCUUUAAUAUAUUUUCAUUUACACAAAUCUGAUUGUUAUAAACAAAAAAAAUACAAUGAUAAUCCUAAGCACAAUCAAAUUGGAAACUUAUGCAUCUUAGUAAUUUUUUUAAUUGCAUUUCCACAUAGCUAAUGAAUCAAGAAAAUAAAAUAUGUUCCUUGUUAACAGUAAUAGUGGUAAUUGGAAAACAGUGCCACAAAAAGGGAAAUCACAAUUCCUAUCAAAUUCACAACUGGAAAAAACAUCAUAAGCUACAAUAAGAAACAAUUAAAUAUUAUUUAUCUUCAAAAUCAUUCAUUUCUUCAUCAGUUAGUAUUCACUUUCUCACAGGAAUCAUAUACAACCCCCAUCUCCACUUCUUAUCCAAUAACUAGAAGGCUUAAAAGGACAAGUAUAUGAUUAAAUAGGAAUUGAAUUUGAAUCAUCAUUAAAAUUUAAAAAGAACAAAUAACAAACAAAGACAAAAUUUAAAACCUAAGAAGAUCUUUUGGAUUUUGGAUUGAUUCGAAUCAUGCAAACAAACAAAAGAAGCAAAUAGAAAAUAAAGUCAUGAUAAAUAAUUGCAAGCCUGUAUUACCCAAAUCAAACCUUAUUACCCUGACCCUUCUCUGUACAUCAAAAUCCUGCAUCACAAUUUGAUUUCACACUAAACUCAUAUGGAUAUGAAUAGAAACAGAAAGAGAAUCCAUAUCAACAUAUUCCCCGAAACAGAAACAAAAAAAAUAAGCAAAAUAAAUUGAAAAAAUAAAUCCAAAAAAAAAAAAAGGAAAACUGGGUGGCUUUGAAUUCAGAAAGAAACCGAUUUAAAAAGAUAUGGAUCCAUCUGAAAAUUUCUUUAACCAAAACAAAUUUUGUCUCAUCUUCAUUCAUGCGAAAAUUAAUCAAAAUACAACAAACCCCAAAAUAUAACACCUUCGGCCCCAAUAUUUUCUCAACAUCCAAAUGAAUCCUUAAAACUCACCUAUGAUUGAUUAAGCCACAGUAAGAGGAAACUCCAUUUCGGUUUCCAAAAACCUUAAAAAAAUUCAACCUUUGAUGAAGAAAUAUGAAGAUAUGCCUCAACUUUGGCUUUGUUGAAGGUUUUUGGAAGAUGCCUAUCAAGUUUGGGUGGUCAACUCGUGAAAAGAGACAUGAUAGGUUUAGGCCAAAAUCAAACGAAGACGGCUUUGGGAAUAUGGGUAUCCAUCGCCUGGUCAGGACAUCAAUAAACAGAUCAGUUGUCUACCUUCGUGUAUCAAACAAGCUAUGAAAAUGGGAAUUUUUUUAGAUCGGGUUAAGGCAAAAUGAGAGGAAGUGACAGAAAGAGUUUCGCAACUUUCAAAUGUUUAUCGGGUCGGGUGUUUUGUGGGUUUCAGAUUUGAUAACUUCAAGUUUCAAAUUUUGGUGUUUAUUAAAUUACGCACCUACCUGCUGACAUGGACAUCGGUGGCUGCUGACAGGGAAACAUUAAAGGGCAAUUUUGGAAAUGGAAACCUAAACAGUAUAUAGUACAUGAGAAAUAUAAUAUUUUUCCCAUUAACAGGCACAUCUCAUAUUUCAUUUAUGUGGGUUUCCAAAACCAUAUAUCUUCCUAAUAGCAGCCUGCAAACACAACUUUCCCUUUGCAAUUUAUUGUUAGAGCCUUGAUUGACCUAAACUCAACACAAUCUAUGUUUCAAUAUCUUUUGUUGGUUUGUUAGGUAUGCUUGUUGAUAGCCUAAACUUUGAUUUGACUGUUGUUUUUCCUAUGGGACAUUCUAUUGUGGAUAAUAUUAUGUUUAGAGGUUAUCUUAUGAUGACUAGUUAUAUGGAGAUGUUAGUGGACUUAAUACUUCUUGACAUUAUGAUUUUGAUGUGAUUUUGGAGAUGGAUUGGUUAGUUUCCUUCUAUGUCUAUAUUAAUUAUUUUGGUAAAAAGGGUGACUAUCCACAUUCCUAGCUAAUAUGCAUUUAGUUUUGAGGGAAACAUGUGAUUAGACCAUUGUGUAUGAUCUUAGCUUUAUGGGCUAGUUUCUUGCUUAGGAAAGGUAAUUAAGGGUUUUAUGCUUAUGUAGUGCGUGAUAAAAAAAAAAAAAAUUACAAUCUAUUAUUGCCAAGUUGAUAAAGGUUUAAUGAUGCAAUCUUAGUAUUCAAGAGGUCAUUUAGGAAUCAAAAAAGGAGAUAAGAGAAAAACAUCCUCAUUAUUUGAAGAUUUAUGUAUGUCAAGUUUAGAGGACUAAACUUUUGUUAAGGAGGUGAGGAUGUAACACCCCAAAAUAAACUUUAAGGGCAAAAUAGUGAAUUAUAAAUUAAUUAAUCAAUCAAUUAAACACAUUAAAGGUAAAAGAGUCCUUUUACAAUUAAUAAUCCUUGGUAUAAAUUAGAUUUUCCUUUUGUCUUCUUUAUUCAGAAAACUCUAUUAACCAAAAAUCAGUGAAUUGGAGAACAUAGGGCUCAAGGUUUGAAAGUCUAGAGUUUGAAGUUCAAAUUUUUUCAGGUAAGAUUCUAACCCUGAAUUAAUAUAUUAUAUUCGUUAGUUAGUUUUGAGCACAUUAGAUACUCUUUAGAAAAUUUUAAUUUAGAUUAGGGUUAGUUUAGUUAAUUUAUUUUAAGAUAAAAAAAUUGAAAUUAUGAAUAUAGGUUGUUUCAUUGAUGAAAAUAGGGAAAUUCGAAAUUUUUUUUAGAUGAAUGAUCUAAACAAUGAAAUUUUAAAAAUUAAAUGAGCAAAUAAAUAUAUGAUUAUAUGUGGCUUAAGGGAUUGGAAAAUAAUAAGAAGAAGAAUUGCAUAUUUUUGGAUUUUGGAUUUGAGGCACUAUGUUGGGGUGACAAAAAAAAAUAAUAAUAUGUAACCAUGAGAGGCAAAGGAUGGUAGUGGAAUAAAUUAAAAUAAUAAUAAUAAUAAUGAGUAGAGUUGGUGGGGUUGUUGGAGUUGUUAAAAGUAUAUGAGGUAUUUUGUUAAGUAAGAGGGGACAUUGGGAUUAAUAAGAAUAAUGAUAAUAAUGAUAUUAAUAAUAAUAAUAAUAAUAAUAAUAAUCAUAAUAACAAUAAUAAUAAUAAUAAUAGUAAGAAUUGUGUGAUUUGGAUGUUUGUGAGUGACGUACAGUAGGGCUGUUUGGAUGUUGUCGGGUAUCGAAAAAUAUAGUAAUAAUAAUAGUAAUUGGUUUUAAUAAAAGUUUUAAUUUAGUUUAAGUAUACAAAAGAAAUAAAUGGUUAGAAUAAGAUUUGGAAGAAAUAUGAGUUUAUAAAAAAUUUGGAAAUUCAUUAAAUCAUAUUAGUAUUGUUUAAGAAGUUGAAAAUAAUAUUGGGUAGUAAUAAUAUUAGCAUGAGAAAUUAAUUAGGAUCCCUAAUACUAAAUAUUUUAAGAUUGUCAAAUUUUUACGUUUAGAUAAUUGUGUAUAAUAUUAUGUUAGGUGAGGAGUAAAUUCGUUAAGCUAAAUAAUUCAAAGUUUUGAGCGUUUUUUAAAGGUAGGGGAAAUUAAUGCAGAUUUUUAUAAAAGAAAAUAAUUUUAUUUUUAUAUUGUAUUUUGGAAUAUAUAAAAAUAUUAUUUUUAUCUUUACGCAUGAAUCAAAUAUGUGUUUUGUAUGGAAUGUAUAUUUGAGAAUUUUAUUUGUUUAUGAAAAACGAAAAAUUGAGGAGAUAUGAUAUUUUGUUUUGUAAGUUUGAAUUAAUGAAAUAAAGUGUUCGACUCUGGAUUAUAUGACCCUAAUCAAUGGGUUAUAAUUGUUGACAUUUUCGACCCUACUAGACGGGUUAUAAUAGUUGACCUUAAGGUCAUAGUCAAUGGGUUAUAAUAGUUGACCUUAUGACCUUAGUCAACAGGUUAUAAUUGCUGACUUUUGGUUUUAUUCACCUUAAAUGGAACAAAUUUGAAACUAGUCCCUCAUUUGUGAAGUCCCACUUAAUUGGGCACCAUUUGUUAUUUGACAAUCAAAGUAAAGAUAUUUUGAAUAUAUUUGAUUUGGUUUUGAUGAGAAAUUGUUUUGAAAUGGAUAUGAGAAAGUUUUGUUGAAAAGUUUGAAUGUAUUAGUAUUUUGAACUCAAAAGUUUUUAUGAAAAUAAGUAUAUAUUAUACCUCCUAUUUACAAGCAUGAUUGAAAAUGUUUUAUCAAAUAAAACUGUAUUAAUGUUCCUUAUUGAGCUUUGAGCUCAUCCUCCUUUGUUGAUAAUCUUUCCGAUAACCUCAUUUUGGGCAAGGAGUGACCGUUAGGAGGGAAAUUUGGCUUUAUUAGGAUAUUUGUUUAAACUUUCUUUAUCUUAGACAUUGUUGAAAGGUUAAAACUUAAUUCUUGUUUGAAUUAUUUUGAGUUUGAAGUUAUUUGGACAAUAACACUUCGGUUGAUGUAUUAAUUUUUUUUUUAAAGUUGAUACUUGGAGAUUUUAGAAUUUGAUCCUACUACUCUGAACAGGAAUUUGGUAAUUGGUAAAUUUCCAGUUACAAUAGGAUGUUUGUGUUGUUUCCACUUUGAGCCUUUGGAUUUGAGGUGUGAAAUGACCGUCAUGCCCUUGGAGUGGGUUUUGAGCGUGACAAAAACAAUUCAUAUUUCAAAUGGAAAACACUCAACAAUUCUCCCAAAUUUCUUUCUUUUUAGCCAAAAAAAAAAAAAAAAAAUUGGAUCCACAACAAUGGUUUUAGGCAAUGAAGAUUCAGCAUCUUCAAAAUGUGGAAAAAUAAUAGAUCUAAUCCACUUGCAUGCUAAUAAAUAAAUAAAUAAUUCAACACCAUCCAAAAUUUAUAUUACAAUUAAAAAAAAAUACCUUUAAAAGUUCCCAUUGAUAAUAAUGAGUAGCUCGAUCACACUAACACAAAGAAGAUACCUCUAAUUGUUGGUAUAUUUUUUUGCUUGUGAAAUCAAGCAUUGACAUAAAAGCAAAAAAAAAAGGAAUGAAUCGUUUUACCAUAUCCCAACACAAAUAAAUAAAUAUACUUGAUAGAUUCAUAAUAUAACACCAAAAAAACAAAAUGAAAAUCCAAUCCAAAAAUAAAAUAAAAUAAUCAAGAGAUAGAAAUUGAAAAGGGUUUGAAAGUUAGAACGGGUGUUGGAAUUGGGUUUGGGUGCUCAAGUGGGCUGAUCCGACCUGACCUAAAAACUGCCACUAUUGUAAAAAAAAAUUAUUUUUCUCCGUGGAAACCCUCUCUUUUUGAGUACUCUCCCUCAAAAAACUUUUUUUUUCUCUCUCUCAAAACCAGAAAGUGAAAAAUAUAUUUCUUCUUUCCCUAAAAACAAAAGAAAGAAUAUAUUUUUCUUUCUAAAAGAAAAUCAUUUCUCAAAGUUUUUUCUAUUUUUCUUCCUGAAAACGAAAAUCAAGGUUCUUGUACCAUAAGAAAAGAAUAAUCUUUAUAUUUGUAAUUUCAUUCAUGAAUUGAAGCAAAAAAAAUUGAUCAGUAAAAUAAUCAAUCAGAAUUCUUAAGCAUUUCAAUAGUUAAUUGAAUGCAUUAUUUUUCAUGAAGGAAAAAUUUUGAAAAACCAAUAAUGAAGAGAAUCCAUAGAGAUAAAGGAAGAAUCGAAAAAUAAAGAAAAUUAUAUAUAUAUAAUUGCAAUCGUAAUCGGUACAUGAUAAAUGGGUGAAGAUUUUGAAAGUGAAAUAAUUGUAAAUGAAACCAAAUUUACUUAAAAAUAAUAUUUUGACGAACACGUCACACUUUUGAAAUUAGUAGGAAGACGUUUGAGCUUUUACACGACGAUAACACAAACCGUCAAAUACGAAAUGACGCGUGUAAGUGGAAAGGUGGGAAUUAAAAAGUUGUUGGGGUUUGAUCUCAAGGCAUAUAACUAAUUUUUAAAAAUGAAAAAGUGGGACAUAGCUCCUCCGACUGUCGUCAAAAGCGUGUGGGCCUCUCUCCAUUGUCAUUUCCGGGCAACUCCAAUCCAGCGGAAUAUGAUUCCAUUCCCGCAGUGAUCCGAAAUGGGCAAUAAACCACUCACUGUCUUGCCCACUGGUUAUAAAUCAAGCUGCAGCGUCACAACUUCAAAUCACACACACAAAGAUAAAAUUUGCAUAGAGAAUAUGGGAGAAACACUUGGAGAUCGUAUUGGGUUGAGUGACGAAGUCAUUAAUGUAUUGGCUUCUCUAGCCAUGAAAGCCCACGAUUGCACUGGUGAGCCAUUUCUCCGCAAGAAAGGUUUACCCGUUACUGUAGGGACCCCUCCCCUUGAUGACACGUGGCACGCAUUUCUAACCAGAUCAGCUUCAUCCGGAUUUCCCCAAGAGUACACAUGGCGCGCUCUCCUAUCCGGACUCCCUCAAGGAGAGGCACACAACACUCACAAACAUAACAUCCGGACAACCGACAUAUAAUUUUUGGAUAUGUUCAUCCGGAUCAUUGACUGAAGUGAGCAAGUCUUGCACGUCAUCACAACAGCCUGCCAUGGCUCACGUUCCGCCACUUGCAGAGUGAGAUGACAGGAAUGAAGUGAUGGCAAGUCACUUCCCACGAUCUUUGACAGCUGCGGCGCCUCCCACGAUCUCUGUCAGCCGCCCUAUGAGUGAUGAUGGCCCUACCACCACCUAGAGACAUCAUGACAAGCCAAAAUAUCUCCCUACCAUUAAAGAGGGAAACAAAGCUCCUUAUACGAUAUAUAUAUAUGAACCUUCACACAAAGAGGAAGGUAAGGUUUCUAUACCUAGUAAAAGGCCAACUGAUUUAUCUCUCUGAACCAUGGCUAACAAAACCAUCGGAGGGUGCGUCCGGACACCCUGUCCGAACGUCUUUUGUAAGAACGACUAAACCAGGAAUCUAUAUUGGUUGAGAUCGUGCGUCCAUCCAUUUGGCAACUACGUGGAUCACCAGGGACGCGAGGCCUCAACAUUGGCGCUGUCUGUGGGAACAUCGCUGAUUCAGUCACCGGCAAACAUGGUCACACCUUCCCGAAGUCGCUCAUCUGGUAAGGGAGAGGAAGAUCAUUCUGAAUGGCGACAAGCCAUCGAAAGAAGACAGUUGGCAAGCGAACGACAACUGCAAACUCUCCUCUGGGAGACAGAAAGGUUAAGAGAAGAAAACGCGGUGCUACGCAUCCAAGCUUCAUCGACGGGGCCUCCCCGUCGCCAGCGUUCGAGAGGCCAGAUGGCAAACUCAAGGCCGGAACCAGAGUCAAUAUACCCUGGGACAGUAAGAGCCAUCCCAAAAACCAGCAACGUUAAGCCACAUGAGCCACACACUCCCAUGCACUGAGCUCCCUGUGAGGAAAACUCAGACUCUACUCAUUUUUCAGCAAAAAGACAACGCAACAAAAGGCCCCAGUUGUCAAACUCGAUGCGCGCAAGACUAGGCCCACAGGAGCAUAGGAGGCCAAGGCCACUAGCAGCCACAGCCUGGGAAGCGCACCCUGACCCUAUGGUCACCCCUAUGGUGCAAAACGUUCUCCCACAUCGUGACCCCAUGGUCACCCCUAUGGUGCAUAACGUUCAACCACACCUAGUGGUACGACAAUCUGGGAGAAACCUCCCAAAUGAGCCACCUAUUGGCUCCAUCAGCAAAAGACUGGACAACAUGCUCUCCACGCCUUUCUACUCUCAUAUCAUUCAUUACGAGCCCCCAAGGGGAUUCCUCGUACCCAAAUUCUCCACAUACGAUGGGUCCAACGACCCCUUCGAUCAUAUCAUGCAUUAUCGACAGCUCAUGACUCUCGAUAUAGGCAACGACGCGUUGCUAUGCAAAGUAUUUCCCGCUAGCCUACAAGGGCAGGCCCUCUCAUGGUUUCAUCGCCUACCUCCAAAUUCUGUUGACAAUUUCAGGGACUUAUUGGAGGCUUUCGUGGGACAAUACUUAUGCUCCGCUCGACAUAAACAGAACAUCAACACUCUACGAAACAUAAAAAUGCAAGAUAACAAAUCCUUAAGGGAGUUCGUGAAACGGUUUGGUCAAGCCGUACUUCAGGUAGAGGCUUACAGUAUGGAUGCUGUCCUGCAGAUCUUCAAGCGAGGCAUCUGUCCAGGCACUCCAUUUUUCGAAUCACUUGCUAAAAAGCUUCCAACAACGAUGGACGACUUGUUCAGACAUGCAAACAAAUACUCAAUGCUCGAAGAUGACGUACGAGCAACCACCCAACAAGUCUUGGUUGCUGGACAGGCAUCUAGAAGUGGCGCGGAUAGAAGUGUCAAACUUCCGGACCGGCCAAGGCCGUCCGAUCGAAGGCAGGAAGGGCCAGGUCGCCCGGAAAGACCGCCCCUCACGCCUCUCUCCAUAUCAUAUGAGAAACUUCUCCCUAUGAUCCAAGGCAUGUCCGACUUCAGGUGGCCUAGACCCCUCGGAACGGACCCAUCCAAAAGAGAUCAUAGCAAAAAAUGUGCCUUCCACAAGGAGCAUGGUCACACAACGGAAGAAUGCAGGUGCCUCCAUUAUUUGGUCGAAAAGCUCAUAAGAGCGGGACACUUAAAACAAUACCUCCCCUCAGAUGCCGGAGGUAAAAACGCUUCUCAAAACCACAACACUGGAGCCCCCAGGGCCCCAGCCACCCCCAAAGUCGUUAUAAACUAUAUUAACGGAGGUCCAUCUGACGAGGAGUAUGACUCCAAAUGAAAAAGACAAAAGUUGUUGCGGGCCUGUAGACCCUCAAUUUUGUCCAUCGACACUGGCAUUUAUUCUUCAGGUGUCACAUCCACCCAUCGUUCGCAUAUGGCACCACUAGGGCCCCUUUUGGGCUUAGUCGGUGUCCGAGCCUCGUGUGGGUUUGUCUGUGGUCCAUUGUGGUGCAUAUGUGGUUCAUUUUGGAGGGUCACCAUGGCCAUUUUCCUAGUCGUUCACAUCACACUAUAGGAAGGAAGUGGGGUCAUCUCGAUGUUUUAGCUUAGUUGGAGUUUAUAGGGGCAUGUUGAGGUUCGGAGCACUCGGGCUUGUUUUGAUCGUAUCUCCCUCAUCCAAACUCGGAAUCAAGAACCGUUUCUUUUUAUGGAUUUCUUAUUCUUCCAGGAACAUUCUGUAAAAUUUUCAGAUUUUUUUUCGCAACCGGUCUGCUGGUUGGCAGCCGGUUCAGCCGGUUCAUCGAGUCAGCCGGUGUAGAACACUGAUUUUUGGUAAUUGUUUUGAUCAUAUCUCCCUCUUCCGAACUUGGAAUCAUGCACCGUUUUUUUUAAUGGAUUCCUUACUCUACUAGGAACAUUCUGUCAAAUUUUCAGAAUUUUUUUCCAUCGGUUUGACCAGUUGGCAUCCGGUUCGGCCGGUUCAGCCGGUUCAGCCGGUUCAUUGAGUCAGCUGAGGUAAAACACUAAUUCUAGUAAUUUUGAGGCCUAAAUCCUACAUGGCUCAGGCCCGUAAGCUCCAGAUCGGUUUUGGGCAAUGUUGUGGGUCCAUUUUGGGCCUUGGUUUGGGUUCCUUGUAGGCCACUACGAAUCCAUAUGGAUUCUUGGUGGUGAAGCAAGCUGAAAACUGAAGGAGUGAGCUGGCCUCGUAAGUUUAAGAGAAGUAAUGAGGGGUGUGGUUCCCAUGCUGAUGAAGGGGAUUUCGGUGUUGAAGGGGAAGGAAUCUAGGAGGCUCAAAUGCUAAGAGGGGUAUGAGUAUAAAAGGUGAGAGGAUAGGAGAGCAAAGGAUAGGAGGGGACAUUUUGGAGAAGGGAAAUUUUGCUGGUGAGAAAAACAAAAGGUCAGUAGCAUCUUCUGAGUUGAGAGCGUGGGAGAAAGCUUCAGCACUGUGAUUUUUUUUAAGAGGAGAGUGACAGCAUCUCAGUUUUGGAAGUCAUCAUCUGAAUACACGGAUCAUAUUUGGUGGAGAUUCUGAGGUAAGCAUGCUGAAUUUUCUUUACUUACAGUUUAUCUUCCUCGUCUUCAUAUGCUUUUUCUCCUUCCUCAUUAUCUUUUCUUCCAUUUGAUAUGAAGAUUGUAUUGCUUGGGUGUGGAUAAUAAAGGCCACACAUGAUUGUUGUUGAUUGGUUAUUAAUCAUUUAGGAACUUUAUGACCGAAUUUGGGGUUUUUUAUCAACCGGCUGAACCAGUUGGGAACCGGUUCAACCGGUUCAGCACAAUAGCUGGUUGCCUAUGUCAGCCAUGAAGAACACCUACCUUUCUUUGUCUGGUUCUCACUCAUCCAAGCUCGGAAUUGAGAACCGUUUCUUUUUUUUGCUUCAUUAAUCACUUAGAAACUUUCUGAUCGAAUUUGGGGUUUUUUAUCAACCGGCUGAACCGGUUGGGAACCGGUUCAGCACCAUAGCUGGCAGCCUCUGUCAGCCAUGAGGAACACCUGCCUUUCUUUGUCUGGUUCUCACUCAUCCGGGCUCGGAAUUGAGAACCAUUUCUUUUGUUUGCUUCCUUAAUCACUUAGGAACUUUUUGACCGAAUUUGGGAUUUUUUAUCAAUCGACUGAAUCGGUUGGGAACCGGUUCAACUGGUUUAGCACAAUAGCUGGCUACCUCUGUCAGCCAUGAGGAACACCUGCCUUUCUUUGUCCGGUUCUCACUCAUCCGAGCUCGGAAUUGAGAACCGUUUCUUUUGUUUGCUUCCUUAAUCACUUAGGAACUUUCUGACCGAAUUUUGGAUUUUUUAUCAAUCGGAUGAACCAAUUGGGAACCGGUUCAACUGGUUCAGCACCAUAACUGGCAGCCUCUGUCAGCCAUGAGGAACACCUGCCUUUCUUUGUCUGGUUCUCACUCAUCCGGGCUCGGAAUUGAGAACCGUUUCUUUUGUUUGCUUCCUUAAUCACUUAGGAACUUUCUAACCGAAUUUGAGAUUUUUUAUCAACCGGUUCAGCACCAUAACUAGCUGCCUCUGUCAGCCAUGAGGAACACCUGCCUUUCUUUGUCUGGUUCUCACUCAUCCGGGCUCGGGAUUGAGUGUCGUUUCUUUUGUUUGAAUCCUCACUCAUUUAGGAGUUUUCUAGAAAAAUUUGGGAAUUCUUCUCAAUAGGUUGUACUAGUUGAGAACGAGUUCAACCUGUUCUACUGGAGGACUUUAGGUAGCCCUCGAUUUUGGCAUUUUUCGAGCCCUUAUCUAUUGGGGCUCAAACCCAUUUUCUAUAGGGCACUUGUGAGCCAUCUUGAAGGUUUAAGUCAGUGUUUGAUUUCAGUUAGUAUGGGCAAUUUUGAAGUUAUGGGUGGUGUGGUCUAGAUGAAUCUAGUUCGAUUUGUAUGACAUUUGGGGAGUCCCUUACCUCAUUUCAACCAGAUAUCUUCCUUUUUGGCACAAUCUUUGAUGCUUGAUUUUGAAUACAUGUUGCGUGACUGACUCACCCUCUGCUGUAGCACAUGGCUAGGGACUACAGGUACGGAUCGUUGGUUUUGAUUGUUGAAUCAUAUGCAUGCAUGGUGCUUAAUCUUGAAUGUUUGUUAUGUGUUUAUCGACCUUUUAUGCAGCGCUUGGCUAGGGACCACAGGUACGCACCCAUUAUUUUAGUUGGUUGAAUUCAUAUGCAUGCCAAAUACCAAUUAGGAUUGUGUGAUUCAUGUCAUCUAUUUAGCCUAGGUUUCAUUUGACCUUUGACCUAUAUGCUCCCACAUACCCAAUUCAUUAGUAGAGACCGAGUUUCGGGCCUAGAGGGGUGCUACCUCGCAUGAGGUACCUUCCCAACGGGUAACCUGAUCCCCGGACCCAGAAUCUAGUUUUUGUAGACCGUUUUUUCCAUACUGGGGUCAUUAGGGGUUUUUGUUCUUAUUUAAUUUUCCCCAUUUUAAAAACAAAAAUAAAAAGUAAGUGGCGAUUCCAAACAACACCGUUCCUCAUCGGGGGCGGGUUUUUCAAAACUGGAAAACACCAACUUUUUCAUUUCUUUCUUUUCUUUUAAAAGCGAGUCGCGUCGGUCCGGUGGAUCGGGUGAGGGUCCACAGGGCCGCAUCGGUACGCGAAUGUAUCAACUCCAUCCGGCCUGGGAUAUCUGGAGGGGGCCCCCACCCCAAAGAUGGGACAAUCAUUUUUCCACCAGUACACCCCACCCAGAUAUUGCAUCCGCACCGCGACGCCCUCAUCCUGUCCCUAGAGAUAGGAGACUUCGACGUGAGGCGCAUCCUGGUCGACCCAGACAGCUCAGCCGAUCUUGUACAAGCAUCGGUCAUUAGCCACAUGGGACAUAGUCUCACAGGCCUCGAAAACCCUGGGCGAAUCCUAUCCGAAUUCAACGGGUCGUCAACUACGUCAUUGGGAGACAUUGUACUAUCGGUCCAAGCUGGCCCAGUCACUCUCAACAUACAAUUUUCGGUGGUACAAGAUUUAUCACCCUUCAAUGUCAUAUUGGGGCGCACAUGGCUACACUACAUGAAAGCCAUCCCCUCUACAUAUCACCAAAUGGUAAGUUUCCUUACCAAAGAUAGGCAAAUUGACCUAUAUGCUACCAAAUAGCACGAGAAGCAAGGACCAGCCAGGAGGAUGCAUCCCUCCCUGAGUCCAGCCUUGCACGUGACUAAUAACAAUUAUUGGGUCCGGCGGACAAAGAUCCCCCGGCAGCGGAUCCCUUGCAAACAAUCCAAAUUUCAGAAGAAGGUACUCACCUUACGAAUAUCAGUUCCCUCCUGACACCAGAAGAGACCCAGAAUAUGCAGAACGCCCUCAGACAAAACCAUGACGUCUUCGUAUGGGCACAUUCUGAUAUGAAAGGAAUUCAUCCCUCCAUUACCUCUCAUAGACUCAACGUCUUACCAACAGCCAGACCCAUCCGGUAGAGGGUUAGGCGUUUUCACCCAGACAGACAAAAAAUUAUCCAGAAUGAGAUUGACAAGUUGCUAGAAGCUGGAUUCAUCAGAAAAGUGGAUUACCUAGACUGGUUAGCAAAUGUAGUAGUGGUACCCAAAAAAGAAGGCAAAUGACGGGUGUGCGUCGAUUACACCAACCUCAAUAAUGCAUGUCCAAAAGACAGUUUUCCUUUGCCACAGAUAGAUCAAAUUGUCGAUUCCACUACUGGGCAAGGGAUGCUCUCUUUCUUGGACGCCUUCUCCGGAUACCACCAAAUCCCCAUGUCCCCGAAUGAUGAAGAAAAAAUAGCCUUCAUAACACCACAUGGUCUCUAUUGCUAUAAAGUCAUGCCAUUCGGACUCAAAAACGCUGGCGCCACUUAUUAGAGACUGAUGACAAAGAUCUUCAAAUCUCUGGUCGGCCGCACAGUAGAAGUAUAUAUUGACGAUAUCGUGGUCAAAAGCAAAACCCGAGAGGAGCAUGUCUUCCACUUGCAAGAAGUUUUCCACCUCUUAAGGAAGUAUGGCAUGAAGCUAAACCCUUCCAAAUGCGCCUUUAGCGUAAGUGCUAGCAAAUUCCUGGGAUUUAUGGUCAGCCAAAGGGGGAUAGAGGUUAGCCAGGAUCAAGUGAAAACGGUCAUGGACACACCACCCCCCAAGAACAAAAAGGAAUUACAACGCCUCACAGGCAAGCUUGUCGCGCUUGGGCGUUUUAUAGCCCGAUUCACUAAUGAGCUGCGACCAUUCUUCUUGGCAAUACGAAAAGCUGGAGCCAACGGGUGGACAGACAAUUGUCAAAACGCUUUUCAAAAAAUUAAACAUUGCCUCAUGCAACCGCCCAUCCUGAGCAGCCGCAUCACUGGUGAAAAAUUGUACAUGUACCUAGCUGUAUCAGAGUGGGCGAUCAGCGCUGUUCUAUUCCGCUGCCCCUCACCCAAGGAGCAGAAACCUAUCUACUAUGUCAGUAGGGCAUUGGCGGACGUAGAAACCAGGUAUUAAAAAAUGAAGCUAACAGCCUUAGUUCUUCGCAGUGCUGCCCAGAAACUCCGCCUCUACUUCCAAGCACACCCGGUGGUCAUGCUAACUGACCAGCCCUUUCGCAACAUUCUGCACAAACCGGACCUAACCGAAAGAAUGCUUCAAUAGGCCAUAGAGUUAAGCGAAUAUGGAAUUGAGUUCCAACCCAGGCUGUCCAUGAAAGGCCAAGUCAUGGCUGACUUCGUGCUGGAAUACUCCCGAAAGCCUAUCCAACACAAGGAAUCAAGUGAAAAAGAGUGGUGGACUUUGCGGGUCGAUGGAGCCUCAUGAUCAUCCGGAUCCUGUGUAGGGCUCCUGCUGCAAUCACCAACGGGGGAACAUUUGGAGCAAUCCAUUUGGCUAGGGUUCCCCGCCUCAAACAAUGAAGCAGAAUAUGAAGCCAUCCUAUUCGGAUUGGACCUCGCCCUGGCUCUAUCCGUCUCCAAACUCCGUGUGUAUAGUGAUUCCCAACUUGUGGUAAGACACGUCCAGAACGAGUAUGAAGCUAAGGAUGCACACAUGGCGCGAUAUCUAACUAAAGUAAGGGACACCUUACAACGAUUCACCGAGUGAACGAUCGAAAAGAUCAGACGAACUGAAAAUAGGCGCGCCGACGCCUUGGCAGGCAUAGCUGCCUCCCUCCCCAUCAAAGAAGCCAUAUUGUUGCCUAUACAUGUGCAAACCAACCCUUCUAUCGCGGAAGCUUCCACUUGCAACACCAUUGAGGCAAAACAGGCAGACGACCAAGAGUGGACGAACGACAUUAUAGGGUACCUCCGGACAGGCACUCUACCUGAGGAUCCCAAGCAGGCACACAAGAUCCAGGUGCAAGCCGCCCGUUUCACCUUGAUUGGGGAGCACCUGUACAAGCGAUCCUUCACAGGUCCCUACCUUCGGUGCCUAAGUCAUUCAGAGGCCUUAUAUGUGUUAACUGAAUUGCACGAGGGAGUAUGUGGAAAUCAUUCUGGAGGACGAUCUCUGGCGCAUAGAGCCCAUUCGCAAGGAUAUUACUGGCCCACAAUGAAGAAGGAUGCGGCAGCCUAUGUCAAAAAAUGUGACAAAUGUCAAAGGCAUGCCCCCAUUCCGCAUAUGCCAUCGGAGACAUUGAAACCAAUUUCAGGCCCCUGGCCCUUCGCGCAGUGGGGCAUGGACAUAGUGGGACCCCUCCCAGCCACACCUGCCUAGAAGAAAUUCCUACUUGUCGCCACGGAUUACUUUAGUAAAUGGGUAGAAGCUGAAGCAUACGCUAGCAUCAAAGACAAAGAUGUCACCAAAUUUGUAUGAAAAAACAUCAUCUGCCACUUCGGAAUCCCCCAAACCAUUAUAGCUAACAAUGGUCCACAGUUUGAUAGCAUCGCCUUCCGAAAUUUCUGUUCGGAACUGAACAUCCGGAAUUCAUACUCCACACCGCGUUAUCCUCAAAGUAAUGGGCAAGCAGAAGCCACAAACAAAACGUUAUUCAUGGCUUUAAAGAAAAGGCUCGAGCAAGCAAAAGGAAAGUGGGUGGAGGAGCUACCCGGAGUCCUAUGGGCUUAUCGAACCACACCCGGACGCCCUAUAGGAAACACUCCCUUUGCCCUCACAUACGGUAUGGACGCAAUCAUUCCUACUGAAAUAGGACUACCCACUAUCCGGACCGAGGCAGGAACGCAGGAUGAUGCAAAUGAGGAGUUAGGAAGAAAUUUGGACUGGGCAGACGAAGUAAGAGAAAUUGCAUCCAUUCGGAUGGCAGACUAUUAACAAAGGGCAUCCGCUCAUUACAAUCGCAAAGUAAGGUCCAGAAACUUCAAAAAGGGUACGCUGGUCCUUAGAAAAGUUUUCGAAAAUACUGCUAAGACAGGGGCGGGAAAAUUCCAAGCCAACUAGGAAGGCCCCUAUAUAAUAUCUAAUACAAGUGAAAGUGGAGCUUAUCAUCUACAAAAGCUAGAUGGAACUCCAUUACUCAGACCAUGGAAUGUGUAUAAUUUAAAAUAGUAUUACCAGUGAAGGAAAGAUACAAAUACAAUAUGGAUAAGUAUGUCUUACUUGCGAAGUUGUAUGCAAAAAGUUAUCCGGACUACAAAGCAUAGAAAGAAAGAGGCAAGUACAAUAUGAAUAAGUAUGUUUUAUUGAUACUUAUGAAUUUUGUAUACAAAGGGUCCUCCGGACUACAAAAUACAACGAGAAGAUAGCAAUACAAAAAUUAUUACAAAAAGAAAAGCUCUCAUUGAGCAGGCUUGCUGCGCAACUUCUCUUCCUCACCCGGAGGAAUCGAAAGGACAUCCCGCUUGAUAUCAUGUUUCUUCAUAUAACAGCGAUAGCUGAAGAAGUACAUGUCGUCUACUUGCUUUUGGUAGUCCGCUUCAAGUUCCUCCCUUUCUGCAGCAAACUCAGCCUCCAACUCUUCUUUUUGCGCUGAUAAACGCAACUGCAAAUCUUCUCUUUGUUUUUUCUCGAUGGAAACCUCCGUCCGGAGUUGCCUCACCUCACCCCUCAGAAGGGUCAUCUCAUUUUCCGCCUCAAGCAGGCGGGCAUCCAUGGAUUCCUCCCGGCUCUUUGCCUCAGCUAGCUCCAUCAGGAGGCCUUCGUUCUCAUCUCGAGCGGCGGAUAAACUGGUCUCAGCCUGCUCCAGUCUCAAACGCAGCUCCUCUUCACUAUUUCUACGCUGAGAGGCGAAGGCCUUCAUAUAAUCAGCGGUCCGCAGCAGGUCAGAGAAGAGAUCAUGUUGUUGGACCAUGCCGCGAAGACCGCUCACCAGCUACAGAAAAACACACAAGCAAGAAGAGCAAAGUUACAAACCAUGCCACAAACACAUCAGUAUGGCAAGAAAAAUCAAGAAGUGAAACUAUACCGUUUCCACCACUUCGAACAUUUUCGCUGAAGGCAUGACAACGUCUGAGCCGGGUGGAAUCCGUUUCAGCUUCUCUUCCAACUCUGCGUAGCUAAAAGCGCUAGCAGAGAUGCAAGCUGCAUCAUCAACUGGAUUCCCCCCUGAUGAAGCAUUGGAGAGUGACUCCUCCUCUGGGUCUGGGGCCCCAUCAGUCUCGGCCGGCUGGGUUGCUCCGAGUGAAUCCCCAUCCGGAACCACCACCGGGGCAGGUGGGUUCUCUGCUGCCAUCUCCGCCUCGCUCUCCUCCGGAUGAUCAUCCUGGACGGACGAGCAGCUGGCUUAGAUGGUUUCCAAGAACCGAUCCUGAAGCCGCCCGAUGAGGCCAGACUUUAGGUCUCGCGCUGGACGCAACCUUCUUCUAGCUGGCCCCUUCACCGGCACAAGGGCAAGGGGGCUUGGCCCGCAAGGAGACAAACUUUGACUCUCUGCCCCCAUUUCCUCCAUUGGGGAUGCCGUCGGAGGCAAUGCUGCAGCACAAGAAGCCUCAGCUGCGUCCCCAUUCGGAUGGGGAGAGCCGAGUUGAUUUAUUGAAGUAGCUUCUUCAACCAAAAGAGCCAGGCGGCCCGCCACUGACAUUGAAGGCCCUGAGUGGUUCAGACCCGUGAGAUGUCCGGGACCGCUUGAAACAGAGGGCGGGACGGGAUGUUCCGGCUCUCUUAUUGUUACUUCCUUCACAUAAGUCGAGGGGGAAUUACCAACUCCUUCGGAGGAGUUGGAGGUUUUAUUUCUUUCCCCUUAUUAUUAAGAACCAGCUUUCUCUUAUUCUUCUCUUUUGCUGGAGCUCCAGCAGGAAGGGAGGGUGCGGAGCGUUUUUUCCUAGGAGCCUUCCGUAGAGUUCCCUCUUUCCUCUUCCCCUCUCGAUCGUCAAGGAGUGCUCGGCGUUUCUGAGCGUCUACCUUUUGCACCUCCUUAUAGAAAGGAAGGUCUUUCAAAAUGUAAUGCUCCCCAGGCACUACCUUUUUUGGCAGCCUCCUAGGGAGAAUAUUGGUGAUAUACGCCUGGGACUCCCGGACAACGGCUAACAGGUUUCGCGCAGUGAGCAGCGUCUCAUGAUGCCUCUUGGCGGUGGAAAUCUCAAAUAACUUGUUCAGCAGGGCGAACGACGCUUUUUCUACCCACUCGACUAUGCGACCCCUCUUGUCCGGACCUGCAUUAUCAAUGAACAAAGAUAUUAAGUCAAAUGAUAACCCUCUCAAGCAGUACAACAAAAUGAAUGCCGGACAAGACCCGCAACCUGACUUACCCGGAAGCACUAACGAACGGUUUGGGGAAAAUGGCCUCUCCGGAUGCUCCAGAAGACCAUCCCAAGCACCCCGGACCAACACAUGUCCCUUGGCUCCUCCCUUCGUUGAAUCCGGUAACUCAGUCACCAGUUGAAGGGAGGGCAGGUGGGCAGCCAUGCUAAAAAUAUCAUUCUUCCUCUUCUUGAGGGAGUAGACAAAAAGAACCUCCAGCAGCGAGAGGUCCAAGUUGAAAAGCAGGCUGAGAACGCUGCAUCCCAUUAGCACCCGGACUAUAUUGGGGUGGAUGUAGGCUGGUGGGAUCUGUGUGAAAUGAAGGAAUUCCUUGAACAGUGACGGGAACGGGAACCGGAGCCCAGCGUUGAACUGCUCCUUUGUAAAAAUGAUGGCAUUGUCUUCAGCUUUCUCAGUAGACACUGCCUCCUCAUCCAUCAGCUCCACGAGCACGCCAUUUGGGAUACAGAAACGUUCGCAGAAUUCCUUUGCACUCAGCUUAUCCACAGAUUUCUCAUGAGCAUCGCUGGACGAGCCAGAUGAGGUAGCUUCCUUAUUCGCAGACAUUUUUUAGCCUAGGGUUGAAAUGGAAUCUGCAUGAAAGAAGACCAACAGUCAAAAACAGCAAUCCAACCCCACAAAAUCUAACCCAAAGCAGAGUCAAUGGCCCACAAAAGACACAGGGGGGCAACAGAAAUCCUAAACACAGUCAAAACCCCCCAAAAAAGCCCUAGCAACCAAAAUACCAAACUUCCAGUCGCAAAGCAACUUGCCCAACAGCAAAACCACAAAAGCAAACACAACGAAGAAAAGCCAAAGGUAAGCGCACGUACCGAGUGUAAACUAGAAAAAUAGAGUUGAAACCGCACUGCAAUCACCGUCACAACGCGAACGUUGCCAGCAGAAAACCCUAGAGCUUCCCUCAAGAACGACGGUAUGCAGAAGGUAGAAGAGAAAGCACUAGCAGAAAAAACGCAGAAGGAAAAAUGCAAAAGGAAGGAACAGUCUGCUAUUUAUAGCGAGACAAGCCUCUCGGUAUUUUAAACGUUCAGCUGCACCAUUAUUCCAACCGACACGCUGCCUGGGAAUACCCAGAGUCGAAGGCUCAUCAUAAAUGUUUUUCUGUCUCUUCGCCCCCGCUCGCCACGUGGUCCAAUCAAGCAAAAAGUAACCUCAGUUUCAAAAGCACCAAUUAUUUUUUAACCCGCCCAUUUUGCUCAGGCAAAAUAGGCAAGUUAAAAAGGGGGCAUUGUAGGGACCCCUCCCCCUAAUGCCACGUGGCACACAUUCCCUGAUGACACGUGGCACGCAUUUCUAUCUGGAUCAGCUUCAUCCGGAUUUCCCCAAGAGUACACGUGGCGCGCUCUCUUAUCCGGACUCCCUCAAGGAGAGGCACACAACACUCACAAACAUAACAUCCGGACGACCGACAUAUCGCAUCCGGACGAUUGACAUAUACUAUCCGGAUAUGUUCAUCCGGAUCUUUGACUGAAGUGAGCAAAUCUUGCACGUCAUCACAACAGCCUGCCAUGGCCCACGUUCCGCCACUUGCAGAGUGAGAUGACAGGAAUGAAGUGAUGGCAAGUCACUUCCCACGAUCUCUGACAACUGCGGCGCCUCCCACGAUCUCUGUCAGCCGCCCUAUGAGUGAUGAUGGCCCUGCCACCACCUAGAGGCAUCAUGACAAGCCAAAAUAUCUCCCUACCAUUAAAGAGGGAAACAAAGCUCCUGAUACGAUAUAUAUAUGAACCUUCACACAAAGAGGAAGGUAAGCUUUCUAUACCUAGUAAAAGGCCAACUGAUUUAUCUCUCUGAACCAUGGCUAACAAAACCAUCGGAGGGUGCGUUCGGACACCCUAUCCGAACGUCUUUUGCAGGAACGACUGAACCAGGAAUCUAUAUUGGUUGAGAUCGUGCAUCCAUCCAUUUGGAAACUACGUGGAUCACUAGGGACGCGAGGCCUCAACAGUUACUGUUUUUGCAUUUGCUGGAUCUUGGCUUCCCGAUGAUUGGUGUGCGCAGCCACCUUUUGGAGAAACGAAGAUGGGUACUUGUAACUUUCCUUCGCUUAAAAGUUUAGGCGAUGACGGAGUCGCUCUGGUCAAUGGGUCGUUUCUCCAGCGAUUCAAUGCCAUCCAUUCAUCACUUGCCAAAAAGGUACUUCAAUUCAACUUAUGCAUAGAUAUAUGAAAAACAAUCUCCAGAAUUCAAAAUGUGGAUGUUGGGGUUGGAUUUUUCAGGUGAAAAAAGUAAUUGCAAAGAAGAAGCAAGUUGUUUUCACCGGCUACUCGUCGGGUGCUCCGGUGGCCAUCCUGGCAACUCUAUACCUCUUGGAGAAGUCAGAGCCCAAUCAGAGUCCACCCCACUGCGUCACUUUCGGAUCCCCCCUCAUCGGUGAUCGGAUCUUCGGUCAUGCUGUCAGGCGGGAGAAAUGGUCCGACCACUUCAUUCAUUUUGUUAUGAGAUACGAUGUGAUCCCUCGGAUUAUGCUUGGCCCUUCAUCCACUGAGCACAAAAAAAUUCUCGAUUUCUUCAAUCCCAGAUCUGAAUCCUUCAGAAAACACACUGAUUCUUCUUUAGGUUUAUAUUCCAGCGUGAUGAGGAAUGCAUCCAUGGUUGCAAACUAUGAUGCCUGCAAUUUCAUGGGAUGCAGAAUCCCGACGCUGGAAACUCUAAGGAACUUCAUUGAGCUCAGCCCUUAUAGACCUUUCGGAACUUACAUCUUCUACAGUGGAAGUGGAAAACUGGUUGUCGUAAGGAACCCGAAUGCAGUACUGCAGAUACUGUUUUACUGUGCUCAGUGGAGCCCAGAAGAAGAUGCAGAGGCUGCAAAAAAAAGGCCUAAAUGAACACUUGGCCUACCAAAAGGAACUACAAAAGAGCUUAGGAAAGCAAAAUGUAGUCUAUCUAGAUCAUCUAGAAGAGCUUCCGGUGUCUUCUGAUGGCAGUCCAGCCACAGUCAACACGACCUUGAAUGACCUCGGCCUGGUGAGCCUUCUUUUUUUCUUCUUACUGCCAAACUACAGAAUUUUAGCUUCCAUAUAUGUAUGUAAAUCUCAGCUGAUGUUCUAGUGUUUUGGAUUGCAGAGCACACAAGCCAUGCUAUGCCUUCAAGCUACAGGAGAGUUGGAGAAGCUAAAGUCAAGAAACCAGGAUAAGAUCAUUAAUGAUUAUAAGCAAAAGAUUGAAGGUGAAUUAAGAAAGCUGAGUAAGUACAAGGAAAAGGCCGAGACUUGCGGACUGGGCUACUAUGAUUCCUUCAAGCUCCAAGAAAAAGAAGAUGGCUUCCAGGCUAAUGUGAGCAGGCUUGUGCUAGCUGGUUACUGGGACGAGAUGAUGGAAAUGUUAAAAGCGUAUAAACUUCCGGAUGAAUUUGAGAAGAGCCAUGACUGUAUACGACUUGGAACAGAUUAUCGCCGCACGGUUGAGCCUCUAGAUAUUGCCAACUUUUAUCGACACGCCAAGGAUGAAGAGACAGGGUUCUACGUGAAAAAGGGGACUCGACCAAAACGAUAUCGAUACAUCCAAAAUUGGCUCGAGCAUGCUGAAAAGAAGCCAUCUGGAUCCCGCUCAGAAUCCUGUUUCUGGGCUGAGGUAGAGGACCUCCGCAUUAAAACUAGAAGCAACGGAUCCUCUCCAGAAAUUAAGCAGAAGGUUCUGCAACUGGGGCAAAAUCUAAUUAAAUGGAUUGAUGAUGAAUCUUUAGGCAAGGAUGUGUUGCUGGAGAAUUCCACCUUUGUUAAAUGGUGGAAACCCCUUCCUCCUGAGUAUAAAUCAGAACCCAAAUCAUCUCGCAUUAUGAAACUCAUCCAUGAGAAAGAUUGAGAGGGUUUCAUGCUGUUAUCUCGAGGCAUUUGUUCAAAGCCAAUAAACCCUGUAAAUAAGCUCUAGCUUUGACUGCUCUCUUGAUAACCGAAAUGUUCUUGAUAAGUCCAUUAUUUACUAGUAAGAUGGUUUUCUUCCUGAGUGUAUGCAAAAUCCUGUUUCCUAUAUUAAUACAUAACGAUCCAUUCUCAAUCGUGUAGAUAAUAUCACUGUGAUACCCCGGGUCUUAGGUCCCACUAUGUGAAAAUCAAGAAUGAAAAUGACUAGAUACCAAGAGGUAAUGCGCAUGAUUUUUUCAUACAAACAAACAAGUAGGUUGUACUUCAACACAGAUGAAGUUUGCGAUUUGAAGUUACAACUAUCUAAUAAUAAAGAUGAUGAGAAGGCAUAUUUCUUAAGAAAAUGGCCAUGAUAGCAUUUAGCAGAGGAUACUAAUACAGAAGAUUGAAAAUGGGCUGGUAAAUUAACGGACAGAUGAACGCUUGAUGUGCAUCCUUGGCCGAUCGAUAUGUAUAUGAAAUUAAAUGCUGUGACAAAGACCUAGUUAGCUCCACAAUGAAAAAAGAAGCCCUUGCCAUAUGACUACAGAGGCCCUGUCACAGACUCACAGUUCAACUACAACCAGUUCCUUCCUAGCUUUCAGAACUUUCCAUAUUUAAAAAAUAUUAAUUUUAUAUUUUAUAGUUGGUAGUUAAAUUCAUAAAAAUAAUAAUUAUAUUUUUCUAUAUUUAAAAUAAUAAUCAAUAAUUAUUUAAUAUUAAUAAUAUUUAAAUUUAUAAAGUGUGGAAUCAAGAAGUUUCUAGGAUAAUACUAAUAAAUGUUGGAUCCGCAUUUUUCACAUGCAUUCCCACUCAACGACGAAACUCAUAUUUAUUUAAGGUGAAAAACUGUAUUUUAUAAGAAACUGGAAUCGCUACUUAUUAUUAUUUUUUAAAAGGGAAAAUAAGGAAAGAUAGGUUUGUAAAAACUGAGUUAGAUUCGGAGGUCAAGUUACCUAUUGGGAAGAUACAGUGGCUAAUCGUAGCACCUUUCUAAGCAUUACAAGUCAGGUCUCUAUUAAUAAAACUAAGACAACUAUGACAAUUGGUUGAUCAAUUUAUGGAUACCUAGCAAGAGUCAAAAUAUACUACGACCAAAGCAUGUAUCAAAAGAUAAUCGAAUGAGUAAAGAAGGAAAGGAGUGUACCUGAGUAAUAAGUCAAAGUGUGCUUCUAUGGAAAACAAGGUUAAUAAAUAAUAUAAGUAUAAAAUAUCUCAUGUCAAUCACAAACAAAAUCAAUCAAUAUUAAUCAAGCAAAGCAAUUAGAGGAAGGAGUGUCAUGGAUGUUGGGCCCAUCAAGGCCCAAUUUAUUUUUACAUGAAUUAAUUCUAUAAAUUCCAUUAUUUUUGGAAUCAUAAAAUUUAUUUAUGCAUUAAAAAUAGAGAAAAUCAAGAAAAACUACAUAAAAAAAAAUGUGAAAUGUGCUUGCCGGGGGGAAAUAUGACAGCAAUGUUUAUAAAAAUCGGGAUUUUAGUGCCUAAAAUAGUCUAAAGAUGAACAUUUAAAAUUGGGUUUAUUUCAGUCGAAAAUAGUUUUGAAAAUUCAAUUUAAAAACCUGUAAAUUCUCACCAAGAUAGGAAAAACACACCAAGAGGAAGGAAGGAUGACUUAAGAAUGGUGCACCAAAGGUGGCAAUGGUGGAGUGGGGCUCGUGGGUAGGCAGGCAUGUGCAUUUCCAUAUCAGAAUCCCUGUGCUGCUGCUCAUUCUCCAGGAGUCUGUAAGUCGCUUCACCCCUAUUCCCAUGCAGCAGAAGAGUGCUUCAAUUGUCUGGUUUUGCAGCUCUCACCCUUGUGUUUACUCCAAUUCAAGAUUAUCCCCCUGCAUCCCAAUCUCUCUCUAUGCUGACUCAAGCCGAGCUUGCAGAAUCCCAGUCGCAGAAUCAUUCCUUUUGAGCUCACAAAAUUAACCUGGUAAUCUCUUCUUCCCAGAACUCUAGUUUUUUAUUGUACUCAGUGGUCUUCCUAAGCAAUUCCUCAUAGCUAGCAUCAGUUCCCACCUUUGGGAUGCAAUCUGCGCUCCAUUAGAGCCCCAUCUUCUCCCAUAGAACUCGCCCAGGUUACCAAAUUCAUUCCUGCCAUAGCUGAGUCCUCCAUUAGGCAGCAACAAAUACAACACUUUAAAUGGAUUAGUUUCCAGAUCAAAUUGGAGGACAUACAGAAUGCUGUCAUCUAUGGGCAGCUUUUCGAGUUCAAGAGAAUUUUAAUGGCCACGUGAUAAGGGAUCUUAGUGACAGUCAACAUUCAGCUAAGCAGAAAUCUGGAGAGGCUAUAGUAGUGAUCAGCAUUGUCGCCCAUCCGUACAUUCACCUUGACAAAAUUGUAUUUGGAGGAAACAUUCUGAAUGGAGAAUCAAAUGGUUGGGAGAGAGGAAUCAGAGAUGUCUUCUUCUGGGGUGUCAGGGUUUGGACAAGUUGUGUGAAGACUGCCAGGUACUGAGGAUACCAAGGCUGGGAACAAGAACUGGUCACAUGUACACGGAGAUGGCCAUGCAUGUGGAUUGCAUGCACAUGGGAAAGAUGGUGCAAUAGACUUCGCUAAAUUCAAGCUUCUUGGAUAGCUUGCAACUUCAUCCAGAUAAAAGAUGCUUUCUGCUUCACAUAGAUGUAACAAAAUUGAUGGGGAGAAGAGAGUUGACCACUUCAUCUCCAUUAACGUCACUCUCAAUAUCAGGAGGAAUUUCUUCUCUUGUUAACGAGGAAUCUGAUCUCUUCAAAGACUGUGGUGGCUCUGUUGAAGCCAUUCUUAAAUUGUACAAUGCUCAGACUCCUUCAAGUUGGUCACGGCCUCCAAUACUAGAUUCCCCAGCCUUACGAUGUACCCUCUUUGAACCAGUAAUCUGCUCAGGGUUGCCAGGGAAGGCAAGGGCCUUAGCAUCGACAGUUUGAUCAUCACUUUGAACUAUUGCGCUGAGAGGCGGAGAAUUCUCCUGGUUUAGGGCUUGUUGGCACCCUUCUGUGGGCCAAUCUAGACUCCUCUCUUGAGCCCCAUCCAUUUUCCAUCACAUUCAUGUUCCUUCAUUGCCCAUCAACAAUAAAUCUGUACUGAUAAAUACCCGAGGGGAGCAUUUUCAUAAUGGUGGACUAUUUCCUCAUCUCUGCAAGGGUUUUCUUAUCUUCCAAUUAUCCCAUAAUUCCUCCGCAGCUACUUCCUUGCUAUCAUAGCUCCAUGUAAUCAUAGUUGGAAUUCCUUGCUCACUGCACACCACCUGACCUUGGCCACUCAUUUCCAAGUCUCAAAACUCUGCCUUUCUCACCCUCUUUUACUACCUUUGAGGCUUUGCUGCAAAAGAUCAAAACUGUAGGCUACCUCAUGCAAUGGCACACACCACCCUUUCUCAGAUUCCCUUAUUAGCUUGUGGAGAAAUUUAUUAAAUUUCACAUCAAAGGCAAGAAAAUUGGAAGGGGACAAUGAACCGCAGAUGGAUGAGAGAAUAAUGGCCUUGUCGUUGCAUGUUCAUGAGCAGCAUGAACUGUAUCCUUCAUUUCAGGAACUGAGGCCCUAUGACCUCCAGACCUGAAGGCUCAAUGAAUAGUCAAAGAUUUGACUUCCUGUAGGCUUGCCACAUCCUGAACAGACCUGAAUUUUCUCUUCUUCCGGGCCUUUUCUCAGAAGGUGGUUCCUUAGCUGUCUUGUAUGUCAGAGGCAAAUUGAUGCCUUGGAUUAAAAGAGUCUGAUGACAGAGUACUAAGAUGCUCCUGAUUGAAACGGAACACUUUCAUAGCAGCAUAUUCAAACUACCACAGAAUUGAGCAUCAGGAUGAAUUAAGCCACUUUACUUCAUCAACUUUUUGCACUUUCCAACAGUGCAGGACCAUUUUCCUUGCCAUUGCUGAAAGACUGUUGAUGAGCGCAAUGAUCAUUGAAUUACUGGUGGAUUUUCAUUGUGGGAAACCUAAGCUGAUUAAGCAACAAACCCAAACUUUGACUAGCUUGAAUUGAUAGAUCUCCAACAUUGGAUACAGGAUGACCUCUUAGGAGCUAAAGAUAUAUUAAAUUCCACAAGCUUUCCUUCAGAGGGCUGAUCAAGAGGUGUAUCUAAACCUUAUUUGGCAUGACCAACAAGCUGUCACUUUCACACGCAUAUUCUAAGCAUCUUCCCAGAGGCUUAACAGAAAAGGGAUCUUCAGGUUUACAGAGGAGGGAAAGGAAACCCUGCUUUGCAUUCGGAAAAGUUUUGUUGCUGUUGACAUCUUCACCAUUCUGAGUACUUGGGACUGUUGGUGCAGGUGUGGAGCAACCAGAAAAGUUGUUACUCAGACCCAAUAUUCUCAAUAGCACUGCUUAAAUUUGCCAGGCUCGAGAACAAAAAUGAGAGGUAGCUAGUUCUUUUGAUGCUUCCCUGCUAAAUUUGCCAGGCUCGAGAAUAAAAAUGAGAGGUAGCUAGUUCUUUUGAUGCUUCCCUGCUUGAAUUUGGAGUAUUUGAACCGGCAACAACUCUAUCAAUCCCAAGGGUAGAGAUCAGCUUCUCAAUUAUAGUGACUUGUGACUCCCAGAUCAGUGGAGAUCCAUCUUCAUGACCAGAGAUUGACCAUGACUCCACCUCAUGAAUGAUGAAUUCCUAGAGCCUCAUCUGUUUGAUGAAGGUGAAGUUUGAUUAGUAGGAGUUUUGAGUACUAUUUGAUAGUCUCUCUUCAUGCUGUGGGGGGUUCACUACAGGUUGAUGAUCAUCAUGAGAUGAGCUCGACAUGCUCACUCCUUAUUGGAUUUAUACUCCGAUACUGAUGUAGCCUUCAAACUCCACAAAUAAGCUAUACUUGAACCGAAGACUAAGGAUGACUAAACCAUCACCUCCAUCCUAACUAUGCUGGCGUUCAAAUACUACAAAAUGAUAUUUCAAUGGUCCUGCUUUCAAACCGCAAUUCCACACCUGAAGACGUUUCUCACCGAACCAAAGGCAACGGUGGUAUUGGCAUUAUUGGACAUACAAAUGCUCUGCAUGGACCCCAAACCACCAUGGUACUUCAAUGUCAAGGCCCAUGGCCAUUUCUGUUGUCCAUGAAAAUAAUCUUGAAGGGCUAUACAACUUUUAGCAACUCUUUAAAGGAUGCAAUGUGUCUGGAAGAUUGAAUUGAAGAUGAAUGACAUUUGUAGAAUCAACAGAUGAGGUUGCAUUUCUAGAGCCUCUUUCUGGAGGCCUUUCUCCAAGAAUUUUUCCAUGGCUCUCUGUUGUCAUCUUCUGCACAAUAGGAGAUGAUUUCACAUCCUACAGCCACUUGCUCCUGUUAUUAUGCUUCUGUCACCCCUCUCACAGUUUUCUUGCAAGAUACAAAUAACUCUCUCCACUGGGGUCACGAAUCUGUGGCAAUGAGCCAAAACACAGCCCUCUCUUCUCAAGCGUAGAUCAGAACACAAAACCAAUUGUCCAUAGCAAAUCGAAAUAUGUGAGCCAGAAACAGGAUAUGGAUUGAGAUACUGGAAAUAGAGAAGUGAACAAAACAAGAUACAACAUACCCAGAACAAAAUAAACAAGUAAGCAAAACAUUAAAUGGGAUCCCUUUUCAUGUUGAAAUCAAUGGGUUCAUAGAGCAGUGGUGCAGUAGGAAAGUUCAACACAAAUAUCAAAAUGAGGUCAUCAACAAACUCCUACUGUAAGAGUGAGCCAUAUUCAGAUUAAAAAAUACGAAAGAAGAGCGGUACAACAUCACAUCCAUACCAAAAAUAAUAGAUUUUCUCUAAUUAUCUAAUUAGACAGCUCACGCCAACACUCCCCCUCAAGUUGGAGCCUAGAUAUCUCUUAUGCCCAACUUGUCAAGUGAGUUGUAGUAGUUCCUUGCAGACACUGCUUUUGUGAGUAUAUCAGCCAACUGGUCUUUUGAUUUAACAAAUGGAAGCUGAAUAAUCUUUUCUUCAAGGUUCUGUUUGAUGAAGUUUCGAUCCACCUCAACGUGCUUAGUGCGAUCAUGUUGGAUUGGAUUGUGGGAGAUAGCAAUGGCUGCCUUGUUAUCACAGAACAGGUUCAUUUCAUAGCUGAGAGCAACACCGAUCUCAACUAGCAGCUUUUUAAGCCAAAGAAGCUCACAUAUUCCUUUGACCAUUCCCCGAAAUUCAACUUCAGCACUAGACAAUGUAAUUACCUUUUGUUUCUUGCUCCUCCAUGUAACCAGGUUGCCUCCCACAAAAGUAAAGUACCCUGAAGUAAAUUUCCUAUCUGUGAUGUUCCCUACCUAGUGAGCAUCUGUGUAGCCAACAACAUUCAAAUGACCAUUCUUUGAGAACAUAAGUCCUUUCCCAAGAGAGGACUUCAAAUAACGAAGGAUCCGCAUUACGGAAUCCAUAUGGUCUUCACUCGGGCAAUGCAUGAACUGACUCACUACACUCACAGCAUAACCAAUAUCUAGUCGAGUAUGAGAUAAAUAGAUGAGUUUACCCACUAACCAUUGAUACCUCUAUUUGUCCGCUGGCACCUGGUCUACAUAUUCUCCAAGUUUAUGAUUCUGGACAAUUAGAAUAUCAACAGGCUUGCACCCUAGUAAUCCUACAUCUGCCAGCAAGUCUAGUAUAUAUUUCCUUUAGGAAAGAAAUAUGUCUUGUCUUGACCUUGCUACUUCAAUGCCUAAAAAAUACUUAAGCCCUCAUAAGUUUUUCAUUUCAAACUCAGUUGACAAUUGCUCUUGAAGCUUAGAGAUUUCUUCUACGUCAUCCCCUGUGAUGAUCAUGUCGUCUACAUAGACUAUGAGGGCUGUUAUUUUUCCCACUUGAUGUUUUAGGAAGAGUGUAUGAUCAGAAUUGCUUUGUUGAAAACCAUAUUUCCUCAUUGUCGAACUAAACCUGCCAAACCAUGCUCGAGGUGAUUGCUUUAGUCCAUACAAUGCCCGUUGUAAACUACAUGCGAUCUUUGCCUCUGAGGUAGCAGUAUAACCUGGUGGAAGAUCCAUGUAAAUUUCCUUUUCAAGAUCACCAUGGAGGAAGGCAUUUUUCACGUCCAGUUGGUGCAAUGGCCAAUCUAAGUUUGCUGCAAGAGAUAAUAGAACUCUAACAGUUUUUAGUUUGGCUACAGGUGAGAAAGUUUCCUGAUAAUCUAUACCAUAUUUCUGUGUACAACCCUUUGCUACCAACCUUGCCUUGUAUUGAUCAAUAGACCCAUCUGCUUUGUAUUUAAUAGAGAAAAUCCACUUGCACCCCACCGUCUUCCUUCUUUCAGGCAAUACACUCAAAACCCAUGUGUUAUUUUUCUGCAACACCUCCAAUUCCUCUUUUAUAGCUUGAGCCCAUUUCGAAUCUGAUAAAACUUCUUCAACACUACUCGGAAUUUGACAUGAGGAGAGUGUAUGUGCAAAUGCCCUAAGAGGUUCAGAUAAUCUUUGAGUGGACACAUAAUUGGCUAUUGGAUACUUGGAUCGUCGUUCUUCUAUGUCUGGGGAGUAUCAAUUUGGUGGCUUGCCUCGAUUGUGUCUGAAAGGUAGAACGUAACCCGUAGAUGUAUCUAUAGCAUUAGUUUGUAAAGGUGUGAUAGAAAAGCUUACCUCAGGGAUAUUCUCAGAAGGAUGGUCGUUGGGUACUAAAGAGUGAAGGGAUUCAUCAGAUUCUGCAUCUUCCGAUGAUUCAGGUACAAGUUCAACUUCAAUUCUUGGAGGUUCAACCAUGUCGUUGCCAUCAUUCGGAUGUGCUAGAUUGUCACCAACGUCCAGCAUUUCAACAUCCAACCAAUUUCUUUCUUCACCAUGGAUCUCUCCCUGAAGAGGAGAAUUGGAUACCAGUGAUGGGAAUUUUUUUUCAGAUUCUAGGAAGGUGACAUCCAUGGUGAUGUAGGUUCUUUUAGCAAUGGGAUCGUAGCAUUUUUUGUACUCCAUACCCCAAAAAUAGACACCAGACAGCACAUGGAUCCAACUUAGUUCAUUGAUUCUUAUGGAUGUGAACAAAAACAACACAACCAAAAAUUCGAGGAGGAAUCAUCAAAACAUUAGGUAAUGAGACAUGAUCGGAAAGCACCUUAACCAGAGUCUGAAAUUGUAAGACUUUGGUUGGCAUACGGUUCAGUAGAUGCACGGCUGUGGCAACAGCAUCACUCCAGUAUCUAUUCGGCACAUGUGCAUUGAUCAAUAGAGCACGGGUAGUUUCUAAGAUAUGUCUAUUCUUCCUUUCAGCAGUACCAUUCUGUUUGGGGUUUGAGAACAUGAGGUUCAUGGAGAAUACCAUGACUGUUGAAGUGUGUCUAGAAUUGUUGGUUAACAUACUCCCCUCCAUUGUUAGAACGAAGGAUCUUAAUUUUUGCAGAAAAUUGUGUUUGAACCAUGGUAUGAAAUGAUUGGAAAACAACAAAUACUUCAUCUUUGUGUUUUAGGAGGUAAAUUCAUAUCAUUCUUGUACAGUCAUCAACAAAAAUUGCAAACCAACGGUGACCAGAAGACGUAGUAACUGGGGAAGGUCCCCAUACAUCAGAAUGGAUUAAAUCAAAAGGAAUCAUACUUUUAUUCAUACUCAAGGGAUAAGAAGCUCUAUGACUUUUGGCUAAGAUACAAGUAUCGCAUUUAAAAUUUAAGUGUGAUACUUUGGAAAAUAAACCAGGUAGUAAGUGCUUCAAAUACCCAAAAGAUGGAUGCCCAAGUCGAUGGUGCCAUAACCAAAUAUGUCUUUUCUUGUUACUAACUGUGUGGUGCAUGUGAUUUGCUCUUCCCGAACUGAAGUCAUCAACGUAGUAUAAUCCCCCCCUCUUAGUACCACGCCCAAUUAUCUCCUUGGUAAGAAUAUCCUGAAGAAGGUAAAAAGUAUAAUACAUUACUACCACACAAUUAAGAUCCGUAGUAACUUGACUCACAGACAUCAGUCUAUUUGAAAGAGAAGGUACAAGUAAUGUAUUAGAUAAUGAAAGGGAAGGAGAUAACGUCACUGUUCCCACCCCUGUAAUCGGAUAAGCGACCCCAUUGGCAUUUUUAACACAACUCCGUCUCGAUUGAGUUGCAUUAGAAAAAUCAUUUGAAUAAAAUGUCAUGUGGUAUGUAGCACCAGAGUUGAGAAUCCAGUCAUCAUCAUUAUUGUGAGUAGAGAUAUGAAGUGUCUUACCAGAAGUACCAGAAGUACUUGGAUCAUGUGAAGAUUCUACUUGAGGGAUGAGGGAUAAUGAAGGAUCACAAGUAACCACGACAGCUCUCCCAGUGUGGUCAUCAUUAGCAAAGGUUUCACGUUUUUUUCGUGCUUGAAAGUCGUUCCACCAAUCUGGAUACCCAUGUAGUUUGAAGCAGGUGUCACGGGUAUGUUUGGAGUUGCCACAAUGUGUACACUUCAUGCCAUCAGAUGGUGGUUUGGUUUUGGAUUUUCCCCUGCUUAGAGAAAGAGCCCCUGGUUUCGGUGUUGUCUGGUAGUGACUUCCCUUGAUCCCUUUGGAUAUCAUAACUCCUCCAGGAGUGGUAUCUGUACCUGAGAUCAUCACAAUCUGCCUGACAUCUUCCUUACGAACAAAAGCGUAGGCCUGUUCCACUGUAGGGAAUGGUUUUAAUUGGAGCACAUCACUCCGAGUUUUAUCUAGUCUGUCAUCUAGUCCAUCAAGGAAAGUAUAAACCCGAUCUUCUUGUAGAAUCGAGUUGUAUUUCUGUAUGUCAAUAGCACACUCCAUCGGGUUAGGACGACGAAAAUCGAUUUCUUGCCACAACCCUUGAAGAUCGUUGUAGUAUUUUUCAAUGGAUCCACCCCCCUGCUUCAUACGAGUAACACGACGCCGGAGAUCAUAGACUUGAGAUGAUACUGUCCCAUCAAAAUAGGUUGUAGCAGCAGAAUCCCAAACCUGUUUUGUAGUUGGGAAGCGGAUAAAGUUGGCAAUCAAGGAAGGGUCCAUUGAAUUGAUCAACCAUCCCUUGACAAUGGCAUUUUCGGUUCGCCAUAUCCUGAGUGAAGGAUCGGUUUUUGGAGGUUGAGGGGAAUCUCCAUUAAUAUAUCCUAACUUGUCCUUGCCAGAGAUAUACAUCUCGACAACCUGGGACCAUAAGGCAUAGUUGGAUCCUUCCAACUUGAUACCGAUCGGAGCAGUUGAGGAAUCGGCAAGCAGAGGUUGAGGGGAAGUUUGGGCUCGAGUCAAGACUUCCGUCAUUUUUGUCGUCAGAUCGUUAAGGAUGGAGUUGGUAUGGGGAAUGAGAGAUUGUGUUAGGUCUCCGGAUUCCACCAUGGAUUCUAUUGGGUCUGGGUUCUUUCCUGGUCAAGCGACGCCGUAAAAUGACCACGUCGGCAAUGGCGCAAGCCUGUCAGUUGGAAAAUCCGUCGGGGUCGUCUCCGACGAACUCUGGAGAGGAUCUGGGGUCGACUUCGACUUCGUCUCCCAAGUCUGUGGAGACUACGACGAAGGUGCAGUUUGCUGGAAGGUUUUUUUCUUCUUUUUUUAUUUGAGUUGAAUACCAUCAUAUAUAGAUACAGAGCAAAGGAAUUUUAGGAACCUAUUCUAGCCUAUACACAGGUUGUGGUAGAAAUUGUAGAUCACGUUUGAAGUAUGGAAUUUACAUUAAUAGAUUUUCUCUAAUUAUCUAAUUAGACAGCUCACUCCAACAAAAACAAUUUAACAAUGCCUAGAAAAUUAGAAAUAACCAGAGAGAAUGAAAAAAAAAACAGAGUGAUAAGUGAAAAUGAGCAAAGAAGCUACAAAAAACGUACCUGAAAAUGCUCCCUCCAACGAGAAUAGUUGGGCUUCAAGCUGCUUUGUUUCUUCUUUCAAACCUCCAGAAAACCACAACAAAAUCAACUUCCCUUUCUCUCCCUUGCUCCUAAUCACCCUGCCUAGAAUCCUCUCUGCUCCCUGUUUUCUCUCUAACCCCCAAUUCCGAAGAAUCCCACCAUCACUCCAACCAACCUCUUAGCAAUUCCCCCUGUUUCCACUCUUUCCAUUUCUGUUUUUCCCCUGUCUCCACUCUCCCCCGACCCACACUCUCAGAUACUUUCCUGCUCAAGACUCCUACUUCUCUCUAAAAAAACGACCCGCCCAAAACUUUGCCACAUGUCGCUCUCACUGGCUCCCUUUUCUCUCUUAGUAAGUAACUCACCAAAAAGACAAAAAUUCACGCUCCACCAUUUUGCAGAUCCUCCUUGCCCACCUAGUUUGCCACGACUCCAAAAUAGAGCUUAAGUCCAAAAUAAUCUGUUGGUAGAAAAAAAUGGUAAGAAUAGUAGUCAUCUCAAAAUAUUUGUCAAAGUAGUAUUUUCUAUCCACGUAAUCAUUCAUGCGAGUUUUUUUAGUGUAAAAAACCACCGUUACUAACUGUGAUUUUAAAAGUUUCAGAAAUAUCUUUAAAACCACAGUCACAGAAUGUGGUUUUACAAUUUUCCUCGUUAGUAACUGUGGUUUCAUAAUAUUUUUAAACCGCCCCUGUUUCAAUGGUAUUAUGAUUUUAAUAUUAUUUUUUAAAAUAUUUUUUAUCAUAAUAACCAUAAAACCACAGUUAGUAACUGCAAUUUUAAAAAUAUUCUGAAAACCAUGAUCAGACCAUGGUUUUACAAUUUUCUUUAGAACCACAGUUACUAAUUGUGGUUUCACAAAUAUCUUUAAUGAGAACUCGUGUAACCAUACAUCAACUAAAAAAAUAUAUGGGAUUUUAGAACUUUGCUUUUUUCUUUUUAGUUUUAGUGUAAAAUGGGAAAAAAAUAUUGUUUAUUCAUGCAUUUCGAUAGUACUUUCAAAUCAUUUCACAAUUACCCUCAUAAGUGAUAUAAGAUUAUAAAACUUUGUUUUUUUAUUUUUAAUUUUAGUGUAAAUAGGAAAAAAUAUUGCUUAUUCAUGCAUUCCAAUACUGCUUUUAAAUUGAUUGUGAAUCUAUUUUUUUUUUUGGUUAAAAUCUUUAAUUUUUAAUUAAAAUAAAAUAUAUUUUUCAUUAAAAAAAAUGUAAUUAACCUUUUAUAUUAAUUUCAUAAAAAAUAGGUACACCCUUAAAAAAAAUAGGUAUAUUCAUGCUUAGGGGAACCGGAACCACUAUCAUACUUAUCAUGGUGUAUAUUCCUUUGGGACCCUCGAUAAGUAAUCAGAGGUCCUUGCCCACCCCAAAACAAACUUUGGAAUCCUAGGUAUAUCAUUUCUUAGAGGAACCAAGACCCCUAUUUCCAUUAUCAUGGUUCAUAUAUUCCUUUGGGGACCUUUGAGAAUGAAUUGGAGGUUGUUCCCCACCUUAGAAUGGACAUUGGAACCCAAGGAACAUCCUAAAGAUAAUUUGGUACAUCAUUUACAAAAAUUGGUACAUCUUUCACAAAAUUUGACACAUCCUUAAAACAAUGUGGUACAUCCAAUCCACGAGCCACCAAGACCUCUAUAUUAUUACCCAUGGUUCGUUUAUUUCUUUAGGGAUCUUUAGGAAGUAAUCAAAGGUCAUUCCCUACUCUGAAACUAACUUUGGAACCCUAGGUACAUCCUUAAGGAAAUUUGGUACAUCAUUAAGAAAAUUUGAUAUAUCUAAUCCUUGAACUAACGAGACACAUAUCUUUCUUCCCAUUGUCUAUUUAUUCUUUUAGACAACCUUAGGAAGUGAUUAGAGGUCGUUCCCCAAUUUGGAACAAACUUUGGCCCCCUUGGUACAUCCUUUACAAAAUUUGGUAAAUAUUUUAUAAAAUUUGGUACAUUCUUCACAAAAUUUGGUACAUCCUUAAAAAAAAUUGGUACAUCUAAUCCUUGAACUACUAGGACCCCUAUCUUAUUACCUAUGGUCUGUUUAUUUCUUUAAAUAUCUUUGGAAAGUAAUUGAAGGUCGUUCACUACUCCGAAAUGGACUUUGGAACCAUAGGUACAUCCUUGAGAAAAUUUGAUACAUCCAUUACUUGAACUAACAAGACACCUAUCUCUCUUUCCAUGGUUCAUUUCUUCCUUUAGAGACUCUCGGAAAGUGAUUAGAGGUCGUUCCCCACCUCGGAACUGACUUUGGCAACCUUGGUACAUCCUUUAUAAAAUUUGAUACAUCUUUUACAAAAUUUGAUACGUCCUUCACAAAAUUUGGUACAUCCUUCAAAUAAUUUGGUACAUCCAAUCCUUAAGUUACUAGGACCCCUAUCUUAUUACCCAUUGUCCAUUUAUUCCUUUAGGGAUCUUUGGAAAAUGAUUGAAGGUCGUUCCCUACUCCGAAAUGAACUUUGGAACCCUAGGUACAUCCUUGAAAAAAUUUGAUACAUCCAAUCCUUGAGCUAUUGGAAUCCCUAUCUUAUUACCCAUAGUCCAUUUAAUCCUGUAGGAAUCUUUGGGAAGCAAUUGGAUGCACCAAAAUUUCUUAACGAUGUACCAAAUUUCCUUAAGGAUGUACUUAGGGUUCCAAAGUUCGUUUCUGAGUAAGGAAAAUUUCUUACAAUUUUCCAUUGUCAGUUUUAAAUUAUUAUUUUUUUACAAAUCAUCCUUAACAAAUUUUUUUUUUACGACUGUUUUAAAAUUAUAUUUUUUUUUCAUAUUUUCCUUGAAAUUUUGAGAAAAUAAUUUUACCGACAUGCAUUCCCAUAAAAUUUUUAUAUAUUUAUGGUAAAUAAAAUAUUUAUUUGUUUUAUGAAUUUUAUCACAUAUGAAUUAAAGAAAAUUGUUUUUUCAUAUUAUUUUUAAAUUUUAAAGAAUAUUUUUUAUAAAGAAUAUUUCAAAAAUAAUAUUAUGAUAAAGAAUAUUUUUAAAAUAAUAUUAAAAUUACAAUACCAUUGAAACAGGGGGUGGUUUAAAAAUAUUUUUGAAACCACAGUUGCUAAUUGUGGUUUUAAAGAAAAUUGUAAAACCAUAGUAAUAGACUGUAGUUUUAAGGAUAUUUUUGAAAAUUUUGAAACUACAGUCAUCAACGAUGGUUUUUUACACUAAAAAAAAAACUCACGUGGAUGAUUACGUGGAUAGAAAAUACUACUUUGACAAAUAUUUUGAGAUGGGUACUAUUCUUACCAUUUUUUUUCUACAAACAGAUUAUUUUGGACUUAAACUCUCCAAAACAUGCUCCCGCAAAAAGAAAAUCUGAUUUUUUUUUUCUCCUAAAAGAAAGAUACCCAAAAACAUGCUAUUUCCCGCCAGCUACCCAUGAAAGGAUACAUCUCAAAAGAGCCCUCCCAAAAUGGGGGUCUAUAAUAUGUUAUAUCAUUUAAAAUUAAGGAUUAAUUGAUUAAAAAGAUGAAAACAUUCCAAAAUACCCUUCAACAUUUUCAUUAUUUACAUGUGUAUUUUAAAAGAAAUGGUUACUUUUACAAAAUAAAUAAAUAAAUAAAAAAUGAUGAGGGCAUUUUUAUCAAAAAUGAGUAUUUUUUAGAUUGAAAAAAUGUGAAGGGUUAAUUUUCCAAAAUGUCCCUAUCCUUAAAAUUAAUGCUCAUUGGCUUAUAAGGGACCUGACCUCAUCCAUUGAUCUAAGCUUAUUUUUGCCCCGUAUUUAACACCUGGUUUUUAAAAAGGUUAUUGUGGACCCGAUGUUUUCGCUUGAUGCAUUCCCACUCGAUGGUGAAACUCGUUUUUUUUAUUUUUUUUAUUUGUGAAAAUUUGAUUUUUAGAAAAAAAACUUGGAGUCGCCACUUAUUUUUGAAAGGAAAAAGCAAUAAUAAAAAAGAAAAACCCUAAAUGUGACUCUGAAGGAAAAAACAAGUCUACGAAAAACCGAGUCUGGGUUCAGGGGUCAGGUUACUUAUUGGGAAGGUAUAGUGGUGAGUCGUAACACCCCUCUAAGGCCGUAUACGUACGACCUCUACUAAAUGAAUUAAGGGAAUUAUGGCAAUUAACUAAUUAAUUAUGGAUACCAAGAAAAAUAAUCAUACAAAUGAAUCUGUACAAGUCAUGGUGAAAAUCAAUAUACACAAAAAUAAUAAUGAAAUCUAAUUACAAGAAUACACAAAAUAAAUGAUAAGAGAAUUAUGUAAAAUAAUUUAUUGAACUAAAUGAAAAAAAAUGGUAUUAAAAAAAAUGGCUUUCAAGAAAUUUCAAAAGGAUUUUAUUAAAAACAAUUUUGAAUGAGUGAUUUCAAUUUAUUUAUUUGCAAAAUAUUUUCUUCAAGUGAUUUGGUUCAAUUUCAUUUGUAUUUAAUUUUCAAAAAAAGGUUAUUUAUACUUAUUAUAUCAAAUAUAAUUUAUUACAAAAUUUCAAUUUGGCAACAAAAAUUACUUUACAAAAAAAAAAAAAAAAUUUUACAAGUUUGUUUGCAAAAGUAUUUCAAGUUUUUUCAUUUAAGAAGAGUGAUUUAUACAAAUUAUUUAAAAAUGCAUAACUUCAUGUGCAAAAAGAAUUUUAAUUAAAAAGAAAAAAAAUAUUUAAAUAAUCUAUUUCUAAAAAAAAUACUUUUAAUUCCAUUUUAAUUAAGGAAAAAGAAUUCAUUUAAAAAAACAUUUUUUGGACAAUUUUAUUAAAAAUAAAUUUUUGGGGCAACUUUAUUUACAAAAAAAAAUUUGGACAAUUUUUAUUAAAUAAAGAAAUUUUUGGACAAUUUUAUUAAAAACAAAUUUUCAAAUUCUAUAAAAAAAAAUUCUUUUGGAUUUUUAUAAAAGCAUUUUUCUGAAUUUUUAUAAAUAAAAAAAACUUUCUUUUGUUAAAAAAAAAUAUUUUAAAAUUAUUAUUUUAUUAAAAUAUAUUUAUUGAAUUCUUCCUCUCAUUUAAACAAAAUUUCUAGUUUGUUCGAUAUUCAAUUCUGUACACACUCAAUAAAUAUAUACAAGCAAAUAUCUACAAGAACUAAUAAAAAUAAAAUCAAAUAAAAGUGGAAAAUAAAAUAUGUACCCAAAUAAACUUAUAACAAAUUCAAUGUCUUCCUACGACUUUUUUAUUAUCACUUUCUUUCAUGAAAUUUUGUGUUCCACGUGUCAUAAAUUCAUACUCAACUAACAAGAUUGUAGAAUAAGUCAAUGCAAAAACAAAAAUAACUCAUAUGUAAAUAUCCAAAAAUAUGUAGGGUUCAAAUAAUAAUUCAAGCCCAAAUUCAAACUUUAAAUUAGCCCAAUAAAUUUUAACAAUUAAAAAUGUGUCCAAAUUAACAAAUAUAACCCAAUAAAAAUAUCUCACAUAUCAUAAACCCUAACAUAAAGUUUUCAAAUUAAUAGCCAAAACAUAAGCUCAAUUAAUCAAACCCAAUAAAUUAGGAUAAAUCUCAUUAGGCCUAAAUUUAAUAUUUCAUAAUCCAAACCUAAUUUAAUAUACACCACAAUUGUCUCAUGCCCAAAUUAAAUAGUUCAAAUUAGUCAAACUCAUAUAAAAUAUUAAAGUCAUCCAACAAAUCUCACCCACAUUAUGGGUCCAAAAUUCAUAUAAGUUAACAAGCCCACAUCAAUAAUAUACAUGGCCAAAUGAAAUAAUAUUUCAAGCCCAAACAAAUAACCAAUUAACAAUAGGAUCAAGUCCAAAUAAACAAUAUAUAAUUGAUAUAAUCCAAAUAUCUCAAAUUAAUCACCAAAUACAAUAUAACCACAAACCCAAAUUAAAAAAUUUUAAAUUAAUUCACCAAUAAUAAAUUAGCUCAAAUUUCAUAUUAAUUUACCAACAACAAGUUAACCAAAAUUUCAUAUUAAUUCAACAAUCCUAAUUUCACAAACAACAAUUACUAUUAAAAUCAAAUCAAGAAAAAUAAUAAUAAUAAUAAUAAUAAUAAUAAUGGAAAAUGAGUGGGAUGGGACAACAAGGGAAUGAGAGAAAAUGGGAGGGGGUCGCCGGCUGGUAGUGACUCGCCGGUGGCGACUACAAGGGGCUCACCGGCGGUAGUGAGAGAUUGGGUAUGGUGAGAGGGGAGUAGAAAAUAAUAAUAAUAAUAUAAUAAAAUAAAAUAAAAUAAAAAAGAAAUGAAAGAAAAGAAAAUAAGAAGAAAUCAAAAGAAGAGUGUUCGGAUGGAGAGAAAGGGAGGGAAAAUGUGGGAAAGAAAAAAAAAAUGGGGGCUAGUCACCGCAUUUAGGAGUUAGAAGAAAAAAAUGAAAAAAAUGAAGAGGGGAAAUGGGGAGGAUGAUUGAGAAAAAUAUAAUAUAAUAUAAUAAUAAUAAUAAUAACAAAUAAAAAUAAAAUAAUAAAAACUAAGAAUUAAAUGGUGAGUGGACCAAAAAACACAUGUAAUCGGGAUUUAAAAUUUAUUGACAAAAUUGAGCUCAAAAUUAAUGUAAAAAUAAAAUUAGAACAAAUUUUGGGGUCAUAGUUAUAUUUGAUUAAAAUGAUUAUUGAAAACUCAAUUUUAGAAAUUUAACAUUUCAUCAUUUUUUAUUAUCUCAUUUUAACAAAAAUGUUCUUAUUCUUUUCAUGUAAAAAUAACUUUUUAUUUUAAAACCUACAUGUAAACACUUGAAAUGAUAAAAAAACUAUUUACAUCAAAAGCGGGAUACUCUUCAAACAAAAAUACAAGAAGGUUUAAAUUCACAAAUAUGAGGAUUAUUUCACCAUUUUUAACUAAUUAAUUUUUUUUCAAAUUGGCAAAAUGUGAAGCUAGCACGAUUAACAUUAGUAAAGUAUCUAAUUGCUAAAGAGAAUGGUAGGAUUUAUUGACCUAACUCAAUUUAAUAUAUGUUAAAAUGGUGACAUUUUCUAAUUAUAGGCAUAAAAAAAUUAGGAGAAUGACAAAACUUAGUUAUUUUUCUCAAAAAUGACAUUAAAAAAAAAAAAAAAACAAGGUCCUAAUAUAGUCUUAUAAACUACAAAAGAAAGAAAUUUGAACUGUUGUACACCAAGGCCUAGCCUUGCAUGACAAAUAAAUUGGCAACAAAGGAUUAUGGUUUUGGAAAAAAUGAAAAGAAGGAAAGGAUAAAACAUGGAUUAUUUAUUUACUAAAAACCGGAGUCAAGAGGUGGAAGGAAAUCAUGUUUAUGAGAGUUAUCGCCAUGAUUGGACUUGAGCUUCUAGCACAUGAAGUAAAGAGCUGCUAGUGGUACCUAUUAAAUACGAAUAUGAUUGGUACAUUGUCGUUAUGUGGGUUGGUGUUAGAUAAUUUAUUAUUUAUUUAUAUUUAUAUUUAUAUAUAUUUUGGGUUUACUAAGCUUUGGACAGCCGUUGGGUGUUAAUCUCACACUUUUAAUAUUAGUAUGGAAAAUUUGAGCUUUCACACGACAAGGAAAGGUGGCAUUACAGCCAAGCAAUUUAAUUAUUAAUUAGUUACUGGAGUCGGAGCUUCCUAUAACUAAUUUUUAAAAAGAAAAAGUGGGAAAUGGCGCCUCCAACAGUCAAAAAAUGCCGUUUCAACCGGGGCUUAAAAAUGGGCCUCCCUCCGCUGUCAUUUCCACGCAACUCCAUUGCAACGACGGAGUAUUAUUCCAUCCCCAUAGACCACCAUCCAAGUCAACUAAAAGUCUAGAUCAAUUACUUGUUUUAGUCACCAGAAAUUACCAAUAAACCACUCACGGUCUUGUUAUAAACCAAGCUGCAGCGUCACCAGAAACUUCAAAUCACAAGAGAGAAAAUUUGCAUAGAGAGAAUAUGGGAGAAACACUUGAUCGUAUUGGAUUGAGCGGAGAAGUCAUUAAUGCAGCUGCUUCUCUAGCCAUGAAGGCUCACGAUUCCACUCGCGAGCCAUUUCUCCUCAAGAAACCCCGUGGCUUAUCCGUUGCUGUUGUUGCAUUUGCUGGAUCUUGGCUUCCCGAUGAUUGGUGUGCGGAGACACCUUUUGGAGAAACGACGAUAGAUGCUGGUACCUUUCCUUCGCUUAAAAGUUUAGGCGAUGACGGAGUCGCUCUGGUCAACGGGUCGUUUCUCCGGCGAUUCAAGGCAAUCUUAGGCCAAUCAUCACUUGCCGAAAAGGUACUUCAAUUCAACUUAUGCAUAGAUAUAUGAAAAACGAUCUUGUGAAUUUAAAAUGUGGAUGUUGGGGUUGGAUUUUUCAGGUGAAAAAAGUAAUUGGAGAGAAGAAGCGAGUUGUUUUCACCGGCUACUCGUCGGGUGCUCCGGUGGCCAUCCUGGCAACUCUAUGCCUCUUGGAGAAGCCAGAGCCCAAUCAGAGCCCACCCCGCUGCGUCACUUUCGGAUCCCCCCUCGUCGGUGAUCGGAUCUUCGGUCAUGCUGUCAGACGGGAGAAAUGGUCCGACCACUUCGUUCAUUUUGUUAUGAGAUACGAUGUGAUCCCUCGGAUUAUGCUUGCCCCUUCAUCCACUGAGCACAAACAAAUUCUCGAUUUCUUCAAUCCCAGAUCUGAAUUCUUCAGAAAACCCAUUGAUUCUCCUUUAGGUUUCUAUUCCAGCGUGAUGAGGAAUGCAUCCUUGGUUGCAAACUAUGAUGCCUGCAAUCUCAUGGGAUGCAGAAUCCCGGCGUUGGAAACUCUAAGGAACUUCAUUGAGCUCAGCCCUUAUAGACCUUUCGGAACUUACAUCUUCUGCACGGGAAAUGGAAAAUUGGUUGUCGUAAGGAACUCGAAUGCAGUACUGCAGAUGCUGUUUUACUGUGCUCAGUGGACCCAAGAAGAAGCUGCAGGGGUUGCACAAAGAAGCCUAUCUGAACACUUGGCUUACAAAGAUGAAAUACAAGAGAGCUUAGGAAUGCAGAAUGUAGUCUAUCUAGAUCGUCUGGAAGAGAUUCCAGUGUCUUCAGAUGGCAGUCCAGCCACAGUCAACACGGCCUUGAAUGACCUCGGCCUGGUGAGCCUUCUUCCUUUCUUCUUAAUUACCUUACUGCCAAACUACAGAAUUUUAGCUUCCAUGUCUGUAAAUCUCAAUUGAUGUUCUAGUGUUAUGGAUUGCAGAGCCCACAAGGAAGGCUAUGCCUUCAAGCUGCAGGAGAGUUGGAGAAGCGAAAGUCAAGAAAUCAGGAUAAGAUCAUUAAUGAUUAUAAGCAAAAGAUUGAAGGUGAAUUAAGAGAGCUGAGAAAGUACAAGGAAAAGGCUGAGACUUGUGGACUGGGCUACUAUGAUUCCUUUAAGCUCAACAAAUACGAAGAGGACUUUCGGGCUAAUGUGAGCAGGCUUGUGCUAGCUGGUUUCUAGGACGAGAUGAUGGAAAUGUUAAAAGCGUAUGAACUUCCGGAUGACUUUGAGAAGAGCCAUGACUUUAUACGACUUGGAACCGAUUAUCGCCGCACGGUUGAGCCUCUAGAUAUUGCCAACUUCUAUCGACACGCCAAGGAUGAAGAGACAGGAUUCUACGUGAAAAAGGGUACUCGACCAAAACGAUAUCGAUACAUCCAAAAUUGUGUUAAAGUAUAUUGUAUUGUGGGCUCUAGGCCCAGGGGCCCAGUUAGGUUACUUGUAUAGUACUUGUACUAUACACCUGUACUACACCUUUGUACUACACUUGUACUACACCUUUGUACUGCACCCUUGUACUACACAUAUAUGCCUCCUAUAUAAAGGCACUGAUGUAUACUCUUUUACUCACAGAAUAGAAUACAAUUAUUCUAUAUUUCUAACAUGGUAUCAGAGCCACUGCUCUGACCUCUUUUUUUUCUUCUUAGCAGUCUUGUCUUCAUUAGUGUGACUUCCUUUUUCACUAAGCGCUUCCGCCAUCACAACUGCCGCUGUAGCCUCUUGCCGUUGAACCUCCGACGUCAUCCAGUCGUCAUCCCUGGGUUCCGGACCUGCAACCUCAGUCAUUAAGAAGUCUCACACUGCACAGACCACUGCCCCUUUGCAUCAUCGCUGCGAAUAUUGCUCCGAUUUCACUUUUGAAGGUACCACUGAGAUCGUCCAGCGCCGAUCUACACAUUCGUGGAUAUCUCGCCGCCAUCGGAGACCGCACGCGCCCCUCAAAGAUUCUGCAACGCCUCCACGUGCCUUCACGCGCCCCCACGCGCUGCCACAUCAGCACUAGCUCGUCAGGCCUCCACGCGCUGCCACGUCAGCCCUAGCUGCGUCAGCAUCCACUGAUCUGCUGACGUCAUCUCCAGUCGUUGACCGUUGACCAUUGACCGUUGACCACCGUUGACCGUUGACCGAACAUUGACCGUUGACUUUGACCGUUGACCGUCCAAUUGACUUUUUCCCCGGCCAGGUUCUCCUUACCCAGUUUUUCGUAUAGAUUUCAUUUCUGCAGUCGGUUUUUGCAUAUUGCGUCCCUAAAUGGAUAAGAAGGAUGUUUUUCUUCCUCGCCCCAUCCAUACUGUAUUGGAGGGGACUAAAAAUUACUUAUCCUGGUCUCAAGCUAUGCGCAGUUUUCUUAAGAGUCGCAUGCUCUGGCAUUAUUGUACUGGUGCAAUGACUAUUCCUGUCAAAGGAGCAAGUGAAGAAGAUGCUGUCUUUCUUAGUCGCAUGAUUGAAUGGGAUAGUCAUAACCACAUGAUCCUCACAUGGAUCCGGAACACUUCCAUUCCCUCUAUUUCCAACCUAUUGGGCAGCUUUGACGAUGCAAAAUCUGCAUGGGAUAUGUUGACCAAAAGGUACUCCACUACUCAUGGAUCCAUGAAAUAUCAGUUAGUGGUUGAAUUGCAUCAACUCAGGCAAGAACCGGGGCAAUCCAUCAAUGACUAUUAUGAUCAGCUUCGCUUCAUUUGGGACCAAAUUGACCUUUCUGAACCAACUUGGGGAUGCUCCACAGAUGCUCAGCAAUAUGCUACCAUUAGAGAUGAAUUUCGCCUCUAUGAAUUCUUGAUGUCACUUCACAAGGACUUUGAGCCCAUUCAUGGUCAGCUGUUAAAUCGCAGUCCUGCUCCCUCUCUUGAUACUGCUGUGAAUGAGUUGGUUAGAGAAGAAGCUCGUCUUGCAACCCUUCAAGCCCAGAAUAAGCUCAAUAUUUUGGCUAUUACUCCAUCUACUCCACUCAUAGAGCAACCUCAGCAAUUAGGUGAUUUUUCUGGCUCUAGCAAUCGUCGCAAGCAAACCAACAAGAAGUUCUGCAACUAUUGCAAGCGUCCUGGCCACACCAUUGAGACUUGUUACCGUCGUAACAAAUCUACUGCUGCUGUUGCUAAUACUGCACCUACUCCGCCAACGGUUUCCACGUCCUAGUCUUCUGGAUCUACUAUCAACCUCUCUUCCACUGAACUACAGGAGAUCAUAGCUCAGGCUGUUCGUAUGGUUGGUAAUGCAUCUCUUUCCACUGCCUUAUCUGUUCUACCUGGUAAGUCUCAAACUUGGCUCUUUGAUUCUGCCUGCUGCAAUCACAUGACACCUCACUCAUCCCUGUUCACCAACCUUGACCCUGCACCACAUCCUCUAAAUAUUCAUAUAGCCGAUGGUUCCACCAUGCAUGGAAAUAGUCUAGGUUUUGUUUCAACCUCUACCCUUUCUGUUCCUGGAGUCUUUCACGUACCUGACCUAUCCUAUAAUUUGUGCUCUGUGGGACAAUUAGCUGAACUCGGUUAUCGCCUUAUUUUUUACUAUUCUGGGUGUAUUGUACAGGAUCCGAGGACGGGGCAGGAGCUUGGGACCGGUCCUAGAGUUGGGCGUAUGUUUCCCGUGAACAAUCUUCAUCUUCCACCUGUUGCUCCUGUUUCUAUUGCUGCUGCAACAGCUGCAGUUUCUUCCUUACCUUCUCUUGCGCUUUGGCAUUCUCGUCUUGGUCAUGCACCAUCUUCUCGGGUACAACAGUUAGUGUCUAGAGGUCUGUUGGGUUCUGUGUCUAAAGACCAUUUUGAUUGCACUUCAUGUCAGUUAGGAAAACAACCAGCUUUGUCUUUCAAUAACAGUGACUCCAUUUCUAAAAGUAUUUUUGAGUUAAUUCAUUCUGAUGUUUGGGGACCUUCUCCUGUUGCUAGUAUUGGUGGAUCUCGAUAUUUUGUUGUUUUUAUUGAUGAUUACUCUCGUUAUAGUUGGAUUUUUCCUAUGAAAUCUCGUUCUGAAAUUUUAUCAAUAUAUAGCAACUUUGCAAAAAUGGUUGAAACUCAAUUCUCCAAACGUAUCAAAACCUUUCGAUCUGAUAAUGCUCUUGAAUAUACUCAACAUGCAUUUCAAACUCUGUUACAUUCCUAUGGCACUAUCCAUCAUCUAACCUGUCCAGGUACCUCUCAGCAAAAUGGUCGAGCCGAAAGAAAACUUCGUCAUAUUCUUGACACUGUUCGUGCUUUACUUCUUUCUGCCAAAAUUCCUGCCCCAUUUUGGGGUGAAGCCAGUCUUCAUGCUGUUCAUGCAAUUAACCGCAUUCCAAGUACUGUCAUCCAUAAUCAGACUCCAUAUGAGCGUCUCUUUGGGUCACCCCCUAACUAUCAUCACCUUCGCUCCUUUGGAUCCGCUUGCUUUGUUCUUCUUCAGCCUCAUGAGCACAACAAACUUGAGCCUCGAUCUAGACUCUGUUGUUUUCUUGGUUAUGGCGAAACUCAAAAGGGGUAUAGGUGUUAUGAUCCUGUUUCUCAUCGUCUUCGCGUUUCUCGUAAUGUUAUCGUUUGGGAACAUCGAUUGUUUGUUGAACUCUCUCACUUUCGUUCUUCCUUGACUAACUCCUCUGUUUUAGAAAUCUUUCCCGAUGAGUCUCUUGUUCCUUCUGCAAAUACUUUUGAUCUUCAUUUAGACUUCUCUCCAGAUAUCUUUGAUGCUUCUCCUAGACAGGUUGCAGAUGAACAGAUUAUUCACGAGCUACCCCACUUUGAGCCUGGGUCCCCUGCUCCUGCUCUGCCUGAAGAUCCUCCACAAGACAUUCCACCUCGCCACUCAACCCGGGUAAGAUCCAUUCCUCCACACCUCCUUGACUAUCAUUGUUACACUGCCCUUGCUACACUUCAUGAGCCUCAAACCUAUCGUGAGGCCUCUACUGACCCUUUAUGGCAGAUUGCAAUGAAAGAGGAACUUGAUGCAUUAACCAAAAACCAUACUUGGGACCUGGUUACUCUCCCUCCUGGACAGUCUGUGGUUGGUUGUAAGUGGAUCUAUAAGAUCAAGACUCGCUCUGAUGGAUCCGUUGAGCGCUAUAAGGCUCGUCUUGUUGCCAAAGGUUUUACACAAGAGUAUGGGAUUGAUUAUGAAGAGACGUUUGCUCCAGUUGCUCGUAUCUCAUCUGUUCGUGCUCUCUUAGCUGUUGCUGCUGCUCGUAAAUGGGAUCUUUUUCAGAUGGAUGUUAAAAAUGCCUUCCUUAAUGGGGAUCUGAGUGAAGAAGUCUAUAUGCAACCUCCUCCUGGUCUCUCUAUUGAAUCAAACAAGGUUUGUCAUCUUCGACGUGCACUUUAUGGUCUCAAACAAGCCCCACGUGCUUGGUUUGCCAAGAUCAGCUCCACUAUUUUUCGCUUGGGUUACACCGCCAGUCCAUAUGAUUCUGCCUUAUUUCUUCGUCGUACUGAUAAAGGCACUAUUUUGCUUCUUCUCUAUGUGGAUGAUAUGAUCAUAACUGGUGAUGACCUUAGUGGCAUUCAAGAACUCAAGGAUUUUCUCAGUCAGCAGUUUGAGAUGAAAGAUCUUGGACAUCUCAGCUAUUUCUUGGGUCUUGAAAUUACUCAUUCCACAGAUGGUCUUUAUAUUACUCAAGCCAAGUAUGCUUCUAACCUGUUGUCUCAAGCUGGGCUCACUGACAGCAAAACAGUUGACACUCCAGUUGAACUUAAUGCGCAUCUGACACCCUUGGGGGGGAAACCAUUGUCUAAUCCUUCUCUUUACAGACGAUUGGUUGGCAGCUUAGUUUACCUCACAGUUACUCGUCCAGACAUCUCCUAUGCUGUUCAUCAAGUGAGCCAGUAUUUGUCUGCUCCACGAUCAACUCACUAUGCUGCUGUUCUGCGCAUUCUUCGAUACCUGAAGGGUACCCUUUUUCAUGGCCUUUUCUACUCAGCCCAGUCUCCUCUUGUACUCCGUGCAUUCUCAGAUGCUGAUUGGGCAGGAGAUCCUACUGAUCGCAGGUCCACUACAGGUUAUUGCUUCCUCCUUGGUUCUUCUUUGAUUUCUUGGCGAAGUAAGAAACAAACCUUUGUGGCCCGCUCCAAUACUGAAGCAGAAUAUCGUGCCCUUGCUGAUACCACAUCUGAGCUCCUUUGGCUAAGAUGGCUCCUUAAGGAUUUGGGUGUAUCCACCUCCUCUGCUACUCCUCUCUAUUGUGACAACCAGAGUGCUAUUCAUAUUGCUCACAAUGAUGUCUUUCAUGAACGGACUAAACACAUCGAGAUUGAUUGUCAUUUUAUCCGUUAUCAUCUUCUCCAUGGUGCUCUUAAGCUUUUCUCCGUCUCCUCCAAAGAUCAACUUGCAGAUAUCUUCACCAAGUCUCUUCCUAAGAGACGCACUCGUGAUUUAGUUGACAACCUCAAGUUGGUCUCACAUCCACCUUGAAGUUGAGGGGGGCUGUUAAAGUAUAUUGUAUUGUGGGCUCUAGGCCCAGGGGCCCAGUUAGGUUACUUGUAUAGUACUUGUACUAUACACCUGUACUACACCUUUGUACUACACUUGUACUACACCUUUGUACUACACUUGUACUACACCUUUGUACUGCACCCUUGUACUACACAUAUAUGCCUCCUAUAUAAAGGCACUGAUGUAUAAUCUUUUACUCACAGAAUAGAAUACAAUUAUUCUAUAUUUCUAACAGGCUCGAGCAUGCUGAAAAGAAGCCAUCUGGAUCCCGCUCAGAAUCCUGUUUCUGGGCUGAGGUAGAGGACCUCCGCAUUAAAACUAGAAGCAACGGAUCCUCUCCAGAAAUUAAGCAGAAGGUUCAGCAACUGGGGCAAAAUCUAAUUAAAUGGAUUGAUGAUGCAUCUUUAGGCAAGGAUGUGUUGUUGGAGAAUUCCACCUUUGUUAAAUGGUGGAAACCCCUUCCUCCUGAGUAUAAAUCAGAACCCGAAUCAUCUCGCAUUAUGAAACUCAUCCAUUAGAAAGAUUGAGAGGGUUUCAUGCUGUUAUCUCGAGGCAUUUGUUCAAAGCCAAUAACAGCAAUAACCCUGAAUGUAUGCAAAAUCCUGUUUCCUGUAUUAAUUAGUAUGCAAAAUCCUAUUUUCUGUAUUAGUAUGUAACGACUCAUUCCCAAUCGCAUAGAUAAUGUCACUGUGAUAUCCAGGGUCUCAGGUCCAACUAUGUGAAAAUCAAGAAUGCAAAUGACUAGAUAUCAAGGGGUAAUGCUCAUAAUACUUUCAUACAAACAAGUUAGAAUUGUGUAAGUUCUACAGACGAUUAUUCAAGUAGUUGUACUUCAACACAGAUGAAGUUUGUGAUUUGAAGUUACAACCAUCUGAUAAUAAAGAUGAUGAGAAGGCAUAUUUCUUAAGAAAAUGGUCAUGAUAGCAUUUGGCAGAGAGGAGCAUACUAAUACAAAAGAUUGAAAAUGGGUUGAUAAAUUAACAGGCAGAUGGACGCUUGAUGUGCAUAUUCCUUGACCGAUCAAUAUGUAUAUGAAAAUACUGUGACAAAGACCUAGUUAGCUCCACAAUGAAAAAAGAAGCCCUUGCCAUAUGACGACAGAGGCCCUGUCAUAGACUCACAGGUCAACUACAACCAGUUCCUUCCUAGCUGUCAGAACUUUCCUUAUUGUGCAAGAAAGAAUAAGCAUGAUAUUCUGAUGCUCCCUUACUAAUUUACUACUGAACACAAAUCAACAAGCCAUCCCUUUAAGGACAUAUCUAUAAGUUCCAUCUGGCAAGGACCUCUCCAAUGGUUACAUAUAUCUUUCUUUAUGGGCCACUAAAUGAAGCCCUUUUCCAUAACCCAAUACAACCCGGUUGGAACAUAUCAUCCUCAAAAGUGAGAAAUCAUCGACACCAUAAGGGUGCAUUUGGGAUAUGGGAAUCGGAAAGGAAAUAGGAUGGGAAUGAAGGUGAAUCACGAUAUCAUGUAGAAGAGAGGAAUCAAAAUCCUAGUGAAAGUAGUGUUAAGAUAUGGACUCACAUAUCUAACAAUAGUUCAUGACUAAGCUAUUCACCUCUUUUCAGUAUUUGUUUUCUGUUCGUUCAAGAGUAUGGACCACUUAUGUGUAGAGCCCAACGCCUUCACGGGCCUUAGAUGAUGGGCCUAAGACUUGUGAGGCCCAAAAACCCAAUGGGUAUGGUCCCUAAGGCAGGAGGGUAUAAAAGGUCAAGGGUCUGUUCAUUUUGGUAACAAUCACAUCAGUUUUGGAAUUAGAACAGACCUGUUUCUCUUCGACUCCCAUCGUCUGAGAGAAUUCAGAAAGAUGUGGUGCCCUCCACAGCCUUAGAAGAUCCAUACCGUAUUCAUCGCUGGAAAACAAUGGACUCAGGUAUGUUCUUAGACAACAGUGGAAGGCAUAAUUUGAAUGCUUGGUAUACAUAUAUAUCCUAUUUUUUUUUUUUUUUUUUUUGUGUGUUUUGGGUGAUAAUGGAAAUCAAGAAUAAUAACAAAUGGUAUCAAAGCCUCCCAUUUUCACCAAAACACUCUUUAAAACACAAACAUCAGACCCAAAGCAAAAAACGUUGGACUCAGGCGUUGUUUUGGGCAAUGGGAGUAGCGUUAGGGCGCUGCAACGCGUCAUUAGGAAUCAGAAUAGUGCCAUUUCGGCGCUGUUCAUUUUGUCGGUGUCCUUUACGCUGUUUUGACGCCGUUGAGAUGCCACUGCAGGUGUCGUCAGCCCGAUGUCGCCACGACGCCGGCUGGAGGAGGAUUGAGACGCCGGUUUGGCGUCAUUCUCCAAUCAAGAACGUUGUUCAGGCGAUGGAAAAUGACUACGAUGUCGUUUAGGCAUCGUUUCUCAGUCAGCUGCUCGUGAUUUAGGCGUCAUUUUUUUGGCGUUCCAGACGUCAUCCAAGCGCCAAUGAGGAACGCCAAAAUUAGGGUGUUGUUGUAGGCUACUCAGUAACGUUGUUACUGCAUUUUUCUAGUGAUGACACCACUGAUGACACCGCUGCCGGCAUCCCAUAGUAAAAUGCCUAUUUUUGGUGCGCCGUUUUGGUGGCACUAAAGCACCAUUUUCAGGCGCAAUUGGAGGGGCUGCUGGCGUCCGUUACAAGCGCCAUUAAGGCGUCUGUUACAGGCACCAUUUAGGCACAGUCCCACGCAGCAUUCAAACGUCGUCCAGGCGUAGUCUGAUGGCGUCGUUCGUAGAUGGCUCCAGGGCCGCUGUCAGUUGGAUGCAAAAAUGAUCCCUUUUUAUAGCGUUUGAAAUUCCAUGUUUUUUUAUAAAAAAAAAAUUAUGUAUAUGCUUUUAAAAUUAUGCCAUAAUGAAGAUGGAAUAAUUUGAGAGAGUCUAUAUUCUUUUUUUGUGUUGUGGGAAAUUUUAUAUGUAUAUGCUUUUAAAAUUAUGCCAUAAUGAAGAUGGAAUAAUUUAAGAGAGUCUAUAUUCCUUUUUUGUGCAUUAGGAAAUUUAUAUGUAUGUGUUGCAUGUGAAAUAAUUAGGUAUCAUUCAAUGUCUUAUGAAUCAUGCAUAAAAUGGGUUUGUGGAUAAAUUUUUUAUUGAAUUAUUGCUUGCUAUAUUUAUGUUUAAUAUUUUAAAAUAAAUGAAUUAUGUAUACUUGUUGCCAAAGUAACUUGUAUUAGGUAAUUUUAUUUAUUUUGAAAUGUGUAAGCAUGUUAUUAUUGUAUAAAAUAAUCAACCCAAAGGAGGAUUAUUUUUAUAUAAUAAUAAAUAAAGUAAUCAUGAAUAUGUGACAUACAAGGUUUAUCUUGCAUUCGAUAUGUUAGUCCAAAGACAAACAUAUUGUUUUCGGGUUUUUUUUAUUGUCAAUAUUUAUGAAUUAAUUUAAGGAUGCUACUUACAAGUUGAUAUUUCCAUCCAAAGACUGAAUAUUGAUGUUUGUGCUAGGUAUCUUGUUGUAUGUCCACAUGCAUAUAUAUGUUUAAAUUUUAUUUAUUCAUGUAUGUGUGAUGUUUAUAUGACUGAUUGUGAGCUUCAUUGUUAUUUCAGCAUCUUCUAUAUCUGCAAAUGUCAAUAACACUCCUGUGCUUAAUGGCAUAAACUUCAAGAAAUGGAAGGAGCACGUUAUAAUUGUGCUCAGGUGAAUAGAUUUAGACUAUGCAUUAAGAGUGGAUCGCCCUUCAGAUCUUACUAGUGCCAGCACUGCUGAGCAAAGGUCUGCUAUGGAAAAAUGGGAGCAAUACAAUCGCAUGAGUCUAAUGAUUAUGAAGCACUCAAUUCUAGAAGCUAUAAGGGGUGCAAUACCUGAGGAAACCCAAGCCAAGGCAUUCUUGGACCAGAUAGCAAACCGAUUUGCUGCAAACGAAAAGGUUGAGAUAAGCACUAUUCUUAGUAAGCUUGUCUCUAUGCGGUAUAAAGGGAAAAAGAAUAUAAGGGAGUACAUUAUGGAAAUGUCUAAUCUUGUGACUAGACUCAAGGCACUAAAGUUAGAGUUGUCGGAAGACAUACUCGUGCACUUGGUCUUGAUCUCUCUACCUACACAAUUCAGUCCAUUCAAAAUCAGUUACAACACUCAAAAGGAGAAAUGGACUUUGAAUGAGCUUAUUGCUCAAUGUGUACAAGAGGAAGAGAGAUUGAAACAAGAGAAGAUAGAGAGUGCUCACUUGACUUCCACAUCUCAGGGAUUUGGUGCCAAUAAGAAAAGAAAGAGGGACAAUAAAGGAAAACAAACUACAGUUUCUAAGACAUCAAAGCAGAAGGUGCAGAAGAAACAAGAUAAGGAGAUCACUUGUUUCUUUUUCAAAAAGACUAGUCAUAUGAAGAACACAUGUACCAAAUACGCGGCUUGGCGUGAAAAGAAAGGCACACUUCUCAACUUCGUUUGUUCAGAAAUUAAUUUAGCUAUAGUGCCUACUGACACUUGGUGGAUAGAUACAGGUGCAACUACUCACAUAAGUGUCACUAUGCAGGGUUGCCUAAGGAGUCGAAUGUCAACUGAUGGUGAAAGAUACAUCUAUGUGGGAAAUGGAAACAAGGUUGCAGUCAAGGCUAUUGGUCUUUUUAGACUACAGUUGGACUCUGGAUGUACUUUGGAUUUGGAAGAGACUUUUGUUGUACCGUCGUUUAGACGGAAUUUAAUUUCUAUUUCAUGUCUACGGAAUUUAAUUUCUAUUUCAUGUCUGGACAAAUUUGGAUAUUGUUGUUCAUUUGGAAAUGGAAUAGUUAGUCUUUAUCUAAAUUCAAAGGUUAUUGGUACAGGUAGUCUAAUAGACAAAUUAUACAAAUUGAACAUAAAGGCCACUAAUGGAAAUGAAACCUUGCAUUCAAGUAAUUAUGGCAUUAAGCGAAAAUUAAUAAAUGAGAAUUCAUCAAUGUUAUGGAACAAACGUUUGGGUCACAUUUCAAAUCAAUGGAUUCAAAGGCUUGUGUCAGAAUGAAUUCUUGAUCCACUUGAUUUCUCAUACUUUCAAGUCUGUAUAGAGUGCAUUAAAGGUAAACAAACAAAUAUGAGGAAAAAUGAUGCCAAUAGGUGCAGUGACAUCUUGGAAUUGAUACAUACGAAAAUUUGUGGUCCAUUCCCUACAACUUCUUGGAAUGGACAACAAUAUUUUAUCACUUUCAUUGACGAUUACUCGCGUUAUGGCUAUCUUUAUUUGAUUCAUGAGAAAUGUCAAUCAUUGGAUGUGUUCAAGAAUUUCAAAGCUGAAGUUGAGAACCAACUAAGCAAGAAAAUAAAAGUCGUCAGAUCUGAUCGUGGAGGUGAAUACUAUGGUAGAUAUGACGGAUCAGGUGAACAAUGUCCAGGGCCAUUCGCCAAAUAUUUGAUGGAGUGUGGUAUCGUUCCUCAGUACAUCAUGCCAGGGACUCCAAGCCAAAAUGGUGUAGCAGAGAGGUGAAACCGUACUCUUAAGGAUAUGGUAAGAAGUAUGAUCAGUCAUUCCAUCUUACCAAAAUCACUUUGGGGCGAAGCUAUCAAAACUGCAGUUUACAUUUUGAAUAGAGUACCAAGCAAAGCAGUAGCCAAAACCCCAUAUGAGUUAUGGACUAGCAAAAAGCCUAGUAUUAGGCACUUGCAUGUUUGGGGUUGUCCAGUUGAAGCUAGGCCUUAUAAGCCAAAUGAAAAGAAAUUGGACUCCAGAACAGUGAGCUGCUACUUUGUAAGGUAUUCUGAAAGGUCAAGAGGUUUCAAAUUUUAUGACCCCUCAUCUAGAUCCUUCUUUGAAACGGGUAAUGCUAAGUUCAUUGAGGAUGUUGAGUUAAGUGGGAGAGAAUCAUUAAGAAAUGUGGUUUUUGAAAAGGAAUCUAUUAGUAUUCCUACGACUGGAAAUGGUCAUAUUAUGUUUGAUGACACUAUUUAGAAUGUACAGUCGAUAACAAAAAUUCAAGACACACCUGAAAUUCCUCCUGCUCAAGUUAUGGAACUGAUUCAAGUUCAUCAAGAGGUAACUCAACAACCUCAAGAACCUCAAGUACAAGUGCCACUGAGGAGAUCCACUAGAGAAAGGAGAAGUACAAUUUCAGAUGAUUAUGUUGUAUAUCUUCAAGAACAUGAGUUUGACAUGGCUCUGAAAGACGAUCCAAUUUCAAUUAGUUAAGUCAAACAAAGUUCUAACUCUGAAAAGCGGAUAGAAGUCAUGAAGAAAGAGAUGAAAUCAAUGAAAGACAAUUGUGUUUGGGACCUAGUAGAGUUGCCUGAAGGUAUAAAACCGAUUGGUUGUAAAUGGAUUUUUAAAACCAAACGGGAUUCAAAAGGUAACAUUGCUAGGUAUAAGGCACGCCUAGUCGCAAAAGGUUUCACUCAAAAGGAAGGCAUUGAUUAUAAGGAGACCUUUUCACCAAUUUCGUCAAAGGACUCUUUUAGAAUCAUCAUGGCACUUGUAGCUCAUUAUGUUUUAGAGCUACAUCAAAUGGACGUUAAAACUGCGUUUCUUAAUGGUAACAUUGAUGAAACAAUAUACAUGGUGCAACCGGAGAACUCUGAGUCUAAUGAUUCAAAGCAACUUGUAUGCAGAUUAAAAAGGUUCAUAUAUGGUUUAAAGCAAGCAUCCUGACAGUGGUACCGAAAGUUUGAUCAGGUGAUCACUUCAUUUGGUUUUAAAGAGAACACCGUUGAUCAAUGAAUAUACCUCAAGUUUAGUGGGAGCAAAUUUAUUAUCUUGGUGCUAUAUGUUGAUGAUAUUCUACUUGCAAGUAGUGAUGUGGGACUUUUGCAUGAAACCAAGCGAUUUCUAUCUAGUAAAUUUGAUAUGAAAGAUCUUGGUGGUGCAUCUUUUGUGCUGGGUAUACAGAUCUAUAGGGAUCAUUCAAGAGGUAUACUUGGGUUAUCACAAAAGGCCUACAUUGAUAAAAUGUUGAGUAGAUUUGGCAUGAGCAAUUGUGCACCAGGAAACACGCAUGUGGCAAAAAGCGAUAAAUUUAGUUUGCACCAAUGUCCGAAAAAUGAACUUGAGAAGAAGGAUAUGGAGAGGUUUCCCUAUGCCUCGGCCAUUAGAAGUCUCAUGUAUGCACAAGUUUGUACGCGUCCGGAUAUUGUGUACAUUGUUGGAAUGUUAAGCAGAUAUUUGAGUAACCCAGGUAUGGAUCACUAUAAAAAGGCAAAACGGGUUAUGCGGUAUUUACAAAGGACUAAAGACUAUAUACUCACAUACCAUAGAUCCAGUCAUUUGGAGAUCGUCGGAUAUUCGAACUCCAAUUUCAUAGGAUGUCUUGACAGUAGGAGAUCCACUUCAGGAUACGUCUUCAUGCUGGCUGGAGGAGCAGUUUCAUGGAAAAGUGUUAAACAAACACUUAUUGCUUCUUCCACCAUGGAGGCAGAAUUCAUAGCUUGCUACAAGGCAUCAAACCAUGGGAUAUGGCUACGGAAUUUUAUCACUCAAUUGCGAAUUAUUGAUGGGAUUGAGAAACCAUUGAGAAUCAAUUGUGAUAAUAAGGCCGCAAAAUUGUAUUCUAAGAACAACCGAAGUCCAUCAAAGUCCAAACACAUUGAAAUCAAGUUCUUGGUUGUGAAAGAAAGAGUUCAGAGUCUUCAAGUAUCGAUUGAACACAUAAGCACAAACUCCAUGACUGCGGAUCCGCUCACUAAGGGUUUCCCACCCAAAGUAUAUCAUGAGCAUGUCACACAUAUGGGUGUUGUACACAUUGAUGAUGUGCCAAUAUAGUGGGAGUUUGUAUUUAGAUUUUGUGUUUGUUUUCUUGAUGUGAUAUCAUGUUAUGUUAUCUAUACAGACCUUGGUUUUUAAAGACUAUUGUAUUUGAAUACUCUGAAUUGAAAUGAUGACUUUUAGAAGCAGUUUAGCAUCAAGUGUUGAAAGUGGAAUUUGACUAAUUUUUAGUCAUAAAGUGGGACCAAUUGGAAAUAGACAUAUUAGAGAUCACAUUCUAAGCAACAUAAUCUCCAUUCUCAAGUUCUAAAUCCAUCCAAAUACGUACUUCAUGGCAAAACUGUAACACCCCAAAAUAAACUUUAGGGGCAAAAUAGUAAAUUAUAAAUUAAUUAAUUAAUUAAUUAAACUCAUUAAAGAUAAAAAUCCCUUUUACAAUUAAUAAUCUUUGGUGUAAAUUAGAUUUUUCUCUUGUCUUCUUUAUUCAGAAAACUCUAUUAACCAAAAAUUAGUGAAUUGGAAAAUGUAGGGCUCAAGGUUUGAAGGUCUAGAGUUUGAAGUUCAGAUUUUUCCAAGUAAGAUUCUAACCCUAGAUUAAUAUAUUAUAUUUGUUAAUUAGUUUUGAAUACAUUAGAUAUUCUUUAGAAAAUUUUAAUUUAGAUUAGUGCUAGUUUAGUUAAUUUAUUUUAAGAUCAAAAAAUUGAAAUUAUGAAUAUAAGUUGUUUCAUUUAUGAAAAUAGGGAAAUUUGAAAAAAAUUUUAUAUGAAUAGAUCUAAACAAUGAAAUUGUAAAAAUUAAAUGAGUAAAUAAAUAUAUGAUUAUAUAUGGCUUAAGGGAUUGGAAAAUAAUAAUAAGAAGAAUUGCAUGUUUCUGGAUUUUGGAUUUGAGGCAAUGUGGUGGGGUGACAAAAAAAAUAUGAUAUCUAAUUGUGAAAAGAGUGGUAGUGGAAUAAAUUAAAAUAAUAAUAAUGAGUAGAGUUGGUGGGGUUGUUGGUUAAAAGUACAUGAGAUAUUUUGUUAAAUAAGAGGGAACAUUGGGAUUAAUAAGAAUAAUGAUAAUAAUGAUAUUAAUAAUAAUAAGAAGAAGAAGAAUAAUAAUAAUAAGAAAAAUUGUGUGAUUUGGAUGUUUGUGAGUGAUGUACAAUAGGGGUGUUUUUGGAUAUUGCAAGGUAUCGAAAAAUAUAGUAAUAAUAAUAAUAAUAAUAAUAAUAAUAAUAAUGAUAGUUUUUAAUAAAAGUUUAAAUUUAGUUUAAGUAUACAAAAUAAAUAAAUGGUUAGAAUAAGAUUUGGAAGAAAUAUGAGUUUAUAAAAAAUUUGGAAAUUCAUUAAAUUAUAUUAUUAUUGUUUAAGAAGUUGAAACUAAUAUUGGGUAGUAAUAAUAUUAGAAUAAGAAAUUAAUUAAGAUCCCUAAUGCUAAAUAAAAUAUUUUUAGGAUUGUCAAAUUUUUACCUUUAGAUAAUUGUGUAUGAUAUUAUGUUAGGUGAAGAGUAAAUUCAUCAAGCUAAAUACUUCAAGUUUUUGAGCACUUCUUCAAGGUAAGGGAAAUUAAUGCAGAUUUUUAUAAAUAAUAAUAAUAAUUUUCUUUUUAUAUUGUAUUUUGAAAUGUGUAAAAAUAUUAUUUUUAUCUUUUCGCAUGGAUCAAAUAUGCGUUUUGUGUGGAAAGUAUAUUUGAGAAUUUUCUUUGUUUAUGAAAAAUAAAAAAUUGAGGAGAUAUGAUAUUUUGUUGAGUAAGUUUGACUUAAUGAAAUAAAGUGUUUGACUAUGGAUUAUAUGACCCUAGUCAAUGAGUUAUAUUGUUGAUAUUUUCGGCCUUUGUCAACGAUUUAUAAUAGUUGAUAUUAUAUGGCCCUAGUCAACGAGUUAUAAUAGUUGACCUUAUGACCCUAAUCAACGGGUUAUAAUUGUUGGCUUUUGGUUAUGUUCAUCUUAAAUGGAACAAAUUUGAAACUAGUCACUCAUUUGUAAAGUCUCACCUAAUUGGGCACCAUUUGUUAUUUGAUAAUCAGAGUAAAGAUAUUUUGAAUGUAUUUUAUUUGGUUUUGAUGAGAAAUUGUUUUGAAAUGGAUAUGAGAAAGUUUUGUUGAAAAGUUUGAAUGUAUUAGUAUUUUGAACUUAAAAGUUUUUAUGAAAAUAAGUAUAUGUUAUACAUCCUAUUUGCAAGUAUGAUUGAAAAUGUUUGAUCCAUGAAAUUGUAUUAAUGUUCCUUAUCGGGCUUUGAGUUCCCCUUUUAUUGAUAAUCUUUCAAGUAACCUCAGUUCGGGCGAAGAGUGGCCGUUAUGAGAGAAAUUUGGUUUUAUUAGGACAACUCUUUUUAUCUUGGACAUUGUUGAAAUGUUAAAACUUAAUUCUUGUUUCAAUUAUUUUGAGUUUAGAGUUACUUAGACAAUAACACUUUGGUUGAUGUAUUAGUUUUUAAAAAAAUUUGAUACUUGGAGAUUUUAAAAUUUUGUCCUAGAACAGGAAUUUGAUAAUUGGUAAAUUUCCAGUUACAAUACAGAUGUUUGUGUUGUUUCCACUUUGAGCCUUUAGGCUUGAGAUGUGAAAUGACUGUCAUGCCCUUGGAGUGGGUUUUGGGACAUGAUAGAGUGGUAUCAGAGCACUAGGUUAUGAUCUUGUUGAGAACUUGUUUUAGUUUACUUUUGGGAUAGAUGAGUGACGCAUUAGUUUAAGUUUCAGUUUCAUCUUCUAUAAAUUCAUAUUUUUCCUUAUGAAUCUAAAUUGCCUAAUUGGUUUUUUAGUGACUAAUUUAAUUAUACCAAUGUUUAAUAGGACAACAUGGCACCAAUAAGAACAACAUCUUCCCAAAACAGUCAGGCUAAUAAUGAUGUACCUCUUCCAUUUGAGGGUUUACCUCCCAUGAAUGUAGAAAAGCUUUAUAGGUAUCUUGAGACUUUAGCUGGUUUGGCUAAGCUUCAGGCUAGAGCUAUUGAGACUCAAGCUCUUGGACAACACUCAUCUUCUAAAGGUAGCUCAUUUGAUGACUUUAAUAAGUUAGGUCUUCCUUAAUUUUCUAGUACUUCAGACCCAAUGGAAGUAGAAGCUUGGAUUCUUAAGAUAGAGAAAUUCUUUAAUGUUAUAGAUUGCUCUGAGGAGCAAAAAGCCUCUUAUGCAGCAUUUAUGUUAGAUAAAAAAACAAAUCAUUGGUGGCGUAUGACCAAAAGGCUUUUAGAGGAUUAGGGACCUAUAGUUUGGAGACAAUUUAAGGAGGCAUUUUACAAAAACUACUUCCCUGACAUUGUUAGAUGACAAAAAGUAGGAGAGUUUGUUCGUUUGGAACAGGAGGAUAUGACGGUGGACCAGUAUGAGUCUAAAUUUACAGAGUUGUUACGUUUUGAUCCACAAUUAAUUGCUAUAGAGGAGGAAAAGACAUUAAAGUUUCAGGAUGGAUUGAAGCCUUAUCUAAAGAACAAAAUAUAUAUUUUGAAGCUUAAUGCCUAUUAAAAGGUUGUAGAUAAAGCCCUUAUAGCAGAAAAUGAUAAUAAGGAGCUUUAACAAUACAAAAAACAACAAAGGAAGAGGAGUAGGAGUGAUGGUGCCCAUGAGAACCAAGAACCAAAAAGGUUCGAUUCAAUUGAGAAUCAGAAUAAAGGGGAAACAAUGCAAAAUUCAUAUUUGACUUGUUCUAUUUGUGGUAAGAAACAUUGGGGUAAGUCUUGCUAUAAAGAGUAUGGAGCUUACUUUGGUUGUGGAAAGCAUGGACAUAUGAUUCAGGAUUGCCCAAAGAAUAAGAAGUUUAUGAUUGGGAAGCCUAAGGAAGAGAAUAAAAAUUAUAAACAGAAACCCAAAGUCCAAGGGCGAAUGUUUGUUAUAACUAAUCAAGAUGCUCAAGUCACUUCUGAUGUGGCGACAUGUACUAUUUGAAUUUGCAAUUGGGAAAGUUGUGUUUGCAACUACCUAUUUGAAAGCAUUAUAGAUAUCAAACUGGAAGAAGUUGGAAUAUGAGAUUUGACCGUGAAAUGGCAAAAUAUUAUCUUUCUCAUGCACUCUUUUUCUAACUCCAUUUUAUGUUCCUAGAUUGCCCCUCCAUGUUUCCAUGUCAGCUGCAACCCUAUCUCCAUAUUAGCAGAAAACCCUCCAUGUCACAUAAGAGACUUGAAAUUUAUAAAACAGAAAAAUCAAACCUAUGAAAAAUCACCUGACCCGAGACCCAUGUAAAAUUUUUAAAACCUUUAUUCUCUUUGAUUUGGGAGCUUCUCUCUCUCUCUCUCUCUUGGCUUCAUCACCCACACAAUCCCGAGACCUAUGUAAAAUUUCCUAAAAAUGGUCUCAAAACUCCAACCUGUGUGUUUCUCUCUUGUCCACAUAAAAGUGCAACGAAAUAGAGCAUUCCAUCCUAAGAAUGUCCAGUUAAAAGAAGACUUCAAGAGGCACAUCCAUGAUUAUGAAUCUACUACAGCAGCGCAUACCAGAAUAGAAAGAUGGAAUCCAAAAUAUAUGGUUCGUGAACAAGAUAUCUCUUCCUGUCAUUAAGUGGCAUUUUUCCCUAACCCCAAACUGAAAUAUGAAGGUAAAUUAUUUUCAUUUAUUGUUCUUUAGUUCAUUAAUUUGAUAUAGAGCACAUCAACAAUUUUGGAGUAGUUGGUGGACUUGAACUUUUGUGUUGGGUUAUGGGAACCAUAUUAUUCCCAAAUAACCAUAUGACCCACAAGUCGUAUUGAAUCCAGAUGGAACUUACAACAUAUCUGGUUAUAAGUCACAUUGUUAUUUUGCGGAUUGUACCUUAGGUACUACCUUAAUAGCCCUUAGGUACUACCUUAAUCUACCUUAGGUACUACCUUAAGGGACCUUAGGUACUACCUUAGUUAAAGAUGGGUUCUACCUAUCCCAAGCUCAAACCUUCCUUUGUGACCCUUAGACCAUGCCAUUAUGUGAUUCUUUUGUGUGGGCAAGUGGUCCACCUUUGGUUGUUUGCAGACUAUAACUUAAGUACUACCUUAAUAGCCCUUAGGUACUACCUUAGUUAAAGAUGGGUUCUACCUAUCCCAAGCCUCGGACCUUCCUUUGUGACCCUUAGACCAUGCCAUUAUGUGAUUCUUUUGUGUGGUCAAGUGGUUCACCUUUGGUUUUUUUAGGACUGUACCUUAGAUAUUACGUUAAUAGCCCUUAGGUACUACCUUACUCUACCUUAGGUACUACCUUAAGAGAUCUUAGGUACUACCUUAGUUAAAGUUGGGUUCUGUCUAUUUCAAGCCUCGAACCUUCCUUUGUGAUCCUUAGACCAUGCCAUUAUGUGAUUCUCUUGUGUGGACAAGUGGUUCACAUUUGGUUCUUAGAGGACUGUACCUUAUGUACUACCUUAAUAGCCCUUAGGUAUUACGUUAAUCUACCUUAGGUACGACCUUAAGUGACCUUAGGUACUAUCUUAGUUAAAGUUGGGUUCUACCUAUCCCAAGCCUUGGACCUUCAAUCCCGGACAUUACUUGUUAUAUUUUAAAAUUUGUAGUUUAUCAUUACUAAUACUUUGUAUUUUAAAAUAUGAUAUUAUUUUAAAUUGCAUAUGUUUUUUUUUUUUUAGAAUUUCUCUAAAACAUAUUAUUAAGUAAAUAAAUUUUAAAUCAAAUUAUUAAUUUUUAAAAAUAAUUUGAAACUCAAAAAUCAAUUUAGGGUACUUUUUUAUUUGAAUAACAUAGAAAAUCAUGGAAUUCAACAAAAUAAUAUCAAAAAAAUCAUAAAUUAAAAUUCAUUUUGAAUGACUUCACUAGUUUCUUCUUUAUAUAUAAUUAUAUUUUGGUAAAUUUUUUUAUUUGGCAAAUAAACUCUAAAUCAAGCAAGACUUUGUGCAUUGGAUUCUUUAACGGAUCUAGUAAUUUUUAAAAAUAAGUUAAGCUCAAAUAGUGAUCAAAUUAAUAUGAACAAAAAUUAAUAACUUUAUUGUUUAUUUUCUAUAUAAAAUCAUUUUUUUUAAAUUUUGUUUACUAAAAAAAAUAAACUUCAAAUUAAAUAAAAUUUAAUGCAUUGGAUUUAUUAACAAGUCUAAGUAAUUUUAAAAAAUAAUUUAAAAAUCAAAUAGUGAACCAAUUAAUACCAUAAAUUUUUGGAUAUAAAUUGAUCUCUUCUAUUAUUUAUUUAUUAACAUAGUUAUAUUUUUAUAAUUUCUUUCACUACAAAAAUAAACUUCAAAUCAAACAAUAUUUUGUGCUGAAUUUAUUUAUUUUAAAUUUAUUUUAAAUAAUACUAUUAACCAUUCUUAUUUUUAAAAUAUUAUUAUUAAUUUUCAAUAAAAAAAUAUUAUUUUACAAAGAUGUCAAUAUCCAUAUCUCUAUAAUAAAGAGCAAAAUAGUAUAAUAAAUUCAUUUUAAAUAAUAUUAUUAAUAAUUAUUAUUUUUAAAACAUUGUUAUUAAUUUUUAACAAAAAAAAAAAAUCAAUUAUGCUUUUACAUAGAUGUCAAUAUCCAUAUUUCCAUAAUAAAGGGUAAAAUGGUAUAACUUUAAUAAAAAAAUUAUAAUUUUGUGAUUGUAAUAUAAUAUUACCAUUCCUAUUUUACUAAAGACUAUUUAUUGUUUAAUUACAAAACUAAUUUUAUUUUCAAUAAGAAUUUUAUUAAAUUUAACUAAUAUUACAUAUUGAAUUUUUAUUAAAAUUUAAUUAAUAUUAUAUAAAUUUAAUUUACAAUGUUUUUACAAAAUCAAAAUAAAAAAUAAUGCAUCCAAAUAAGUUUUUUUUUAUCUUUGAAUUUAAAAAUAAAUAAAAAAUAACUUACCAAAUACCCCUAUUUUUAUGAAAUACUAAAAAAUUAUAUCUAUCUAUCUAUCUGUCUAUAUAUAUAUAUAUAUAUAUAUAUAGUUUUUUAACUUCAAACAAUUUUUUCAAAAAUAUAAUAAAAUAUGACCUUAUAUUCUAUUCAAACUUAAACGUUAAAUAGUAAUUCUCUUUUUGUCUGCGAGCUACUAAAUAUUUAUAAAAACUAUCAUCGGAAUAAUAUUUAGAGUGUCUUUGAAAGUAUUUUCUAUAAGGUUAUUGUGGAUCUCGUAUUUUGCACGAUACGUUAUUACUCGAUGAUGUGACACUUUUUAAUUUAUUUGGUGAAAAUUUGAUAUUUUUUUAAAAGGACUUGGAGUCACCACUUAUUUUUGUUUUAUUUUUUUAAGGGAAAAAAAUAAGAAAUAAAAACCCUAAGUGUGACUCCUAAAGCUAUGAAAAACCGAGUCUGAGUCCAAGGGUCAAGUUACUUAUUGAGAAGGUACAGUGGUGAGCCGUAGCAUCCCUCUAAGCCCAUAUACGUACGGCCUCUACUAAACGAAUUAAGGGAAUUGUGACAAUUAAUUAAUUAAUUAUGAAUACUAAGAAAAAUAAUCAUGCAAAUGAGUAUGUACAAGUCAUGGUGAAAAUCAUUAUACAUAAAAAUAAUGAUGAAAUAUAAUUACAAGAAUACACAAAAUAAAUAACAAGAGAAUUAUGCAAAAUGAUUUAUUGAACUAAAAAAUAUUUCAAAAGAAUCAGUUUUCAAGAAAUUUAAAAACAAUUUUCAAUUAAUAAUUUCAAUUUAUUUAUUUACAAAAAAAGGUCAAUUUAUUUUCUCAACUUCAUUCGUAUUCAAUUUUCAAAAAAGUUAUUUACACUUAUUAUAUCAAAAGAAUUUAUUACAAAAUUUCAAUUUGGCAACAAAAAUUAUUUUACUUGCUUUUACAAAAAAUGAAUGAAUUUUUGUAAUUUUAUUUACAAAAGUAUUUCAAUUUGUUUUCAUUUAAGAAAAGUGAUUUAUACAUAUUAUUUAAAAAGACAUGACUUUAUUUGCAAAAGGAAUUUUAAGUGAAAAGAAAAAAAAAAUUUAAAUCAUCAAUUUCUAAAAAAAUACUUUUAAUCCCAUUUUAAUUAAGGAAAAAGAAUUCAUUUUUAAAAAAAAAAAAAAAAAAAUUGGACAAUUUUAUUAAAAAUUAAAUUUUGGGACACCUUUAUUUACAAAACAAUUUUUAAACAAUUUUUAUUAAACAAAGAAAUUUUUGGACAAUUUUAUUAAAAACAAUUUUUCAAAUUCUAUUAAAAAAAAUUCUUUUGGAUUUUUCUAAAUACAUUUUUCUGAAUUUUUAUUAAUAAAAAAACUUUCUUUUAUUAAAAAUAAUAUUUUAAAAUUAUUAUUUUAUUAAAACAUAUUUACUAAAUUCUUCCUCUUAUUUAAACAAAAUUUAUAGUUUGUUCGAUAUUCAGUUUUGUACAUACUAAAUAAAUAUAUACAAAUGAAUAUUUAUAAGAACUAAUAAAAAUAAAACCAAAUAAAAGUGAGAAAUAAAAUAUGUACCCAAAUAAACUUACAACAAACUCAACGUCUUCCUACAACUUUUCGAGUCUCACUUUCUUCCAUGAAAUUUCGUGUUCCAUAUGUCAUAAAUUCGUACUCGGACAACAAUAUUACAGAAUGGGUCCAUACAAAAACAAAAACAUCUCAAAUGUAAAUAUCUAAAAAUGUAUAAAAUUCAUAAUAGAUAUUCAAGCCUAAAUUCAAAUUUCAAAUUAGUUCAAUAAAUUUCAUCAAUUAAAAGUGGGCUCAAAUUAGCAAAUAUAACCCAACAAAAAUAUUUCACAUGUCAUAAGCCCUAAUCUAAAAUUUUCAAAUUAAUAGCCAAAAUAUAAGCUCAAUUAAUCAAACCCAAAACAUGAUAAAUUAAAAUAAAUCUCAUUAGGCCUAAACUUAAUAUCUCAUAAUCCAAGCCCAAUUUAAUAUGCAAACCUACAUCCAAAAUAUAUCACAAUAAUAUAUCAAAUCUAAAUUAAAUAAUUCAAAUGAGUACAACUAUAUCAAUUAUCAACUAAUCUAACCAAAAAUAGCAAAUUCCAAAUUAAUUGACCAACAAUAAAUUAACCCAAAAUUCAUAUUAAUUUACCAACAACAAAUUAACCCAAAUUUCAUAUUAAUUCAACAAUCCAAAUUUCAUAAACAACAAUUACUAUUAAAAUAAAAGGAAAAUAAUAAUAAUAAUAAUAAUAAUAAUAAUAAUAAUAGAAAAUAAGUGGGAUGGGAAAGUGAGGGAAUGAGAGAAAAUGGGAGGGGGUCGUCGACGGCGACUAGCCGGUGAUCUACCGAUAGUGAGGGUUGAUGGGUUUUUGGGAAGCAAAAAUGAAAUAAAAAUAAUAAUGAUAAUAAUAAAAAUGAUAAAUAAAUAUAAAAAAAUGGGAGGAAUAAAAAUGAAGAAAAUGAGGACGAAAGGGUGCCGACAUCAGACCACCGGCAGUGAUGAUGGAGUCGGGUGUGGAUGUGGGCAUUGGGAUGAGCCGUAGGAGAAAAUAAAAUGGAAAAAAAAUGGGCGCCGGUCAUCCAUGUGUGUUGUGGGGAAAGAAAAAAAAUGAAAAAAUGAAGUGGGGAAAUGAGGGAACACGAUUGGGAAUCGGAGUUGGGGUGUGGUCAGGGAGAAAAAAUCCAUAAAUGGGGAGAAUGGAGGUCUAGGUAAGGUCAUCCAACUGCCAGCCCUAAGAGAGGGAGAAGAAAUGGAAGGGCUAAAUGGGAAGCCAAGAAAGUGGGUAGGAAAAAGAGAAAUAAAAAAAAAUAAAAGAGAAUGAUGGAAGAAAUGUGAGGGGGGGCAUGUCCCCAUGACGUGGGAGGGAUGAGGGUAGGUGAGAGUAACUAGGGAAGAGAAAGAGGAAGAGAGAGAAAAGAGAGAAAAUAAAAAAAUAAAUAAAAUAUAAAUAUAAUAUAAUAAUAAAAAUAAAAAAUACAAGUAAAACAAUUUACAAAAUAAUAAAAAUUAAGAAUUAAAGGGUGAGUGGGUCAAAAAUAUCACAUAUAAUCAGGAUUUAAAAUUUAAGUACAAAAUUGGACUCGAAAUUAACGUAAAAAUAAAAUUUGGACAAAUUUUGGGGUCUACAGCUAUGUUUGGUUUAAAAGAUAUGAUACCAUAAGAUAUAUACAUAUAUUAUAAUAUCAUAUGUCAUUGGAUUGAAAAUACAUAUCCUGUGGUAUGAUUUCCAAUGAGAUAUGUAUUAUUGGAUGUACAUAUUCUAUAAACAUGAUAUUUAAAUGUAGCAUAUGAAAUGAAAUAUAUUAUGUUUAUAUUUAAUAUGUAAAAUGGAUUAAAAAAAAAAUAUCAAAUAUAUAUUAUUUUUAAUUGUUUAAAAUAAAAAUUAUAUCACAUUCUAAUAUUUUAUAUUUUAAAAAUUAAAUUUAUGUUAUUCAAUAUAUCAAAAUAAUUUAUAUAUCAUAUAUUAAUAUUAUUUUAUAAUAUUUUUUAUACAAAUUUCUGUAGUAUUUCUUUUUCAAUCAUAAAUUUAAUUUAUAAUAAAAAAAUUAUUUUACAAAAUAAGUAUAUAAAAAAAAAUUAUGAUACAUGAGAUAUGCAUAUCUCAUAUUAUAGUAUAAGAGUAACAUAUCAUAUGUAGAAGGGACAUACUUGCCAUGAUUAGGCUUCAAUUGAGGUUGAAUUUGGAAUGCCUAUGCUCAGAACAACUGCUAUGAUAAUGCAAAAGAGACAUUGAAACAACAUUUUAUGAUAACAUUUCAUAUUAACACAACCAAAUUUAAAAGAUUCCAAGGAAAAACAAAGAAUAAAAUGUUUUGAAAUAACAUUAGUUAUUCUAUCAUCUCCUGAGAUUGGUCUCCUAAAAGCUGAGUACCAAAGUACAGUGCCACUCUGACCAACCAACUCUAAAACCAGUAUUACACUACACACCAUAUUUCCCAUCAAUCUCUCAAUCUCUUCACUACACUACAAUACAAGCCAGUGGGUGAUUUGAAACCAUAUAGAAAAGUGUUAUCAGGAGAAAUUCUAUUCUAGCUAACAUCUUUUCAAUAUUUUGGAGCACAAAAAACAGAAAUUUGAAAUUGAAGACUUCAUAUGUUUUCCAUACUUGGUGAGACUUUUAAGGAAAGAAGUAGAUCUUAAUGAAGAGUGCCAGACCUAUUUGCAAAACAAAUGAAGCAACAAUCACCAGACUUAUGUUGUUACCCUGUAUGUAGGACCUCAGGUUCAAGGCAACAAAGCAAGCUGAUGCGCCACCUACAAGGACUGUGACGAGCCACCGCAGAAACUCAAUCGGAAUAACUAAUAGGACCUGAAAAUGUUCCAGGAGAACAAAUUAGAUGUUCACAAGACUACUACUUAGAAACCCAGAAACUGAAAAUUACACUAUUAAGGUUCUGCAGCAAUGAAAACCCCUAUGUGUUAAUACUUUAAAGACAACAACAGAAUAAACUGGCACUGGAGGUCCAUAGUUUGGAUGAUGCACCACCAACUAUUAACCUAAAUGCUUGCUUGUUAUGUAAUGUAUCUUUUAUUAAGUAAAACUUAAAAGAUACAUUAUGUAACAAUCUUGCUUUAACUCUAGUUAUUUCCCCUACUAUAUAAUGUUUUUAUAAUUGUACAUAUAUUUGACUAAUAUUGCUUUAUUGUAUGUAGUGCAUUUCUAUUAUUUAACAUAUAUUUGGACUUCUAUAUUAAAACAUAUAUUUGACUCAUAAUAAACUUGAUGCAUACAAAAAUACAUACAAACAUAUAUACUUAUGUGGAUGUAUACACGGUGUACAUGCAGGUAUAUACAUACAUAUACAUGCAUACAAAUAUACAUACGUAUAUCAGAAUCUAUUAGACAAAAGAGAUAGAUAACAAAGGACAAAAUUCCUCCAAAAGAAGGAAACAUACACAAGUAUAUUAUAAAAGGAAAACCUUUGGCUUCCCAGCCUUAAGGAAAAAUCCCUAAACUUCAGAGGGGCAUGUGAUCAUCACAUAUGAUGCACCAAAAAAAAAACUCAAAGAAGAAUUUUAUAGACAUAGUGAUAUUUGCAAAGCAAAAUGGAGCAUAAUGUUCCAAAUUUUCCAAUUUAUUUUUUAGCAGAGACACUACAAGAAGAUACGUCACCCUUUCUACAACUAUCACUAAAGUGCCAUCCUAUUGACUAAGACUAAUCAGCUUGGCUCAAUUUUAUCCAACAACCCCCCUAAACAAGAUGUCUUAAGGAUACAGUUGGACCACAAGGCCAUCGAUAAUGUCAGUGAUCAAGAAAGAAACAUAUAAGCACCGUAUUUUUGCACAUAAAGAAUAUUUGAGAUGAGAGAGUGGGCAAGUAUAGGAUCCAAUGAUAAAUUUGACUGCGUGAAAGAGAGACUAAUAAUAACCUAAAUAUCCAAGCUUAUCAAGAGUAAUAUACUUGAGAAAGAUAAUUUGCCAAUAUAGAAUGAGGUCCAACUACUGAUUAUUGGGGAAAGGUUGAUGUUUUAUUUUAUAGAAGAUGGUGUUUCAUACCUCAACAUCAAGAUGAAUUCAUUGAUAUCCAUUGGUUAUACUCAUCCAUCCUUAUUAUAAAGAAGCUGGAACUUGGGGAGUCGCCUCCACCAUAUGCCUUCACAUUUAUAGGUAAAGAAAACUUGCUUACAAUCAAUCUCAAAUAUCCAACAUUAAAAAAAAAAAAUAACUAAGAAGAACCAUGAUUGCUUCAUAUUGAUGCACACAUUCGCAACUUCAGAUGUAUCAAUAGCACUAUUAGUGUUCCUUAAGCACAUUUUUAGAUUAUUCUGUUGCAUGUAAGUAACACCUCUUAUAGGCCUGAAAUCAACAAUGAAGAUACUAUAAGAUGAUGAAGCAUUUUACUCCACCUAGAAAUGACUUUAAAAUGUAGACAUCUCCAUGAAAAGAUCCUUAGUUUGGAAUUUAGCUUCCAUCGUAAAUGUAAAGCUCUGUCUAGCAAUGGGCUAUGUGGUGAAGCAAUCAUAAGUCUGAGCAAAGGGUGUUGGUCAAAUAGUAGAAAAGGCGAGCAUAGGAGCUACUUAAUAGUAGAGAUGCCAAAGGUCAAUUAGACAUUUAACUGAUUGAGCCAACCUUUAAAAAAAGUUGACAUACAAAAAUUAAUGAACUAUCGAUGUACAUGUGAAAAUUUGUUGAGAUUAUAAUGUUGAAGUGUAUGUAUUUCAAAUCCAAUGUUUUUACCAUAUGACUGAAAAGUAGGAAACAAAGUUUACUUCUAGUAAUUGAAUUAAGUUCAUGCUAAAAUGAGAUAAAGGAAAAUGUGAGAAAAAUUAUUUCAUCAUUUGCUCAAGUAGCCCCUGUCAAAGUAGGACCUCUUUCAUUUUUUUCUCACUUUUGAAAUAUUGAAGAGCCUGAGCCUAAGGGUUGAACCCUACUAGAGAAGAAGUACAUAAAGAGCCACCUGACAUGGGCUAAAAUUAAAAUAAAAAGACAGAACACAAAAGGAAUAUGCAUGCAGAAAAUAGUAUCACCAUUGGCACUUGACUCAUAGCACUGAAUUCAGGAAAUCCAUGAAAGAUACCAUUUCUUCCCCAUGGGUAUCUAAAAAGCAUAAAUACCAAGCUUUAAGGAACACGUCACUAAGUUUCAGCACAGGGAGCUCUACAUAAAAAAGGUUCUCAUGUUCCUUCUUCCAAAUACACCAAGAACACAAAGUGGAGCAGAUAUCCAAAGGCUCCCUCUUUAUAUGUCUAUGCACACACACACACAAACAUAAUAACAUUACUUCUUUUCUUUCCCACAGAAAUUCCUCUCUAAAACCAUAGAAAGCUCUUUAUUCGAUCAAGGCAGAACACAAAAAACACAAGACAAGGAAAAAACUAGAGACUAAAAAGGUGGUCUACCAUACAACGUAGAAGGAUAUAGUUCACGAAGUCCUCAUCCUCAUCCUUUUGCAUAAGCAACACCAAUUAACAAUAGCACAACCCCUAUGCCCCCACACAAAUGCCACUUUGUCAAAUGGGAGAGCCUGCUAACCUCAACUCCACUCCACAUAUAACCCUUUCAAACUACAGGUAAACCUAAGUUAUAGGCAUGUAACACUUUCAUUAACCUUCCAAAUCAAUUAAUUUUGUCAAAUUCAAACAGCAAGUACCUAACAGGUUCUCAAAUCAACCUUUUUUUCUUUAAUAUAUUUUCAUUUACACAAAUCUGAUUGUUAUAAACAAAAAAAAUACAAUGAUACUCCUAAGCACAAUCAAAUUGGAAACUUAUGCAUCUUAGUAAUUUUUUUAAUUGCAUUUCCACAUAGCUAAUGAAUCAAGAAAAUAAAAUAUGUUCCUUGUUAACAGUAAUACUGGUAAUUGGAAAAUAGUGCCACAAAAAUGGAAAUCACAAUUCCCAUCAAAUUCACAACUGGAAAGAACAUCAUAAGCUAAAAUAAGAAACAAAUAAAUAUUAUUUAUCUUCAAAAUCAUUCAUUUCUUCAUCAGUUUGUAUUCACUUUCUCACAGGAAUCAUAUACAACCCCCAUCUCCACUUCUUAUCCAAUAAAUAGAAGGUUUAAAAGGACAAGUAUAUGAUGAAAUAGGAAUUGAAUUUGAAUCAUCAUUAAAAUUUAAAAAGAACAAAUAACAAACAAAGACAAAAUUUAAAACCUAAGAAGAUCUUUUGGAUUUUGGAUUGAUUCGCAUCAUGUAAACAAACAAAAGAAACAAAUAGAAAAUAAAGUCAUGACAAAUAAUUGCAAGCUCGUAUUACCCAAAUCAAACCCUGUUACCCUGACCCUUCUCUGUACAUCAAAAUCCUACUUCACGAUUUGAUUUCACACCAAACUCGUAUGGAUAUGAACAGAAACAAAAAGAGAAUCCAUAUCAACAUAUUCCCUGAAACAGAAACAAAAAAAAAUAAGCAAAAAAAAUUGAAAAAAUAAAUCCAAAAAAACAAAAAGGAAAACUGGGUGGCUUUAAAUUCAGAAAGAAACUGAUUUAAAAAGAGGUGGGUCCAUUUGGAAAUUUCUUUAACCAAAACAAAUUGUGUCUCAUCUUCAUUCAUGCGAAAAUUAAUCAAAAUACAACAAACCCCAAAAUAUAACACCUUUAGCCCCAAUAUUUUCUCAAUAGCCAAAUGAAUCCUUAAAUGGAAAACUCACCUAUGAUUGAUUAAUCCACAACAAGAGGAAGCUCCAUUUCGGUUUCCAAAAACCUUAAAAAAAUUCAACCUUUGGUGAAUAAAUAUGAAGAUAUGCCUUAACUUUGGCUUCGUUGAAGGUUUUCGAAAGAUGCCUAUCGGGUUUGGGUGGUCAACUCGUGAAAAGAGACACAAUAGGGUUAGGCCAAAAUCAGACGAAGAUGGCUUUGGGAAGAUGGGUAUCCAUCGUCUAGUCAGGACGUCAAUAAACAGAUCAGUUGCCUACCUUCGUGUAUCAAACGAGCUAUGAAAAUGGGAAUUUUUUUAGAUCGAGUCAGGGCAAAAUGAGAGGAAGUGACAGAAAGAGUUUUGCAACUUUCAAAUGUUUAUCAGGUCGGGUGUUUUGUGGGUUUCAGAUUUGACAACUUCAAGUUUCAAAUUUUGGUGUUUAUUAAAUUACGCACCUACCUGCUGACAUGGACAUUGGUGACUAUUGACAGGGAAACAUUAAAGGGCAAUUUUGGAAAUGCAAACCUAAACAGUAUAUAGUGCAUGAGAAAUAUAAUAUUUUUCCCAUUAAUAGGCACAUCUCAUAUUUCAUUUAUGUGGGUUUCCAAAACCAUAUAUCUUCCUAGUAGCAGCCUACAAACACAACUUUCCCUUUGCAAUUUAUUGUUAGAGCCUUGAUUGAUCUAAACUCAACAUAAUCUAUGUUUCAAUAUCUUUUGUUGGUUUGUUGGGUUUGCUUGUUGAUAGCCUAAACUUUGAUUUGAUUGUUGUUUUUCCUAUGGGAUAUUCUAUUGUGGAUAAUAUUAUGUUUAGAGGUUAUCUUAUGAUGACUAGUUAUAUGGAGAUGUUAGUGGACUUAAUACUUCUUGACAUUAUGAUUUUGAUGUGAUUUUGGAGAUGGAUUAGUUAGUUUCCUUCUAUGUCUAUAUUAAUUAUUUUGGUAAAAAGGGUGACUAUCCACAUUCCUAACUAAUAUACAUUUAGUUUUGAGGGAAAACAUGUGAUUAGACCAUUGUGUAUGAUCUUAGCUUUAUGGGCUAGUUCAUUGCUUAGAAAAAGGUUGUUAAGGGUUUUAUGCUUAUGUAGUGCGUGAUAAAAAAAAUAAAAAAUAAAAAAAUAAAAAUUACAAUAUAUUAUUGCCAAGUUGAUAAAGGUUUAAUGAUGCAAUCUUAGUAUUCAAGAGGUCACUUAGGAAUUAGAAAAUGAGAUAAGAGAAAAGCAUCCUCAUUAUUUGAAGAUUUAUGUACAUCAAGUUUAGAUGACUAAACUUUUGUUAAGGAGGGGAGGAUGUAACACCCCAAAAUAAACUUUAGGGGAAAAAUAAUGAAUUAUAAAUUAAUUAAUCAAUCAAUUAAACACAUUAAAGGUAAAAGAGUCCUUUUACAAUUAAUAAUCCUUGGUAUAAAUUAGAUUUUCCUCUUGUCUUCUUUAUUCAGAAAACUCUAUUAACCAAAAAUCAGUGAAUUGGAGAACGUAGGGCUUAAGGUUUGAAGGUCUAGAGUUUGAAGCUCAAAUUUUUUCAGAUAAGAUUAUAACCUUAAAUUAAUAUAUUAUAUUCGUUAGUUAUUUUUUAGCAUAUUAGAUAUUCUUUAGAAAAUUUUAAUUUAAAUUAGGGUUAGUUUAGUUAAUUUAUUUUAAGAUAUAAAAAAAUUGAAAUUAUGAAUAUAGGUUGUUUCAUUGAUGAAAAUAGGGAAAUUCGAAUAUUUUUUUUUAGAUGAAUAGAUCUAAGCAAUGAAAUUUUAAAAAUUAAAUGAGUAAAUAAAUAUAUGAUUAUAAGUGGCUUAAGGGAUUGGAAAAUAAUAAGAAGAAGAAUUGCAUGUUUUUGGAUUUUGGAUUUGAGGCACUAUGUUGGGGCGACAAAAAUAAUAAUAAUAUGUAACCAUGAAAGGCAAAGGGUGGUAGUGGAAUAAAUUAAAAUAAUAAUAAUAAUAAUGAGUAGAGUUGGUGGGGUUGUUGGAGUUGUUAGAAGUAUAUGAGGUAUUUUGUUAAAUAAGAGGGGACAUUGGGAUUAAUAAAAAUAAUGAUAAUAAUGAUAUUAAUAAUAAUAAUAAUAAUAAUAAUAAUAAUAAUAAUAAUAAUAAUAAUGAUAAUAAUAAUAGUAAGAAUUGUGUGAUUUGGAUGUUUGUGAGUGACAUAUAGUAGGGUUGUUUGGAUGUUGCCGGGUAUCGAAAAAUAUAGUAAUAAUAAUAGUAAUUGGUUUUAAUAAAAGUUUUAAUUUAGUUUAAGUAUACAAAAGAAAUAAAGGGUUAGAAUAAGAUUUGGAAGAAAUAUGAGUUUAUAAAAAAUUUGGAAAUUCAUCAAAUUAUAUUAGUAUUGUUUAAGAAGUUGAAAAUAAUAUUGGGUAAUAAUAAUAUUAGCAUGAGAAAUUAUUUAGGAUCCUUAAUACUAAAUAAAAUAUUUUUAAGAUUGUCAAAUUUUUACCUUUAGAUAAUUGUGUAGGAUAUUAUGUUAGGUGAUGAGUAAAUUCGUUAAGCUAAAUAAUUCAAGUUUUUGAGCGUUUUUUCAAGGUAAGGGAAAUUAAUGCAGAUUUUUAUAAAAGAAAAUAAUUUUCUUUUUAUAUUGUAUUUUGAAAUGUAUAAAAAUAUUAUUUUUAUCUUUAUGCAUGAAUCAAAUAUGUGAUUUAUAUGAAAGGUAUAUUUGAGAAUUUUAUUUGUUUAUGAAAAAUGAAAAAUUGAGGAGAUAUGAUAUUUUGUUUUGUAAGUUUGAAUUAAUGAAAUAAAGUGUUUGACUUUGAAUUAUAUGACCUUAAUCAACAGGUUAUAAUUGUUGACAUUUUCGACCCUACUAAAUGGGUUAUAAUAGUUGACUUUAAGGUCAUAGUCAACGGAUUAUAAUAGUUGACCUUAUGGCCCUAGUCAACGGGUUAUAAUUGUCGACUUUUGGAUUUAUUCACCUUAAAUGGAACAAAUUUGAAACUAGUCCCUCAUUUGUGAAAUCCCACUUAAUUAGGCACCAUUUGUUAUUUGAUAAUCAGAGUAAAAAUAUUUUGAAUAUAUUUGAUUUGGUUUUUAUGAGAAAUUGUUUUGAAAUGAAUAUGAGAAAGUUUUGUUGAAAAGUUUGAAUGUAUUAGUAUUUUGAACUCAAAAGUUUUUAUGAAAAUAAGUAUAUGUUAUACCUCCUAUUUACAAGCAUGAUUAAAAAUGUUUUAUCAAUAAAACUGUAUUAAUGUUCCUUAUUAGGCUUUGAACCCAUCCCCCUUUGUUGAUAAUCUUUCAUGUAACCUCAUUUUGGGUGAAGAGUGAUCGUUAGGAAGGAAAUUUGGUUUUAUUAGGAUAUUUGUUUAAACUCUCUUUAUCUUAGACAUUGUUGAAAUGUUAAAACUUAAUUAUCGUUUGAAUUAUUUUGAGUUUGGAGUUAUUUGGACAAUAACACUUUGGUUGAUAUAUUAAUUAUUUUUUAAAAGUUGAUAUUUGAAGAUUUUAGAAUUUGAUCUUACUACUCUGAACAGGAAUUUGGUAAUUGGUAAAUUUUCGAUUACAAUAUGGAUGUUUGUAUUGUUUCCACUUUGAGCUUUUGGGUUUGAGGUGUGAAAUGAUUGUCAUGCCCUUAGAGUGGGUUUUGGGCGUGACAAAAAUAAUUCAUAUCUCAAAUGGAAAACACUCAACAAUUUUCCCAAAUUUCUUUCUUUUUAGCCAAAUAAAAUAAAAUUGGAUCCACAACAAUGGUUUUAGGCAAUGAAGAUUCAGCAACAUCAAAAUGUGGAAAAAUAAUAGAUCUAAUCCACUUGCAUGCUAAUAAAUAAAUAAUCCAACACCAUCCAAAUUUAUAUUAUAAUUCAAAAAAAAUUACCUUUAAAAGUUCCCAUUGAUAAUAACGAGUAGCUCGAUCAUACUGACACAAAGAAGAUACCUCUAAUUGUUGGUGUAUUUUUUUGCUUGUGAAAUCAAGCAUUGACAUAAAAGCAAAAAAAAAAGGAAUGAAUCAUUUUACCAUAUCCCAACACAAAUAAAUAAAUAAAUAUACUUGAUAGAUUUAUAAUAUAACACCAAAAAAUACAAAAUGAAAAUCCAAUCCAAAAAUAAAAUAAAAUAAAUCAAGAGAUAGAAAUUGAAAAGGGUUUGAAAGUUAGAACAGGUAUUGGAAUUGGGUUUGGGUGCUCAAGUGGGCUAACCCGACUUGACCCAAAAACUGUCACUAUUGUAAAAAAAAAAAAAAAAUUCUCUCUAUGGAAACCCUCUCUUUCUGAGUACUCUCCCUCAAAAAACUUUUUUUUUCUCUCUCCGAAAACCAAAAAGUGAAAAAUAUAUUUCUUCUUUCCCUAAAAACAAAAGAAAGAAUAUAUUUUUCUUUCUAAAAGAAAAUCAUUUCUCGAAGUUUUUUCUAUUUUUCUUCCUAAAAACGAAAAUCAAGGUUCUUGUACCGUACGAAAAGAAUAAUCUUUAUAUUUAUAAUUUCAUUCAUGACUUGAAGCAAAAAAAUUGAUCAGUAAAAUAACCAAUCAGAAUUCUUAAGCAUUUCAAUAGGUAAUCAAAUGCAUUAUUUUUCAUGAAGGAAAAAUUUUGAAAAACAAAUAAUGAAUAGAAUCCAUAAAGAUAAAGGAAGAAUCCAAAAAUAAAGAAAAUUAUAUAUAUAAUUGCAGUCGUAAUUGGUACAUGAUAAAUGGGUGACGAUUUUCAAAAGUGAAAUAAUUGUAAAUGAAUCCAAAUUUACUUAAAAACCAAGUCAUGAGGUGGAAGGAAAUCAUGUUUAUGAGAGUUGUCGCCGUGAUUGGACUAGGCGUCUAGCAUAUAAAGUCGAGAGAUGCAAGUGGGAACUCCUAAAUACGAAUAUGGUAUUAAUGUUUAGGCGCGGGUGGCUUGAUGGUUUUGAAAACCGGUUUUUGCGAGAAAAAUAUUUUGACAAACACGUCACACUUUUGAAAUUAGUAGGCAGACGUUUGAGCUUUUACACGACGAUAACACGAACCGUCGAAUAGGAAAUGACGCGCGUAAGUGGAAAGGUGGGAAUUAAAAAGUUGUUGGGGUUUGAUCUCAAGGCAUAUAUCUAAUUUUUAAAAAGGAAAAAGUGGGACAUGGCGGCUCCGAGUCUCCGACUGUCGUCAAAAGCGUGUGGGCCUCUCUCCAUUGUCAUUUCCGGGCAACUCCAAUCCAGCGGAAUAUGAUUCCAUUCCCGUCAACCAAAAGUCUAGCUCAAUUAUCUGUUCAGUGAUCCGAAAUGGCCAAUAAACCACUCACUCUCUUGCCCACGGGUUAUAAAUCAAGCUGCAGCGUCACAGCUUCAAAUCACACACAGAGAGAGAAAAUUUGCACAGAGAAUAUGGGAGAAACACUUGGAGAUCGUAUUGGGUUGAGCGACGAAGUCAUUAAUGCAGCGGCUUCUCUAGCCAUGAAAGCCCACGAUUGCACUGGUAAGCCAUUUCUUCGCAAGAAAGGCUUACCCGUUACUGUUUUUGCAUUUGCUGGAUCUUGGCUUCCCGAUGAUUGGUGUGCGCAGCCACCUUUUGGAGAAACGAAGAUGGAUACUAGUAACUUUCCUUCGCUUAAAAGUUUAGGCGAUGACGGAGUCGCUCUGGUCAACGGGUCGUUUCUCCGGCGAUUCAAUGCCAUCCAAUCAUCACUUGCCAAAAAGGUACUUCAAUUCAACUUAUGCAUAGAUAUAUGAAAAACAAUCUCGUGAAUUCAAAAUGUGGAUGUUGGGGUUGGAUUUUUCAGGUGAAAAAAGUAAUUGGAGAGAAGAAGCAAGUUGUUUUCACCGGCUACUCGUCGGGUGCUCCGGUGGCCAUCCUGGCAACUCUAUACCUCUUGGAGAAGUCAGAGCCCAAUCAGAGCCCACCCCGCUGCGUCACUUUCGGAUCCCCCCUCGUCGGUGAUCGGAUCUUCUGUCAUGCUGUCAGGCGGGAGAAAUGGUCCGACCACUUCAUUCAUUUUGUUAUGAGAUACGAUGUGAUCCCUCGGAUUAUGCUUGGCCCUUCAUCCACUGAGCACAAACAAAUUCUCGAUUUAUUCAAUCCCGGAUCCGAAUCCUUCAGAAAACACACUGAUUCUUCUUUAGGUUUAUAUUCCAGCGUGAUGAGGAAUGCAUCCAUGGUUGCAAACUAUGAUGCCUGCAAUUUCAUGGGAUGCAAAAUCCCGGCGUUGGAAACUCUAAGGAACUUCAUUGAGCUCAGCCCUUACAGACCUUUCGGAACUUACAUCUUCUUCAGUGGAAGUGGAAAACCGGUUGUCGUAAGGAACCCGAAUGCAGUACUGCAGAUGCUGUUUUACUAUGCUCAGUGGAGCCAAGAAGAAGAUGCAGAGGCUGCAAAAAAGGGCCUAAAUGAACACUUG
Molecule: long non-coding RNA, 128179 nt
Filed under: Vitis vinifera (wine grape)
Lineage: Eukaryota; Viridiplantae; Streptophyta; Magnoliopsida; Vitales; Vitaceae
Description: long non-coding RNA (VVIN_LNC005728)
Source: RNAcentral